This 158945-nucleotide long non-coding RNA is filed under the name Panax ginseng (ginseng). Its description in RNAcentral is "long non-coding RNA (PGIN_LNC007104)". Lineage: Eukaryota; Viridiplantae; Streptophyta; Magnoliopsida; Apiales; Araliaceae. The record is from RNAcentral.
UGGUGUGUUUCUCGGAUAAUUCAUCAAUCCAUAUCCGUUCACUUGCGAGGAUCCAUUCGGAAGAGUAAGUGUAAGACUCACCGGACUUGCUAUGUUAAAGUUGUCUUUCAGCAGCACCACAAAAGAUACCUCAUAAGAUAAAUUUUCAAGCUUUUCUGUCAUAUAGUUUCCGUCAACAUGUAGGACUAAGCUACCAAUUAAUUCAGCACUGUCAGGACUGUACAAAAUGAUAGUAGAAUUAAAGUCAGAAACUUUUGAUAUAAGGAGCUUAAAUUCAUUAGGUGAUUUUAUUGAUUUAUUUAUUUUUUGCUGGAAUAUUUUUAAUGCGAGUCCUUCUAUCUAACUAGACUUCAAUAAAAUUUCUAUAGUCCUUCUAUCACUUUAAUUUAAUGACAAAGUUGCUUAUAUAUCCCUAUUUUUAACUGAAUAAAAUUCAGGUGUUUAAACACAAAUCUUGACCUUUGACGUCAAUUAAGUUAACUAAAUCUUAUUUCUACUUACGUAAACUUCCAGCCUGAAGGGUUGGCAUAAUUGAGUUUACUGGCAGGUACAUAAGCGCCAGAACUCUGAAUAAGACGAGAAAAAAAAAUUCAUAUCAUCCAUUACAAAAAAAUUUCACUUGCAAAAUUUACAAAUAUUAAGGAUUAUUUUUGUUCUAUAGCCAACUUUAGCUAUAUAUAUGAUGUUUGUUUACAAUUUCAGUAGACUUACCUUCUGGCCUAUUCCGCCGUUUUGGAGCAACUCCAUUUCCUUGGCUUGGGACAACAAUGCCUUGAGGUCAACCUCAUUAUGCCUCACUACUUGUGCCAUCUCCUCGAUCGAUCGAUAACUAUCCUUUAAUUCUGCUAUAUAUAUAUAUAUAUAUGUAUUUUCUGUUUCUAUUCUUGAUGUCUAUAUAUCUCUCUUCCAAAGGCUAGCUCUAUUUAUACUGGCACAAACAGAGGGUACUGCGAUUAUUAUAUCCCAUAAUAUCCUAUCUUCAAAUAUUCCUUCCCUUUUCAAAGUAGGGAUCCGAUCCUGAUAAGUUUAACAUCAUCAUCAUCAUCAUCAUCAUCAUCGCCAAGGAUAUAGAGCAGCAGAUUCUGUUUAAUAAUUUUGUUGGAAUAAUUCUUUUCCAUUUCCCAGUUCAAUAGUUCUUUCUUUAGCUUGUUGCGCAGGCAAAAUUCCAUGAAGGCGAAAGGCACGUAGGCAUACUAGUUGUGGGCAAGGAAAUUGUACCUUGCUAGGGUUAGGAUUUCGUGUUGGCUGAGGAGGAGAGAAAUUCACGAAGAGCACGGAAUUGAUUGGUUGAUUGAAGAGGGGAGAACGACAGGUGGGCGAUUACUCCAACGACGUGUGGCAGAACCCCUAGAAUCCAGGAACCGUGUUAGGGUAGUAGGGAUUCCAAGAGCCUUCUUGAGUCCUUCGUUCUUGAGAGAAUGUCUAAACCCCUUUUAGUGCUUUUAGGUGGAAUCUCCGAGCCUUUAAGUCACCAAAAAGGGUUCUUUGAUCUUCCGAGAGUCCAAGUCUUGAGUCUAAAGAGAAGUCUCUUUCCCAAUGGAAUGGAAGGGUAUUUAUAGGGUUUUCUGGAAAGUAGUCAUGUGCGAGGCACAUGCUUUCAGGGAAAUUCCAGAAAUGCCCUUUAGUCAUUAGAAUAAUGCCCAUGUUGCCCUGUCCUUCUAGCCACCAAUCCAAUCCCUCAAUUAAUUCCCACAUCGAGCCGCCUCCACGAGUCUUCUGCCUCGGGACACGUGGAGGCUUCUCCCGGGUCUAGCACAUUUAUUUAUGACUUUUUCAUCUUCAUUCCAUUCGGUUAUGCGAACACUAAUUUGCACAUUUAAUGAGGCCGUGGAACCCUAAUUGCGCAUUUAAUUCAAUUAGGUCAUGUGAACUCUAAUUUUACACUUUGGCCCACAUUUGCCCCCUGCGCGAGAGUCGCAUUUUCAAAUAGACGAUCGUGCAAGAAAACUGCAAGCCUUUGAAUGAUUUUGCGGGACUUCACUUUACAUGUCUUGAAGACAAUAGUCCUAGAAGAGGGAACUCCUAGGGAGCCAAACCCUUAGAGUUAAACCCUAGGAAGGCAAGACCUAGCGAGGCUCUUCCUUGGACAUAUUGAAAAAUCUUCUGAAAUCUUUCUGUAUUUUGCCCAAUAUUUAUUUCCAAUUCCGCAAGCAGAUCAACUGUCCGAGCAGCCUCAAUACGAACAGAAACAGAUUCCGAUAACUUGGAAUGGAAAAUAGAAUUAAGACCAGGCAAAACAUUGAAUAGAGCGAUGUAGAGAUCUAAAAUUUCAAACAACUUGAGAAACGAUGGACGGGUACUACUAACGCCUUCUGCAAAGUUAAUCAAGUGCAAGGCGGAUUCUUUAACUAUACCCAUAAAACACACAUCAAAUGUGGAGUUACCAAGUCCACUAAAGAUUUGUUCACAGAGUUUCUUCUCCUUUAUGAAGAGAUCUUCAAAACAAACACGAGAUGCUCGUAUCCACAAUUUGAUCUUUGGUGCCAACAUAUCCCACUCCAAACUCCGGAACUCACCGAUGCUAUAUUUACCGACGCCGAGGUGUCGAAAUUCUGCAUCCACAAUCAACUUCCUUGAAGUCCUGUAGAAUUCAACGCAGUCGCCAACAUUACCGGCUGAGUUCAAUCGUUCAAUGAUACUCCUAAAACCAUAAACUUCGUCAAUAUGUCCAUCAUCCUGUAAUUCAUAGCUAAAAGUAUCGGUUAUUGUACUUGAAAAAAUGGUAGAACUCCUAUCGGCCAAGAAAGCAUUGUGGACUCUGUUGGUUUGUCGGGUCAAUAUGACCCGAAACUCUAACGGAAGGGUUUCCAUGCCCGUUUAGAUCAUGUUUUGAUGCUUUCAGUUUGGGGAUCUGAGAUUAUUCUCGAUCGUCUGAAGCUCGUCAAAAGUACUGAUCAAUCUCAUGGCGGUCUCCGUCGAAGUCGAAGAUGAUGAAUUUAAUAAUUCCGCCCGAAUAUUUUGUGUUCUACCAAUUCCAUUCAGACAAUACAAAAGAGAUAUAUAUAUCUGCCUAAAAAUUGAAAACCGAAAAUCAUCUCUGAACAGCAGGCUUUGAAAAUUACUCCUACUAGUAGUUUAUAAAUAUAAAUACUUUGAAGAUUGUAAGAAGUUCAUAGCCAUCCACUAGUAAAAGUACUUACCAUUACUAAUUGAUGUCACGUUACCGCAAUUAGGACGGAGAGAGAAAGUCGGACCAACUCUUUUUUUUUUUCAAAUCAAACAUUAAUUUUUUAUUUCCAAAAUCAAAUCUUAAUUUUUAUUUUCAAAAUAAAAUCAAAUCUUAAUUUUUUAUUUCCAAAAUAAAAUCAAAUCUUAAUUUUUUAUUUCCAAAAUAAAAUCAAAUCUUUCUUAAUUUGAAAAGAGAUUUUUUUUUUUUGAAAAUGAAAUAAAAUAAAAUCUCUCUUUUUUUUUUUUGGCAAAUCAAAUCAAAUCAUUUUUUUUUAUCAUUCACGCAAAAGAUUUAAGUGCAUGAAUAAAAUAAAAUAAAAAUGCAUGAAUUUAAGAGUCAUAUAAUCUCACAGAUCUAAUGAAGGGGAAUUGCCACAUGCCUACGACAUUCUCUAUGAAAAAAAUGAUGAAUUAAGGCAAAACGAGAUCCAAUCAUGUAUUAUUUUUUUUUUGAAAAUAAAAUAAAUCUUAUUUUAUUAUCUUUCAAAAAAAUAAAAUAAAAUCUUAUUUUAUUAUUAUUAUUUUUUAAAAUAAAUAAAUAAAUAAAUAAAACAUUUACUUAUCUUAUUUUUAAGAAGUAAGGAGUCGAUGAGAAUGUCUUGUAUCCAUAUUGAAGCCUUUGAUAAUUCUUUGAGCAAAGAUGAUUAUAGCUUUUUGAUGAUUCUGACAUCUUUUAUAUGAGACAAGUCUUCACAUGCUUCCGAUUUUUAUUUGCCAUAAAGAAAGAAUCCAUUAAAGCUUCACAUGCCAGUUGCCACUCCUCUGUUAGCCAACAAAAAAAAAAAACAUUGUUUUGCUGCUUUAUUUGGGUGUUAUAGCCACAGGCAAGCCUCUUUCUAUCCACGCCGAACCCUACUGAUUCAAUUUUUUAUUAUUUUUUUUUUAUUAAAAAAAAUCAAGAACUUUUGGAACACUUAUAUUUAGAAGAAGCUUGUACGUAUGGGAAUUGAUGAUCCAAAAACCCACAACCCAAUUCUUAAUCUCAGUUUCUUUCUUGCUAAUCUUUCUCAGUUGAUGAACCCUUUGGAUAAUAUUAACGAUCCUCUUAGGAGGUUGCAAUAUUCAGAUCCCACUCAACUACUAGCCAAAAUCCAAAUUUUACAUAACCUAUUGCAGGCCAUAAAUGUGAGUCCUUCUUUCCCAAAUAUUAAAGUAGUAAACGUGAAUAAUCUCUUGGGAUCAUAUAAUUAUCUUAGCCAAUUUGAUGGAGUGAUCACGAGUGAAGCUAUCAACCCCAUGAUUAAUCCUAUCCCCAACAACCGGCCUUUAAUAUAUAUACUCCAAUCCCAAACUCAUUUGGAUUCUUUAGCCCACAAAUAUUUAACAAUGUUAAUAGCUUAAGUGGUGUUGCAUGCAAUAUUACUCAUCAAACUGAAAAUCAGCUUCCGGAAAGUUCCAAUACCAAGGAAAUGGACAGUAUGAAGCCUACAAACAUCCCCUCCGGUUCAACCAACUCUGACAAUAUCUUUGAGGUUUUGGAGAAAUUUGUUGAUUGUGAUCAAGCCAAUAGUACUUCCUUCUUGCUUCUUUUUUUUUUUUAUUCAGGUAACUCUAGUCUUUCUUUUGUCUUCCGAGCCCCAUUACCUUGAUCAUAUCUUGGUUUUUUCCCUCGGAUCAUAAAGAAAGAUUGGUAUUUUUUUUUUCUUGCAGGCCCUCCCUGUUGAACAUUCUGCAGACUUGGGAACAACCAAGGAGGCCCCGUUUCUCAAUAAUUGGGGAAGGGAUCCCCUCUUUUGGUCUUUCCGACGUCUUUUGAGAGCGAGUCUAGACUUAUAAUCGUACAACACUUCCUCCGCCAGAGAAGAAAGGCGUGUUUCUUUAUGUCGCGGCUUGCGGAGGUUUGGGUGACUUCCUCCCUUCCGAUCGCAUUCUCCGCAUGUGCAUAGAGAAACAAGAAUAGCCUUUCAGUCCCUUUCGCUUCCUGUCUGACUCAUCUGACCGCCUUCAAGGAUGGCAACAUUGGACCGACUUCCCGUUGUGUGCUCUUCUUCAUACACAUUCAUUACUACUUGGGGGGGAAUUCACCCCUAUUCUAGAGGAUGUCUCUGCCCUCCACCAGUAGGUCGUACUUCGGUUUGCCCCCUGCACGUGAGUCACACCUUUGGUGGGACAACCGUGCAUAAUUUCUCCAGCAUUGAAAUCUUGCUACAAAUUUCUUAAUGAUUCGCGGAGCACGAUGGUGCAAGCCUUGAACAUAAAAUCCCUAGGAGGGGAGACCUGUAGGGGGCGAGCCCUAGAGAAGCUCUCCCUGGCUAUCUUGGAAAAAAUCUUCUAUCUUAUCCUUCCGAAUAUUACUUUCUUUUGGAAGUUCUCUCAUUUUCAAAAUUAAGAAGUCAACGAGAAGGCACCGAGUGAACAUACUUCAAAUUGGGGUGAACAAGCGAUGAAGGAGAUCUUUCCUCUAGGUACCCGAAUCCUGAGCGGCUUCAUUCUGGAACAUUGAUUAACGAGCUAGGAGAAGUAAAAGGUAAGAGGGGAGAGCCUCUGUAGGUGUUUGAACCCCAGGGGCCGAACCCUAGAAGACUGCCUAUUCCUUCACUCUUUUUUUCCUUCUUCCUUUCACUUGAAUCUUGGUCGUGUCCUAGCUUGGUUCCCCAAUAUAGUUGAUCGGAUACAUCUUCAUAGGACCCUUCUCCAGAUUUUCUUGCUCGAUUGUCUUCUGAGACUUAUUCUCGAAAUGCACAUUCUCUCUCUAUUAUCUGUGAGCAGAAGACUUAGAGGUGUUUUAGUUGUGAAGUUGAUGACUUCUCGAUCCUUCUUGGGCCUUGACAUGUCUCCCUUCCGUGCUAAGCUGGAUCUCUUCACUUUCAGUUAUCAUGUCAUUGCACUUUGUUCGGAGGUCACUUCACGUCCUCAUGAGAAUGACUUUCUUUAUGUAAGGGCCUCAGGAGCUUCAGGACGUCAUGGAUAGAUUGAAGGCCAAGCUUCGGGAAAUUGAUUCAUCUGCCCAAGACCUUAAGGAACUGUUAGCCUGAAGUUCGAAAGGCUCGAGAUACUGCCAUUGUCGACUUGGAGGCUUUAGCUAUGCCCCCAGUUCAGUUUGAUGUAUCAUGACCUUUGGAUCAUGACUUCAUGUAGCUUUUAUUUCUUCCAUCACUUUUGAAGAUAAAGUGUAUUAUCGAGGAUUUCAGGGUCAAGUGUCUCAAUCACUUUUGAAGUUGAAAGUAUAACUCUUUUUUUUUUCUGGAUCGAGGGCUGAUUAAUCAGGUGCCUCAUUACUUUUGAAGUUGAAAGUAUAACUUUUUUGGGUCGAGGGCUGAUUAAUCAGGUGCCUCAUUACUUUUGAAGUAGAAAGUAUAACUUUUUCGAGUCGAGGGCUGAUUAAUCAGGUGCCUCAUUACUUUUGAAGUUGAAAGUAUUUUUUUUUUGGGUCGAGGGCUGAUUAAUCAGGUGCCUCAUUACUUUUGAAGUAGAAAGUAUAACUUUUUCGGGUCGAGGGCUGAUUAAUCAGGUGCCUCAUUACUUUUGAAGUUGAAAGUAUAACUUUUUUGGGUCGAGGGCUAAUUAAUCAGGUGCCUCAUUACUUUUGAAGUAGAAAGUAUAACUUUUUCGGGUCGAGGGCUGAUUAAUCAGGUGCCUCAUUACUUUUGAAGUUGAAACUAUAACUUUUAAGAAAUUUGCUCUGAUCAAAAUUUGAUGUAUUUAUUUAACGAUCAAGAUAUAAUACAUUUUUUUUUCAUUUUCUAGUCUGCUAGGGCAGUAGCUUAUUCAGCAUUAUGCUUCUUAUUAUAGUUCGAUUUCACCUGCCGCUAAUUUUUCAUGAUAAAUUCUCCUCAAAUUACGACAAUUCAUGAUGGAAUGUCCUGGGUAUUGAUGAUACACGCAAAAGUCUGAUCUCUUCUUCAUCUCCUCGGUCACAACAAAUCUGGGUUUUGGAGGCUUCACCAUUCCAUUUUCUACCCAUUUCUCAUACAAAUCUUUAAAUAUCUCCUCACCACAAGUGAUAGCUUCGGGCUCUAGCGAAUUUAUAUUCUUUUUGAUUCUUUCCCUCUUGCCCCCCUGUGGCUCUGACUGAGAGUCUGUCAAAGCCGUAGUAGCUGUCCUCUUACUCUUCCAGGUAGCAAUCGGAUGGUUCACAGAUACUGCCAUAAUUUCUCCAUGGUCCUGUGCAAAGGUGGAAAGUGUCGCAAAGGAAUCACAAGACUUAGUGAUCAAGUGGGGCUUGAAGGCGUCGAGGGCGCCGUUGUUGCAAAUACUCACUAAAUUCUUCUCUUCGAUUGGCUCCACACACUUCCGCGCCUGGGCCCGAAAGGUGGAAAGUGUCGCAAAGGAAUCACAAGACUUAGUGAUCAAGUGGGGCUUGAAGGCGUCGAGGGCGCCGUUAUUGCAAAUACUCACUAAAUUCUUCUCUUCGAUUGGCUCCACACACUUCCGCGCCUGGGCCCGAAAUCUGUCAACAUAAUCAGAUAACUCCUCAUUCGAAUUUUGUUGAAUUCUCAUAAGCUCUAUAAUUGACACUUCCUUCUGAACAUAAAAGAAUUUUUUGAAAAACUGGUGUUUCAUAUCAUCCCAAUCUCGAAUCGAACCCUUCUCCAAAUUGUAGUACCAGCUGAAGGCACCGUUAGUGAGCGUCUUGUUAAACUCCCUCAAUAGAAUAUUGUGGUUGCUCACUUCAUCUAUUCCCAACCACGAGGACAUCGACUCCACAAAUCUUGCAAUAUGCUCUCUCGCAUUCCCUUUCUCUCCACUAUACUUAGGGAACUGAAGUGGAUGUUCAAUGUACCCAGCAGGGUAUGGCUGUCUUCUCACAUGCGCCGGGUAUGGUGGGGUGAAAUCCAGUUCCGCAGGCCUGACUGUCUGUCUACGCAUCUGAUUGAUUACAUCCAUCAUGUCUUCCCUUGUCGCAUAUUGACUGGUUUCUGGAGCCUUUUGGGACGUCAUCGCAUACUGGUUUAUCUGAGGUGUAUGUGGAACACAUGUUGAUGCACACUUGCCUCAUGUAAGAUUGGUUGUACUUGCUGGAUUAUUGGUUGUAUAUGGCUUGGGAUGGUUGGUAUCUGCACUUGUGAAAAUGCUGGGAGUGUAAUCGGGAUGAUGUUUAGCUGAGGCUGGCUAGCUUCCAAUCUAAGUGGUGGUACAUCACCACUGUUCUGGGGCUCCAAGUUGAUGACUGGAAUCGGCUGACUCUCCAUUGCUGGAGGUAUAAUCUGAUUCUCUUUGUUGUUGUUGUUGUUGUCCUCCACUUCUCCUGCUCGUCCCCCUUGCGAACUUCCUGGGAACAUGGUCUUGAAAGUGGGGAUUUGCAUCAACUGCUGGCAAAAAUUCUCCAUUUCUUCUUGCUUUCUCUGCAUCUCUAGCAUCAUGGCCAUCAUCAUCCCUUGCCCUUCUCGUGCUUCUUUCAAUGCUUUAAGCAUCUCCAGUUGCACAGCAUUCGUCUGGUCUCCCCCUGCAUCUUCGCCUUGCCUUCUUGCAUUGGUUUGUUGUUGAUUGGCCAUAUGUGGUGAUGUCGAACUCCCUUCCAAAGCGUCUUCAAUAAUUGGUUGGUCAAAAUCCAGGUUUGCGCCUUGGAAAACUUGAGUUACUUGUCUUGGAACUGGAUCCGGUGACGUAAUGCUAUUUGUUGGUGAAGCAGCUCUUCCUGUAAUUCUCCCACUUCGAGUCGUGGGCAUACCCUUCACGAAUUAUACACCUCCCCAGCAGAGUCGCCAAAGAAAUGUGGGCAAGGAAAUUGUACCUUAGUAGGGUUAGGGUUUCGUGUUGGCUGAGGAGGAGAGAAAUCCACGAAGAGCACGGAAUUGAUUGGUUGAUUGAAGAGGGGAGAACGACAGGUGGGCGAUUACUCCAACGACGUGUGGCAGAACCCCUAGAAUACAGGAACCGUGUUAGGGUAGUAGGGUUUCCAAGAUCCUUCUUGAGUCCUUUGUUCUUGAGAGAAUGUCUAAACCCCUUUUAGUGCUUUUAGGUGGAAUCUCCGAGCCUUUAAGUCACCAAAAAGGGUCCUUUGAUCUUCCGAGAGUCCAAGUCUUGAGUCUAAAGAGAAGUCCCUUUCCCAAUGGAAUGGAAGGGGUAUUUAUAGGGUUUUCUGGAAAGUAGUCAUGUGCGAGGCACAUGCUUUCAGGGAAAUUCCAGAAAUGCCCUUUAGUCAUUAGAAUAAUGCCCAUGUUGCCCUGUCCUUCUAGCCACCAAUCCAAUCCCUCAAUCAAUUCCCACAUCGAGCCGCCUCCACGAGUCUUCUGCCUCGGGACACGUGGAGGCUUCUCCCAGGUCUAGCACAUUUAUUUAUGACUUUUUUGUCUUCAUUCCAUUCGGUUAUGCGAACCCUAAUUUGCACAUUUAAUGAGGUCGUGGAACCCUAAUUGCGCAUUUAAUUCAAUUAGGUCAUGUGAACUCUAAUUUUACACUUGGGCCCACACUAGUAAAUGAUGAUUUUCUUCUAACCAGAAGUAUGAGCAGGUUAAAAGUAGAAGAAUAAGCAUCUCGCAGGCCAAAAAUCAAUAAAAAAACGAAAAGAAGAAAAAGAAAAGAAGAAGACAGCAAUAGCAAGACCAUAUUUUUCUUCUUCUUUCUUUUUAUCUUUUCUUUCUUUCUUUUUUGUUUCUUUUUAGACGGAGGGUUUUAUUUCAUCUUUGAAAAUAAACCUAAGAAUUUAUCAAAGGAAAUAAAGGAUAAACGACAAUACAAAUAUAUAUUUUUAUUUUAUUUUCAAAUAUAUACGCAUGCAUGAUAAAGAUUCACAAUUAUACACACAUAUAUAAUAGGCUACAACCAACAAUCUACUAAACAAUUUGUAAACCAUCGAGGUGUUUUAGUGACAACCUACCGUCUACCAAAUCGUUAUUAGUUAACGAGUUAGUGUAAAUUUUCAUUUUGGAAGCUAGUAUAAACUAUCAUCUCUCAAAUUGUUAUUAGUAGAGGAGCUACGAAUGUAAACUAUCGUCUAACAAACUAUAUUAGCUGAUGAACUAGUGUAAACUAUCAUUUACUAGAUGUAUGAGCAUGUUAAGAGUAGAAGAAUAAGCAUCUCGCAGGUAAAAAAAUAGGAAAAGAAGAAGACAACAAUAACAAGGCCACAUUUUUCUUUUUCUUCCUUUUUAUCUUUUUUUUUCUUUUUUGUUUGUUUUUAGACGGAGGACUUCAUUUCAUCUUUGAAAAUGUGGGUAAAGAAAUUGUACCUUAGGUUUUCAUGUUGGCUGAGGAGGAGAGAAAUCCACGAAGAGUACGGGAUUGAUUGAUGAAUUAAAGAGGGCAGAAGAACAUGUGAUCAAUUACUCUAAUGACAUGUGACAAAACUUUUAGGAUCCGAGAACCUUCUUAGGGUGCCAAAGAUCCAGGGAGUCUUCUAGGGUGUGCUUCGGGUUGAGAGAGAAUCUCCAAGUCUUCAAUCUUUCGAAAAGCCCUCUUCUUCAUAGAAUAGAAGGAGUAUUUAUAGAGUUUCCUGGAAAGUGGUCACAUGACAGACAUAUGACCUCGAGCAAAUUCCAAAAAUACCCUUAGUCACCAGAGUAAUGCCCAGAUCGUCCUGUCUUUCUAGCCACCAAUCCAAUUCCUCAAUCAAUUCUCAAAAUGAGUUGCCUCCAUAAGCCUUUUACCAUGGAGGCUCUUCCUUGAUCUCAUGAUACAAAGCUCUUAUUGCUCAAACCAUGCUUACUUGCUCUUCCUUCUUUAUUUAAGAAUCUCGUCGCCAGAAAUCAUCGGAAGAACUCUGCGCAAGACCCGGGAAGCCGCGUGUUACAAACCAGUCCCACAUCGAAAGAUAUGGAAAAAAAUUAGUCUAUAUAUAAGGAAUUAUGUUACUACCAAUAAUAUACUUUUAAGUCAUGACCUUUUGGGUGAGCCUGUGGUGGGAUAAGAUGACCCAAUAAUAUACUAUUGGGUCAGUGGUUUAAGGCCUUGGGAUUCGGACUUGGGAUUUGACCCAAGAUUUGUUUUGGGCAAUUUUACUCAGGUUGUUACAUAUGGUAUUAGAGCCGACUCUCGAAAGCUCGGGUCGGAUCAUCCGAUCGGGUUGCCGGAAGUGGGGACACGAAACCAGCCGAUAUUAUCCCACAAUGGCUAAAGAGGCAAAGAUCUGUGGAACGUAUAUGUGAUCGAUUUUGAUGGAGAUGUCAAAAAUUUAAGUGGGGUAGUUUAUAACACCUCAGUCCCACAUUGAAAGAUAUGGGAAAUACUAUUGUGCAAUGAUUUAAGCUAUCCAGCUAUAUUGUUAUAGUUUGGAUAUAUUCCAGUAUGAGAAUUAACAAACCCUGAAAUGGGAUAUUUUUAUUGCACUCUGGGAGUGGUGACGUUGAACAUGGAAGUUGUUCUGGAUAAGAUAGUAUUGAUUAAUAAAGGGCAUAUAUAAAGGGCUGAUCAUCCAUCGUGCUCAUAAGAUAAGAUGGUUCACAAAUAAAUUUUUAAGAAAACCUUUUCAAGAAAAGAAAAAGCUUGUUCACGGUCUUAUGACCUCUCAGAUGUUCAAUAUUGAUAUGAUAUUCCAGGAAUAUGAAUGAUUCAAGAUUUAAUUGCUUUACAGUUUUGUUUCACUGUUAAAGCAUGUCUCAAAGAAAACAUUUAAUUAUUGUUAAGAUAUUAAAGAAUGCUAUUACUUAUUGAGCAAUUGAAUGCUCAUUCUUGUUUUGUUAUAAAUGUUUUCAGCUAAUCAGGCUCCAACGGAGGGGUCUAAUAGAGACAAAGGAAAAGGAAAAGCUACUGAGUAGUAGGUAUAUGUUGUAAUAAAUAGUUUAUAUGUUUGUAGAUAUUUAACUAUCAUGUAAUAAGCACUUAAUGGUUACGUACCUGGUAUUAGAAGAACUCUGAUAUAAUAAAUCUAUCAAGUUUGAUAUUAUAUUAUGUUGAAUGCUUGAUAUCUUGAAGCACUGAAUAAGGGUUUAAAAUACCCGAAUUUGGGGGCGUCACACGCCCGAUUCGCCUCCUUUGCGUAUGUUUAACAUGCUCAUACAACUUGUCUAAUACUCCAUUGAUUAAUUCUAAGUAUCAUUAUAUUUCAUAACUUUCAUGUUUAAUAACUUAGAAUAACAUAUUUUAUCGUCAAAAGCAUCCACGUAGUACGAGCAUGCCCGACGCCCUCCGAUCGCCUCCGAUCGAAUGCACAAUAGUCCUAAAAAUAGCCAUUUUAGCCCCUUCUCCCGACCUCAAAUCUCAAAACUUAUAAAAUAAAAGUUUUAGGUCAACUUCUAAUAUUUUCGAAUCAUCUUGAAUCACCUCAAUCAGAGUUCGUAUAAAAAGGUUAUGCAUGUUUUACUAAAGAACGUCAAAGCUGACUUUCUGCACUUUUGGUUCAGCGCCCAUCCUAGGCCUAUUUCCAACGCCCCGGGGCUGGACGGCAGUACGUUCUCAGCCAAAAACUUCAAUUUUCAAAAAUCUUCAGUUUUGAAUGAUUUCAACAUGUCUACUUUGAAAUAUCAUAAAUUUCUCCUCCGAUAUCGAAAUGAGCUCGUUCUUAAUGGGUUGAAAAGCUUGCAACACCCUCUACAAAUUUCUCAGGACAAAAUAAUUUUCUGGAUUCUCUAACAAUCCUUUAAACUUUCUCAAAAGUCCAUCGAGACUAAGAUUUUUAUCAUUCAACAUACUUUACCAAAAUUUUCUGCCAUGACUUCGUUUUAACAUAUUUUUACUCCGUUCCAAUUAGAAUAUCUUCAUAAAUUCCUUAUCUAUAAAUCCUUAUUCCCGAAUUUUAUUUAUUACAACCCUAUCAACAAUAUUAAAAUCCAAUUUAAGUACUCUAAAUAAAUAAUGUCUAUCCUUUAAGCUUUGGCCUACGAUUCCAUUCUUGUUACCACUUCUUAUGCAAUUUAACAAGUUAUUUAUCAUGAUCAAAGCACACAUAACUUUAUUUACUCAAGGUCCUUCAUACUCUUUCAUUAAACAACCAUCGCCAACAACUAAUGAUUCAAGAAAGACUUCACAGAAAUGAAAAGAUGGAUGGUUCUUACCUUCUUAGUUAUUCUUCUUCUUCCUAGCUUAUGCUUUGUUAGCAUGAUAUACAUUGUUGGGCCCUCCAUCUACCAACUUAAGCUUUUAAGAUAAGUUGGUUACUUAACAUGGUAUCAAAGCUUUGGGUGUGCAAGGUCUUGGGUUCGAAUUUUUCCAGCUGCACAAUUAUCUUUCUAUUAAUUUAACAGUGCAAAUGCACUUUAAUUUCUCCCUUCUCUAUAAAAAAAAGUUGCGUUUGAGAGGGAGUGUUAGCAUGAUAUACAUUGUUGGGCCCACCAUGCAUCUAACAGCUUAAGCUUUUAGAUGAGUUGGUUACUUUGCUCUUCUUUCUCUUCUUAUUGGUAUUCGGCCUCUCUAUUUCUCUCUCUCUCUCACUCUCUUGUUUUCUUUCUCUUCUCUCUAGUUUGCCCUCUCUUCCUUUUUUUUUCUUGCAAAUGAAAUGAAUUGGCUAAGUGAAAAAUCCUCUAGAUCAAUUGAAUUCUCCACUAACUAACUCAACCAUACUUCUAAGGUUAGGUUAACUCGUGUAGGGUUAGGGAAUGAUAGGAUGACACUUGUAAGCUUAAUGUUUAAGGAUGACAAGAAGAUAUAAGCUAGCAUUAAAUUAAAUUUUCACCUUGCUAGAUGAGUCACACAUACUCUCCCUUUUGCUUCUUUAAUUGGUUGGAUCACCCCUCCCUUUCUUAGCUCAUAUUUUAAUUAUCCCAUGUGGGAUAAACAUCAAUCCUCUCCCUUAUCUUACUUUUUCACCCAACUUAUCUUUUAUGAGAUAACUACUAAGUCUCAUUCCUUAUCUUUUCUUCGAUAAGCCUUGUCAUUAAUCCUUAUCUCUUCCUUGUUUUCCUUCAACCCAAACUUACCAUAAAUAGAAAGUUUCCAUCUCACCUUCUCUCUUCUCCUUGUCCAUAUUCAAAUCCCCACAUGUUUAAUUCUAGCAAAUGACACUUGCCCUCUUAUAACUUUGGCUCCUAGUUUGGCUCACUUUUUGGCUCAAAGACCAAGCCAUGGCUCCUAUCCUUUGACUCUAAGCUUAAGCCACUCAAACCUUAGGCUCAACCCUUAGCUAAGCCCCUUUAAAUUCCUAACCAAGUCAUUUAAACCUUAGGUUUGGUUAGACUAGAAUUAAUUUAAUUUCUCUUUUUCUUUUAAAUUAGUUAGAUUUCCUAAUUUUUUAGUUACAUUUUUCGUAAUAUGCUUGGUUAGCUGACAAUCCGACUUUUGAUUUUCAAAAAUCCAAUUUCGCCACCAUUCCUUCUUUCCCGAAUAAACGCUAUGUAGUUCUUCGAAAUUUUAAAAAAAACGAAGUUGGGUUUUUAGCGUGAAUAGUUUUUUUUCAUACGACUUUUUCUAGAAAAAUAUUUUAUUAGAGAUUUCAUCUCGCCUUCUCAAAUAAACACUAUGAUGUAAUUCAAAAUUCUCGAAAAAGUAUGUUUAUUAGCGUUUUUCUGUGAUUUUAAAAAUAGUAACUUUUUCGUCUUUUUCUCGAAAAAAUUAUAUUCUCCCAAAACUCCCAACACUUAUACAUAAUCACGUAACACGUAAACUAGGUCAUUAAUCGACCUAAAUCAUGUAACACAUAAUAAUAUCUAUAAAAUUUUAUUUUAUUAGAUAUUCACAAAUAAAACCUAUUUUCAAGCCUAUCUGAAUUCUCGGGUCGUCACAUAGUAUUUAUAGAGUUUCAUGGAAAGUGUUCACAUGCCAGGAACAUGACCUCAUGGAAAUUCAAGAAAUACCCUUAGUCACCAGAGUUAUGCCUAGAUCAUCUUGUCCUUCUAACCACCAUGCAAUCCAAUCCCUCAAUCAAUUUCAAAAAUGAGUUGCCUCCAUAAGCCUUCUGCCUUGGGACCCAUGGAGGCUCCUCCUCGAUCUCAUGCUUCAAAGCAAUUGUUGCUCAAACCAUACUUUCUUACUAUUCCUUCUUUAUUUGAGAAUCUCGUCGAUGGAAAUCCUCGGAAGAACUCUGCGCAAGAACCAGGAGGCCGCGCCUUAGGGGGGCAAUCCUUAGGGGGCGGAACCCUAGGGAGCUGAACCCUAGGGGGGCCUCCUUCAGUUCUUUUCGUUCGUUUCAACCUUUCUUGGUCAGUUUUCAUCAUUUUCUCAUGAUUCUUGGUCCUGUAAGAAGCCUUUCUUGUCAUAGAGAUUAUAAGGCUAAUCAUUAUUUGGAGUUUCACAAGAUUUUAGUUUAUUUUUGUAGUCCAGGCUUAUUUCUUUGUCAUUGCAUCGAUGAAACCCCUUCUAGCAUGCCAAUCGAGAAAAUGAGGUAGCAUAUGCCCUAGGGUGCCGAACCCUAAGAGGUAAUUUAGAUUUCUUUUGUCCAUCUUUUGUCUGUUUUCCUUUUUUCAUUACGAUAGUUCCAACCAAAUCCAGUCGGAGAAGAAAUUGGUUUUAUCUUUUCUUUAAGGAGAAGUCAUCUUGGAGUGGUUGAACCAUAGGGUGGCCGAACCCUAAGGGGCCAAAAUCCUAGGAUUUUUCCCUUUUUGCUGAUUUAAUGCUUCGUUCAUUAAUUGAAGUCUUGUUCAUUUACUUUCGUCUUUUCAUUUAAUUCAAUUAAAUCAUAUGUAAACCCUAAUUUGUACUUGGGCUCACAGAAAAUAAACCUAAGAAUUCAUCAAAGGAAAUAAAAGAUAAAUGACAAUACAAAUAUUGCGUUUUGUUUUGUCUUAUUUUUUUAAUUUUAUUUUCAAAUAUAUACGCAUGCAUGAUAAAGAUUCACAAUUAUGUAUAUAUAUAUAUACAUAUAGAUACAUAAUAUGGUAAAUAAUAGGUGGUAGUUGUUUUAUUUAUAAUAUGGUAAAUAAUAGGUGGUAGUUGAUUUAUUUAUUACAUGCUAAUAACAGCCAUGAGUUGAUAGUUGAUUUAUUUAUUAUAUGCUAAUAACAGCUAUCAGUUAUUGGUUGAUUUAUUUAUAUAUCGUGCUAAUAACAACCAUCAACUUGUAUAUAGUUUCUUGAUUUACUGCUGAUCGGAAGAUUACUGAUCGUUCAUUUAGGCGUUGGUGGGACUAAUGUUAACACCAUAGAUAACUAAACCCGUCUUCAUAGUCACGCUUUCAGUCCCGUCAAGAGCAAAUUUGAUAUCUCCAUAGUCAAACUUAUUGAAGAAUUCCCCAGCUUUGAGCGAAAAUGGUGUGUUUCUCGGAUAAUUCAUCAAUCCAUAUCCGUUCACUUGCGAGGAUCCAUUCGGAAGAGUAAGUGUAAGACUCACCGGACUUGCUAUGUUAAAGUUGUCUUUCAGCAGCACCACAAAAGAUACCUCAUAAGAUAAAUUUUCAAGCUUUUCUGUCAUAUAGUUUCCGUCAACAUGUAGGACUAAGCUACCAAUUAAUUCAGCACUGUCAGGACUGUAAAAAAUGAUAGUAGAAUUAAAGUCAGAAACUUUUGAUAUAAGGAGCUUAAAUUCAUUAAUAUAGUACAAUUAAUGCGAGUCCUUCUAUCUAACUAGACUUCAAUAAAAUUUCUUUAGUCCUUCUAUCACUUUAAUUUAAUGACAAAGUUGCUUAUAUCCCUAUUUUUAACUGAAUAAAAUUCAGGUGUUUAAGCACAAAUCUUGACCUUUGACGUCAAUUAAGUUAACUAAAUCUUAUUUCUACUUACGUAAACUUCCAGCCCGAAGGGUUGAAAUAAUUGAGUUUCUCAGCAGGUAUAUAAGCGCCAGAACUUUGAAUAAGACAAGAAAAAAAAAUUCAUAUCAUCCAUUACAAAAAAAUCUCACUUGCAAAAUUUACAAAUAUUAAGGAUUAUUUUUGUUCUAUAACCAACUUUAGCUAUAUAUAUGAUGUUUGUUUACAAUUUCAGUAGACUUACCUUCUGCCCUAUUCCGUUGUUUUGGAGCAACUCCAUUUCCUUGGCUUGGGACAACAAUGCCUUGAGGUCAACCUCAUUAUGCCUCACUACUUGUGCCAUCUCCUCGAUCGAUCGAUAACUAUCCUUUAAUUCUGCUAUAUAUAUAUAUAUAUAUAUAUUUUCUGUUUCUAUUCUUGAUGUCUAUAUAUCUCUCUUCCAAAGGCUAGCUCUAUUUAUACUGGCACAAACAGAGGGUACUGCGAUUAUUAUAUUCCAUAAUAUCCUAUCUUCAAAUAUUCCUUCCCUUUUCACAGUAGGGAUCCGAUCCCGAUAAGUUUAACAUCAGCAUCAUCAUCAUCACCAAGGAUAUAGAGCAGCCGAUUCUGUUUGAUAAUUUUGUUGGAAUAAUUCUUUUCCAUUUCUCAGUUCAAUAAUUCUUUCUUUAGCUUGUUGCGCAGGCAAAAUUCCAUGAAGGCGAAAGGUACGUAGGCAUCCUAGUAAAUGAUGAUUUUCUUCUAACCAGAAGUAUGAGCAGGUUAAAAGUAGAAGAAUAAGCAUCUCGCAGGCCAAAAAUAAAAAAAAAAUCGAAAAGAAGAAAAAGAAAAGAAGCCACCAAUAGCAAGACCACAUUUUUCUUUUUCUUUCCUUUUUAUCUAUUCUUUCUUUGAUUCUUUUUUAUAAUUUUUUUUAGAUGGAGUCUUUGAAAAUAAGCAUAAGAAUUCAUUAAAGGAAAUAAAAGUGUUGAAAGUUGUCUUGCAUUAGUCUUCUCCAAAUUCUGUUCCCCUUAGACUUUAGAAUUUAGCCUUUCCCAAAAUUCUGUUCCCCUCAGAUUUCGGAAUUUUGCUUUCCUCAUUUCUUGUUCUCCUCUCCAGAUUUCUCCUAUAAAAGGGAGCUUUGGUGUAAGACCCCAACUUUUAUGAAUAAAGACGAAUUUUUCUAUAAAUAUAAUUUUUGAUUAUUAAGAUGUGAAUUUGAAAAAAUAUUAUAGUUGUGAGUAAUAUUUAAAAAUUUUACAAAGUAAACAAGGUGUUAUAAAAUAUUCGGUUGGUCGAGGAAUAUUCGUUUUAACAGGGAAUAUUCAUACGACGACACAAUCAUUGGUGGACCCCACAACGAAAGUAUUGUCGGAGUUAGAAAACGACAGAAAUAUCUUAUUAUGAAAAUAAUGGCGAAAAUUUUACCGUUAACUGUUGAAAUACCCGUUAGUAAAAGUACAGUAAUACGUAUGGUUGCAUAGUAGUACACGGUAUUAAUUAUUGAUGCUUACGUGAGAAGUCACUCAGUUAUACUCAAUUAUUGUUACAGUAAUUGUUGUAUCAUAUCUCUUAUAUUAUUGAUUCAAUUAUUGUCAGUAUCAUCUGCAUAAUAUUUUAUAUUAUUAAAUCAAUAAUUGAGACGAUAAAGUUAUUCAUAUUAUUAUUUACAAUAUUGACGAUGUCUAGAAGUUCUGUCAAGGAGAGGUUAGGUCAUUUAAUUGCGCGCCAAUAGGGAGAAAUCCUUAUCGGAAAGCCCCUCUUUCCUGAAAACGAUCUGGUUGUUAAUAUUGCGAGUUAUAAUAAUGAUGAAUAAAUUGAAGGAAUUUUAUGAAAUAUUUGUUGUAAGUUUUGCUUAUUAUAUGGACCCCCAUUUAACCAUUUUUCAAAAUAAUCGGUAAAAAAUUAUUCAGUAUUUUUUUUAAUAAAAAAGGUGGGGCCACAUGUGGGGCCCACUGAAAGAAAAAUGGGGGGGGGGAGAUGUUUAUGUUUGUCAUGGGUGAAGGUUUGAUUAUAUAUAUAUAUAUAUAUAUAUAUAUAUAUAUAUAUUAUAAUAAGUCUUUUUUUUAUGAAAAAUAGAAUAUAUUAAAUUUUAUUUGCAUAGUAUUUUACUAUGCAGUGCACAGUAAAGUUUUGUGAAUUAGAAAUUCGGCGCCCGUGAAAUUUUCGAUUGUUUUGUCCGUGAGAAUUUCAAACAGUACCCCUUCCAUCAUCCUAUAAAUAUGACGCUUAUUUUGAAUUGAAAAUCACACAAGAAUCAGAGAAUUUUUUUCUAUAAUAUUGAGUAUAUUUCUUUCGAGUUUUAGAAAGUUUUGAGUGUAGAAAACAGUGAAAGUUUUUUUCAAGAAUAUCCCCGCUAUACCAGUCGAAAUACUCUUCUUAGGAUGUUUUUUUGUUCAAUAUUCGUAUGAAAUAAUAUUUUCUUCCAUACUCUGUAGUAUGUAAAUAAUAUUAUUUCGUUUUAGAUUUCGAAUUCUAUAUCCAUUUUGUUAAAGUUUUGGCUCCUAUACUCCAUGAAAUUAGUAGAAUAUCCUUAAAAUUUGCGUUUCAUCCAGUAUCUUUUCAUGGAAAUAUUAUUCUGAGCAUUCUUGAUAAGUUUUAAUUUUUUCAUGCCAGAGUACUAUAUACGGGGUACUAUUCUCAAAUUACUAUUCACGGGGUACUAUUCACUCGGUUACUAUUCAUCCGAGGCACUAUUCAUGACAAAAAUUAAUUUUUUUUCGGUCCAAAUCAUUUUUGUUACAAUAUUAUUCGUGAAUUUUACUCCAUAAUGCAGUAUCAUAUUGACAAUUUGGACAUUAUUAAAUUAUGGAUAAAUUAAAUUAUAAAUCUUUAAAAAUUUAUCUUUUGCUUUCAUUUAAUUGAAUUCUUAUAUCAUUGUCAUCAUCCUGAUGCUUAUAUUAUAAUGAAAGUCAUUUGUGGCCCGUAGUGCAUAGAUGGACUUGGUAUGAUUAUGACCAGGGAUUAUUUGGUAUAAUCAUGACUGUAAUAUUACAAAUGAUGUGGUAAAAGUCCUCAUUGGCCCGUAGUGCAUUGAUGAACAGUUGUUUUCAUGAUCAUGACCAUUGAUGAAAACACGAAUAUCUUUGGCCCGUAGUGCAUGAAUAAUUUGUGGUUGUGAUACUAAAGAAUAUCCUUGGCCCGUAGUGUAUGGAUAAUUCAGUGAUGUGUAUUAUUUAUUAAGCUGAGUCUCAGCGAUACAAUUGAUGAUAAACCUUUUAAAUAAUAGAAGAUAGUAGAUUUUAUGCUCUACUUAACUCUUCUAAUAGAUUGCUUGUUCCUCUGCAAUUAAACUUGAUGUUUAUUAUAUUUUAUCAGUUUAACAUUGUUGAAGGCUAAUGAUAAUUUAUUCUGUGUUAUCUUAGUCAUAAUAUUUCUUACUGGCUAGUUGAGCUCACCCUUUACUUUCAUUGUUCUCUUCAGGAAAUGAGAAUAUAGCUGGGAUCGACUAGUCGGGGAACGGAGUGACGGUCCAAAUGAUAACAUUAGUAGUCCUCACUAUUCUGUGAAAUAGUGUGAUAAUAAAUGUAAUGAGGACUUAUUUUGAGUUUGAAUACUGUCUAGAAGACAAUAUUUGUAUUAAAACUCACAACUCAUGUUAUAUAUUUAAGUUUAUAUUUGUAUUCUGUACCAUGUAUUUAACGAUUCAAAAUGGGUGAUGUAUACCUAUUCUGGGGGCGUCACAGUUGGUAUCAAAGCUUGGGGAUAUGAUCCCUGGCUGAGAUGAGAGACUAGAACUAGGAGGGGAGAGUCAGGUAAUUCCUUUGCUAGUAUGACCUACCUAAGUUUAUUUGUUAUUUAAUUAGUCGGUCAGAAUAUAGGGAUAAUAUGUUGCAUGUCAAUUAACCCUUGUUUUGUGGCAGUAUUUGAAAAUGACAUCCGAGAAUGUUGAGAAUAGCAAUGGAGUACAUGAGACCGUUGAAUCACCAACGAUCAAUAACCAGGAUAAUGUGCAUCAGGAAGGCAAUAAUCCUCAUGCAAACAAUAACUCCAACAAAAUAAUGAACGACAAAAUGUUUAUGAGCUUUCUUCAAUUCAUGCAACAUCAGGCAAGAGAGACUCCUGUUCAAAAUGUAGGUGGAAAUACCGGCAACUCUCGAACGGUCACCGCUAAGCAAUUCAAGGAGCUGGGACCACCGAAGUUUUUGGGAAAGCCAAAACCACUUAAGGCGGAGACAUGGUUAAAGCAGAUCACUAAGAUAUUUGAUGUCUUUGGAUGCUCCGAGGAGCAAAAGGUUCCCUUUGCCACCUUCAUGUUGCGAGGAGAGGCAGAUCAUUGGUGGAAAUCUGUAAAAUGUACCCAGCUUGCCACAUUAAAGAUGUCUUGGGAGAAGUUUCAAGAACUGUUCAACGACAAGUACUUUUUCGAAAGUAUUCGUUAGAUGAAGGAGGUGGAGUUCAUCAGGUUGGAAUAAAACAAUAUGACCAAGACGCAGUACGAGGCUAAGUUUGCGGAGUUAUCCCGGUUUGCAUCUCAUUUGGUUGUUAAUGAGGAGAGAAUGACGCGGAUAUUUUUAAGAGGUUUGAAACCUGAGAUAUGUCAAUAUCUCAUUCUCACAAACUUUGCUUGUAUUCAGAUGUUGUGAAUAUUGUAAUAACUCGAUAUUUUCUAUAUAAUUAAAUCAGAAAUUUUACGUAUGAAUUUUUUUAUUUAAUUAUUAAAGUUGGAAAUAUGUGCCAGGUAAUGUGUAUAUGUAUAUAUGUGAUAAAUAAAAUAUAUUUAUUACAUGAAUAAUUACCAAUAGUUUUAUUUUAGAAUUAUUGCUCAUUAUAAAUUAUAUUAUAAUAAUAAUUAGUUUUAUACUAAAAAUGUUUUCAUUAAUUCUAUUCUAUGAAAAUAUGUUUAUAUAUUAUUUAAAAAUUAUAUGAAAUGAUUAUAUAAUUAUUAUAAUGAUUAUUCUAUUUUAUUAUAUGAAUUUAGUUCAGAUUAUUUAAGUUAAUUAUUUUAACUUAAUUAUUAUUGUUAUGUAUGCAAGAUAAAUCAGAUAUGGAAUCCAAACCCUAAUUUUGGAUUUUGAACAAGGAAUGAGAAUAUUAAUAUAAUAUUAAUUAUAUUUUUAUUUUUCAGUGCUAUAAAUAUAUAUGUUAUGUUUGUAAGGUUAAUCUGGGGAGCAAUUUUCUUAUGACCUGAUAAAACCCUAAUUUGAAAGUCAAUUACGACUGUAAAAUUUGUUAAGUCAUUGUGAUAUGUGGUCUAUGAUUUGUAUUAUAAGUAUUAAUGUUAAUUCUAUAAAACCCUAAUUAGUAAUUUAAAACUCUAUUUUUCUUAAAUUAGGAACCCUAAACAGUACUUAGCUAUCCGCUAAGUGAAAACCCUAAUUUAAAACUCAGCUAUGAGUCGAGACUGUUAUGUAACUGUAUUAUUAUGUUUAAGGUUAAGUAUUAUAGAAUUUUAUAUUAAUUAAAGAAACCCUAAUUAACAUUUAGAAAUUCUAAUUUCUAGAAACCCUAAUUUCUAAAUUAGUAACCCUAAUUUGCUAAAACAAAACUCUAAUUGUUAAUUUGGCACGCUUAAUGAUAAUUAGUAAAAUUUAAACCUAAUUUUCAAGUCUAUGUAAUGAGGAAACCAAAUUAAUUAUGAAACCUUAAUUUGUAUUUUUAGAAACUAAAAAUUUCAAUUUUUUUAAAAUUAGAAAUCCUAUAACACUUUGUGCUAACCCUAAGGGUCAAACCCUAAGGGUUUGAUAAGUUACUAGUUUGCCCUUAAAUUGAUUAGCCAAAUGACAAAAAUACCCCUCUUGCAUUAUUGGACAUAACUUGUAAGACUAGCCAAUUUUGAGUUGCUCAACAACUCUUACCAGCCCCAUGUGACUAAAAUGCCAGCAAUCAAGCUCUAGAUAUCAGCCAACUUGAUUUCAUGUUUUAUAUAUAUAGACAUCAAGAGAGAGAAAUUUCAUUUAUUAGCCACAUUUGUACACAAACUCCUUACCAACUCUCUCUCCCAAAACCCAUGAAAUGUUGUAGUAGAUCAGUCCCGUAUUGAAGCCCCACUAACACACUUAAGCAAAUCAGCAGCCAGAAUCAAGAAUUGAUGCUUAAAGGUAUAAAAUCCUAAGUCAAAUUUUGAUCUUGUAUGCUAUAUUGGAUUUGUGGUUUUAAUGUUUAAUCAUGUUGAAUAAGGUGUUAAUAGGUGAUCUGGGUUGGCACAUGUUAGAUCCAUAACAUCAAAGUGCUCGAAAUCUAAGUUUUUCAAAAUAUGGAAAUUUUUGUUUUUGUUGUCUGACAGCGAAUGUCAGGCCUUGUAGAUCUGUGCUUAUUUAUUAUUUUGAUGAUUUAAAUGUUUGAAGUGGUAGUCUGGUAUGAGGUCUUUCAUAUGAAAAUGGAAUCACUGUUAUUGGAUGUCUAGAUCGAAAAUUAUUGAUGGUCAAAGGUCGUUGACUGACCAUGACCGAGUAUGAAUCUGGGCAACCUUGAAAGCUUUUUCAGCGUCUGAAAAUGUUUUGGAAGGCUUAGAUCUGUCAGUGUGUAAAUGAUUUGAUGAUGUUAUAAUAUCCAGUUUAUAGCUUGUCAUAUGUAAUUUAUAUUUGUGGCUUUAUAUCCUUUAAACAAACAAUUGAUCGAACUUAGUGGAUGGUCAAACCUGGCCCCUCGGUCACGAUUUCAUUUCUGGGAAUUUCCAGAAAAUCGAAAGAACAGCCCUCUGACAGGGUUUGACCGAGUAAUAUCUUGUAGAUCUGUUGAUGUUAAACUGAUUUGUUGUUAUAUUAUUGUUCCUGGACAUAAGGACUACAUCUUUGAGGCAUUAGAUCACUUGAAUCAUGAACGGAACCUAGAUUAAAUCGAGGAUGAAAGUGACUGGUCGACCACCUGGGUUUCUGGAAAACCCAGGAAUGCUCUGACAACAUAUUUGCAAGCCUAGAUCUCCUUGUGUGUUUGUUGUAUGACCUAGAUAUUGAUUGCUAGUUAUAGUGUUGUAUAAUGACUUCAAUAUUGAUGCUUAAGUUUGCCCAAAAACGAAUUAGACAGAGAAUUAUUAGUGGUCAAAGUUGACCCCUCAAACACGAAGCUGUCAGUGUUCUUGAGCUCAAGAACACCAACAGCGACGCUUAGUGUCACUAAAGGCCAAUAGCGAUGGUUUCUAAUAUUUUUAAUUUCUGAUUUUCUAGAAAAUACUUAAAAAUAGAAAAUAAAUUAUAAAAAUUACAAAAAUGGUUUUAAAAAUUAUUUUAAAUUAUGAAAAUUAACUUUUAAUUAUUUGGGAUAUUUUUUAUUAAUAUUUAUAAUUAUUUGAAUAUUAUUAAUAUUUAAUUUAUUUAAUUAGUGUAUUAAAUAAAUUAGAGAAAAAUGAUUUUAAUGUUAUAAAAAUCAAUUUAAAUAAGAAUAAAGUGUUUAAAAAUAUUUUUGAGUUAUAUAUGUAACUUUUAAUAUUUUUGUGAUGAAUUUCAUUAAUUAAUUAAUAUUAAUGAUAAUUAAGUUAUUUAAUAAAUGUAUUAAAUAAAUUAUGAAAAAUAGAAAUUAUGAUUUAAAAAUCAUAUAAAAGUGAUUUAAAGAUUAUAAAAAAAUAUUUUAAGUUAUAAAAUAUAACUUUUGAUAUUUUGUCAUGAAAAAUAUUAAUAAUUUUAUAUUAAUAAUAUUAGAUUUAUUUAAUGAUUAUAUUAAAUAAUUUAGUUUAAAAUGAUUUUAUUAUUAUAAAAUUAUUUUAAAUGAAAAUAAAGUGUUUAAAGAUAUUUUAAGUUAUAAAAUAUAACUUUUAAUAUUUAAAGGAUAAUUUCAUUAAUAAUUUAAUAUUAAUGAUAUUAAUUUAAGAUUUAUUGAUAUUAAAUUUAUUCAAUAAUUAUAUUAAAUAAAUAGUUUUAAAAUGGUUUUAUUAGUUUAAAAAUUAUUUAAAAAGGAUAUAAAUGAAUUAAAAAUAUUUUAAGUUAGAAUUAAUAACGUUUAAUAUUUGGAUAAAUAGUAGAUUAAUAUUUUAAUAUUAAUGGUAAUUAUUUAAAAAUGAUUUUAAAUGUUUAAAAAAUUAUUUAAGGGUAAUAUUAGCACUUUAAAAAUAUUUUGAGUUAUUAUUAAUAACUUUAAUAUUUUGGCAAUGGUUUCAUUAAUAGUUUAAUAUUAAUUAAAUAUUAAUGAUAAUAUGAUUAUUUACUAUUUAAAUCAUUUAAUUAUGAUUCUAGUGUUUGAAAAUUCAUAAUAAAUUAUAAUAAAUGUUUAAAAAUUAUUAUAAGUCAUUUAAAAAUAAUAUGACUGAUAUUUGUAGAUAUUGAGAUACAGGAUAGAGUCUUAGACUCGAUAUUUACCUGAUAAAGCCGUCGGUAGACCGACAUGUUUCAAAAAUUGAUCUAGACUUAGAUAUUUUGACUGUAUUAAUAUUUGUUUGUGAUUCAAUGACUGUUGAAUAUGUGUGACAAUGUGAUUAGGUUAUAUGCUGACUGCAAUAAGCAGUGCUAUGUUAUUCUAAUCGAACGAAUGAUCUUAUUAAUGAUAGAUUUUGGUAUUAAAGAUAAAACUAAGUUGCGUAUUGUAAGCAGCAGACCAGGCAAGUAUCAUAUAUUUGCAUUUUGUUUAUGUGACGCCCCCAAAUCCGGGUUAUCUUUAACUCGGGUUUGGUGCUUACGAUUCUAGAAUACCCAUUCAUACUAAAAAUAAAACUGUCUUAUAUUACAUAAACAUUGAACUUAAAUCCCAGGUUCUAGAGACCUUUACAUACAAGCCAAAUAUUAUUACAUCAUAGUGCUACAGUAUUUAUUACAUGCACUACUUAGGUUCAUUUAAGCACAUGCGCUUAAUAAUUGACUACUCAACAACCUUGCCCUUUCCUUUGUCUUUUCCAGAUGGACCGGCAACCUCAAUUUUAACUGAAAACAUUAUAUUUAACGCAAGGGUGGGCAACAAGUUUGCCCAGCAAGGAAAUAAGCAGCUAAAUAUAAGAGAACAAAAAUAUUACAGUAAUGGGGAUAUCAUACAGAAGGUAUAGAACAAAGUAAUUCUUAAGAGUGUUGAGUCAAAAGUCAGGAUUUAUCAUGCUGUAAGGUCAAAUGACCAGUGAACACUAUACUAGAAUUUACAGUAAUAAUACUGCAAUCUAUGAAUACAAACAGUUAUAAAGCUGUUUUAUAUCCUAGACUCGUACUUCAGGGGAUCAGCCUAAGUACCCUAUAUUGUGCACAACAUAACAGUCUAAUAAAACUUUACAUGUCCUUCAGAAUCAUAUAUACGGUACAAUACGCCCCUAAAAAAGGGUUGUUCGUUCACAGCAUUAUAUAAGAAUCCAUACCACAAUAACAAAAUGGUUUGGAAAGAAUUAACUGAUAAAUUCAUAAACAAUAUCAAUAUAUCUCAACCUUUGUCCAAGCGAAGUAAUGGUAUUGACAUACUUUCAAUAUAACUUUUAUUCAAGAUAGAAAAGUUGAUAUACUAUUCUUUUGAAGCUGAUUGGAAUAAAAAGGCUAUUUAACCUUAUAUUAUUCAUAAAUAAGGACAAACAGUUCAGAAAUUAAAGAACCUGUCCACUGCAGAAUAUUUGCUCAAUAAAGAGUAAGGAUUAGAAACUUGCCUUGUUUGUAGUCUAUCGUUUAGGAUUUCAGCUUAAUUGAAGUAUUUCUCAAAGUCCUACACAGUUAUUUGUAUUAACAAGCAUGUUAAUCACAUAGCUAUGUUAUAUAGUUUGUAAGCUCACAUAUCACAUAAUUUCAGUGAUUAUGGUUGUAGUUAAAUUAUUAUUUUUGAUACAUUUUUCAAAUAUCUCAUCCAUGCUUUCAAGAGACAUUUUUCACUUUGAUGGGUUUCAACAAGCUUUCAACAAGUAAUAGAAAUCAUAUUACAGUCAUCAUUUGCAUUAACCAAGUAUGUUAGCCACAUAGCUAAGUCAUAUAUCAUGUAGUUUUAAUGGUCAUGGUUAGAUUUCCUAUAUUUGAUACAUUUUUCAAAUACCUCAUCCAUGCUUUCAAGAGACAUUUUUCACUUUAUUAGUGUUCAAUAUGCAAUACUUUACAACUACCAUCUCCAUUUCCUUAGUAACAUAGUAUAUAAUCAUUUUAUGUUUCCUUUACUUAAUUUCUAGCAUAUAAGGUGUUUUCAUAGCUUAUUGUCGGUUUUGAAGGUAUUUCUUAUAUGUAUGGUUAACCUAUAGUCUUCCUCAUAGUUUAUAGAUUCAUUUUGACACACCAGUGUAUCAAUUAUCACUGUUUUCACCUAUGAUGCUAAAACAGCCCUUUGAGGCUUUAAUUUUUUUAAACAUGACUUAAUGAUCCCAAUUUAGGUUUACUGUUUAUAUUAGAUUUCAUUUAGAAUUUUUCUCCUACACUUGCUUGCAUCAUAACUCUACUCAUUUAGAGAAACAUAAUCUAUCCUUUAUAGAUAAUCUGGUUACUAAAACUAAAUUUGGAUUCAAACAUGAAUUUUACAAAACAGUCAUUAUUGUAGCUGCUAUACCACAACUGUUGUUUCCCAUUCUACUUGUUGUGGCUAUUGGUAUCAGCUAUAUGCUGCCACUAUUAGGCAGUAAGUCACAUCACUCAUGCCCAAAAAUGCUUCUAAAUUAACCUUUUCAGCUGGCUUUGCAGGCUUUGCAGCCCUUAAUUGAGCCUUACAGCUCAAUAAUCUCUGUAACACAUUUCAGUUAUUAGUCUUAUCUUAUAACUUGCUAUUCCAUUAACAUUUUCUAUGUAUGAAUGCACUGCCAACUGCUACUGCUGGUGUUGCUGUUGCUGCCAAUGGGCAGCGACUAUUAUUUUCUUACCAUAAGCUGUUUGGUCUGUUUCAAGUGCUGCAGUCACAUGUCAUCAUGCUCCAUCAACUAGAGUAAACAAAAAUGCAUGAACUUAACUUACUAACUGCAGCCCAAGAAAAACAAACUCAGCUGUCAAAAUGACAGUGCAGUCAUCUACUUGAAGUUGCCAAGGACAACAGCUAUCCGAAGCUUUUUGCUACUGUCAUUAGCAGCCUCCCUUGCUCCUUAACCCAUUCCCAACAAUCCUCUAACCUCAGUUUUGCUAUAUUUCUAGGAAUAGGCCUCAUGGCUAUAAUCUUUUAGAGUUAUAAGGUUAUCCCAGUUGGCCUAUUAAGCUUUGGCUCCUUGGUUUAGUGACUGUUUCAACAGAGUAGGCAAAGGAGUUUGUCAAGCUAGAAUUACUUAGCCUAAAAACUGAACUAUGCUAAAAAUUUCUAUGCCAAAACAUUACAGUCAUCACAUAUGUUGGGUAAAUCAGGUAAAUAGUGUACUAGUUCUACUAUUCAGUUUCUUUUUACUAAAACAGUCCUCUUAGGUCUUUUAUCAAACAGUUGGUGGGCAUGGUUAUAAGCUACUAGUUCCAUAGCCAUUUGUUUAUAUUCCAACUCAUAUUUUCCCCUUAUUACUCCACAGCCCACUUAUCUCCUUGUGCUUAAAUUAUAACAAUAUCAUAAUGGCAUAACAAUCAAUGAAAUGUUACAACAGUUUAUAUAUAGCAGCUUAACACCCACAUAGCAGUCCUCAAAUCCAUACUAGGCCUUUUAGGCUAAAUGAUCAAAACAGUCCUUAAGUUUUUAACACAAGGAUUAAUAUAACAUGUACAUACUAUGUUUUAUGGUUUAAAGACCCCAAUACCAACCAUCCUGUCUUGACACUAUAACAGCUUUAGACUAGCAAUUUGGUCAUGGUUUAUCACACCAAACCAAUAGCAAGCACUGAUAUGUAUGCCUUUCUAACACUAAAACAUUUUACCUACCAUAUUUUCAUGGUUUAAAGCAUCUAGAGGCAAGGUCCUUAAGUUUAAAAUCAAAACAGCCUCUCAUAGGCUUUUAAAGUAAUAUAAGAUAGCAUGCUUGGGCAACAUGAAAACAAGGACUGCCUACUAUGAAUAUAUUAGAAGUAAGGCAUGAUCAUCAUAAUAAACUUCUAAUAACAGUCCACAUAAUGCAAUAACAGUUCAUAUAAGGCAAUAAUAAUUUAUAUAGCAACUAAAGUCCUUCUAACAGUCAUUUAUGCUUAUUCUAGUCACCACAACAAGUAUACUGUCUUAGUCCAUUCUGUAUACUAGUUCUGGGCAUGGUAAUAUAUUUUACAAUCAUAAAUAACCAACCAUCUUGGACUCCUUUCCAGCCACACUGUUUUGCCAUUAUAGCAGUUUUAGACUAGCACCUUAGGCACAGUUCAUCACAGCAAAACAGUAGCAACAUAGCAUAGCGUAUCAGUCCAGUUAUUACAAUAACAGUUGGUAUAUCACAAGGAUGAUGCUACAGCUAUUCAAGUCUCUUUUAGGCCAUUUUGGCAAGGUUUUAGUAAUAAGUUAUCAAAGCGGUCAUUAGUGUGCAAUACAAAGAUUAUUACCUCAUGUACAUGCUAUAGAAUAUAUGUUCAUGUUUUAAGAGCCUAUAUACAAGGUUUCUUGCUGUUAGUUCAUAACAAUCCCUUAUAGGCUUCAAUUUAAUACACGGAAGCAUGAUCUGAAAAAUUUAGUUAUCAAAAUAACAUGUUUAAACAUAAACAUAUACUCGAGGUAUUCUUUUUCUUUCUAUAUAAUCAAGUAGACAUGCUAUUAGGCUCUAUUUACAGCUAGCAUACCUUGAUACCAUAACAGUCCAAUUAGAGCAAUAUUUUAGGCAUGGUCUAUUACAACAAAAUGGUAGCAAGCACUGACAUGUUUUCCUUUCUAACACAGGCACCUUUUAUUUAUCAUAUAUUCAUGAUUUAAAACAUCUAAAGGCAAAAUCUCUUUGCUUUAAGCCAACACAGCCCUCUUUAGGACCCACUUUCCAAAAAUAACCAUGGUUUACCCUUAUGUUUACAAGGAUAACAUGGAUGUGCAACAUAGAAGUUUAGACUAUCUUCUUUAUAUGGUAUUUAAGAUGCAAAAAUAUAUUUGGAUGUCAUAGAAUGCCUUACCCCAUAUAUAUCAGUCCUUAUUAAGCCUCAAAUCUAGCAUACCAGUUUCUCAGAAUAGUGGCCAAGUCUUGGUUAAUUGCUUAGAUUACAUAUAUGCUAGUAUACAAUAGUUAUACCCAAUACAUCAUGCCACAUAUAACAUAUAAGCAGUCCUUUAUUAAUAAUCAUAGCAUAACAGUCCAUUUAACAUCAUAGCAAUUCAUAUGGUAACACAGAUCAUGCUAACCGAAAUCAUAAUAUCAUUAACUUUUUAGCAGCUCCUUAGCUUGACAAAUUAUCAAACACCUAGAGUGCAGUCUAUAUACUUGCACUUAAUACAUAAUUUCUAGCCCUCUGCCCCCAGCCGUAUGGCUUAAACAAUAUCAAGCAUAAGACCACACUUAUCAGUACCAAACCCAGCAGUUCAAAUAACAUGAAAGCAGUCAGUUAUCAUAACAGCCAUACACGUUUUUGGUCAUUGACAAUUCAUUUUACUAAUUAAUUUAAUAGCCAUCCUAAUCAUUUAUCAAUUCAGUUGUUACCCGGAAUGAAUGGAAAGAUUAGAAAGGCCAGAAUUGGCUUACCUUGCUGAUUCGAAGGUAUCAAGUGGUUGAGCUGCUUAAUUCCUUUUCCCCUCUAGCCGAACUCUUCACUCUUACUCUAUAUGACCGUUGCUGCUAAUUCUUUUGGACUCAGUUAAGUGAUGAGGCUAAUUGAUUUUGGGUAAUAACCUGGCCUUUUUAUGGCUGAGCUUAGCUUCCUUACAGUUGAUCGCAUCACCUUCUACUUGCCCCCUAACAUAUAAUCUAUUACCUCUAGCAGUUAGACUGCUCUGCAGCCACCCUACAAGACCCUAGUCUCUCUGCCAUGCCUUAUCUGUUGCUAACCUGUCUACUAACUAAUAACUGACUAACUUAUAGACUAACUACUGCUAACAACAGAACAGCCUCAGCUCCUAAGUUUACCCCUGUGGGCUGUUGGAAAAAAUCCUAAGGCAAGGCUGGGCAGUGGUUUCAUUUUGGGCCUAGUCCCUUUAACCCAAAGUUUUACUUGUUAAUUUGCUAUACUCCAAUGGGUUUACAGGAUUGGGUUUUGGACAUCCAUUUCACUCUUUAACACUUGGAGCUGCCGAAUUGGGCUAGCAAAUAGACUACAUGCAACGAUCAUGGCAAAAUUAUUAAGGCCCAAUAUUUUAAUAUGGACUCUUGUUACAUUAAAACACAUGGACUAUUAUUUUCUCUAGCAACAAUAGUUAUAACAUAUAUCAUUAAAAUGACUAUUCUAUGUAAUCUUAAAUAAUUCAUGAUGGCACAUAAUUUCUUUGCCCUUUAUAACUCAAGAUGCUAAACGAACUAUUAAAUAAAUAAUAUUUUUAUCACAAUGAGAAUUAACAUAUCAUAAAAAAAAAUUUAUACUCAAAAAUUGACAUUACAAUAAUUAAAUAUUACAUAGGAUGAACUACAGGCCAAUGAGGACUUUUACCACAUCAUUCGUCACAUUACGGUCAUUAUUAUACCGAAUCAUCCCUGGUCAUAAUCAUACCAAGUCCAUCUAUGCACGUAAGCCAAAGAUGACUUUCAUCACAAUAUAAGCAUGAGGAUGAUGACAAUAAUAUAAGCAUUAAUCAAACGAAAAUAAUGAUAAAUUUUAAAGACUUUAAAUUUAUCCAAAUGUUUAUCAAUCACUUAAUAAACUCAUAAUCUAAUAUUAUUAAUAUUAUAACAAUAUUUUAAUCACUUCUUGAACUUAUAAACAAUUUAUUCUAAUUGUUUACACUUUCCCAAAUAAUACAUUUUAAUCAUUCAAAAAUACCAUACUCAUAAGAUUUCAUCACCAAUGAUCAAAUCCCUUAUCAAAAAUCUGCAUAUACCUUAUAUAGGAUUUCCAAGCCAUAAAAUCCAUUUUACCAAUUUUUCAACUUCACAUAACAUAUUUAAUUCAUAUGUUCGUAACUAAACUAUUUUCAUGAAAAAUACCAAAUCAGUCCAAAAAAUUAUUCUUUUUUGGGAUUUAGCAGAAUAUAGUCCCAUAUUGAACAUAUAUUUUUCUCAUAAUUUUUAAAAUUCAUUUACUAUUUUUCAUAUGGCCAAAACUGCCGAAUAUUUAGACAUUUAUCAUAAAUUGUACUUUUGUCCAAAAAUUCCGAAAUUUACAAGGUAUACUCCUAUUAUAUAUGUGUACUCCCAAUAAAAAUUUAACCAAUUUUGGAGUUAACCACAAGGAGUUAUAAGGGUUUACUUUUAAAAUAGUUUUUUCCCAUAAAAUUCAUAACUCCUAAUCUAUACAUCCAAAAAUUGCCAUUUUUGGACACAAUCUAGAAAUCUCAACAAACUAUCAUUUCAAAUGUUUCCAAAAUUUUUGAGGGUCAGAAAAAUUACGAAACUGCAAAUAGAUUUUCACCCGUCAUUCGGUAAUCCAGGUAGACAGAUCAUUUCCACAAUUUAAUAAGGAAUGAAUACAAAGGAUCAUUCACCAUGCAUGCGGUAAUCCACAUAGACAGGUUAUUCCAACAGAAUAAUAAAAAAUAGAAUAACAACAGAAUUCACCAGGCAUACGGUAAUCCGCGUAUACAGGUUAUUCCAAUAGAAUAAUAAAUAAUGGAACCAGGUCAUGCGUAAUCCGCAUAGACAGGAUAUUCCAACAGAAUAAUAAAGAAUGGAAUAACAACAGAAAUUCACCAAGCAUACGGUAAUCCGCGUAUACAGGUAAUUCUAACAGAAUAAUAAAGAAUGGAAUAACAAUAGAAUUCACCAGGCAUACGAUAAUCCGCGUAUACAGGUUAUUCCAACAGAAUAAUAAAGAAUGGAAUAAUAGAAAAUUUUCACCACGUAUGCGGUACUUCGCAUAGACAGGUUACUCCAAUAUAAUAAUAAAGAAUGAAAUAACAAAAGAAUUUCACCAUGUAUGCGAUACUUCGCAUAAACAGGUUAUUCCAACAUAAUAAUAAAGAAUGGAAUAACAACAGCUCUCUUCAUGAAUACGAAAGAAAUAAUAAUACCCCUUACCUUAGAAGAAACUGGAUACUGGAAUAGUGAGGUAGCAGGCUUCUCUUCUUCUUUCUCUCUAUAAUUUCUCUCUAUAAUAAUUGCUCUAUAGCUUUAGUGAAUUGGUGAGAAAUGAAGGAAGAAUGAGCUUCUGUUUAUAGGAAAACAUAGUUUCAAUAAUUGCACAUUUUGGGGCUCGAAAUAUUACAUUAUAAUACCUUCCUCUUUUUCUUUAUUUUUAAUUUAGCCCUGCAAGUAUUAUCAAACUUGCACCACCUCCUCUAAUAGUAAAUCAUGUGAAUUAAUAGUAAAUCAUGUGAAUCAAUAGUUCUAGACAUGUGAAAAUACGAAUUACAGUAUAGUACCUCCAUCUAUACCUCUAUUUUUAACUUAGUCAUGCAAGUAUUAUCAAUCUUGCACCAACUCCCCUAAUAGUACCAUAAUGUGAAUCAAUAGUACACACAUGUGAACAAAUAGUUAUAAUCAUAUGAAUUAAUAGCAAUUAAAAGCUCAUUUAUCCGGAUAAUUACCCGAUUGGUCAAUAUAACCUCCAGACAUCAAUUAUCAUCGAAAUAAAUGUCGAUUCCCACUAACACUAAUAAUUCCAACACAAUGGAACUAUCAAUUUCAUCUUUAAUCAACACAAAUUUAUUCAUCAUUAAUAUUAUAACUCAUAAUAUUUAACAACAAGAUCGUUCCCAGGAAAGAGGGGGCCUUCCGGUAAGGAUUUCUCCUCACUGGUGCGCAAUUACCUAACCUCUCCUUGACAGAACUUCUAGACAUUGUCAAUAUUGCAAUUUAAUAAUAUUAAUAAGUUUACCAUCUUAAUUAUUUAUUUAAUAAUAUAACAUAUUAUGCAGAUGAUACUGUGACAAUAAUUGAAUCAAUAAUAUGAGAGAUAUGAUGUAAUAAUUACUGUAGCAAUAAUUGAGUAUAACUGAGUGACUUCUUACGUAAGCAUUAAUAAUCAAUACCGUGUGCUACUCAAUUCGUCAGCUACCACGUUCGCUCUUUCAUGAUGAUAUUGAAUGGUACGAUCGUAAUCUUCUACAGCUCAAGCCAACGUCUUUGGCACAUUAUACGAUUAUUUUAGGUAAAGAAAUAUUUGAGGGUUUUAGAAAUGAGUUUUGUACUUGGGUCAAUACAAAAUAUGAUUUCACGCUCUGGGGUAGGCAAGGAAGUUCUUCGAGAAUACGUCAGAAUAUUUAUUAACAAUAGAAAUAUCAUUUAAAAACUGUGACUCUCAUCCAAGACUUGGACAACACAUGAAAUGAAGGUUUCUACUAACGAAGUUUCAACCAAUAAGUCAAAGUCUAACUUCUCUGGGGUCAAAUUUAAAUGUUGAGCGCAAGCAAGAGAGAUAAAAGAAUGGGUAGAACCGGUAUCUAAUAAGGUAUAGACUUCGCAAAAAUUUAUAAUUAACUAACCCGUGCUAACUUCGUUCGGGUUACUCGCUUUUUGAGAAGUCAUGAAAAACGCUCUUCCUGAAACCACCGACUUUGUUUUGUCCAUAUCCGCCUUUGGUGCCACCGUCCCAGCUGGACUUGACUUUGGUGCACGACAAAAUCGGGCUAAGUGUCCUUUUCCAUAAUUAUAACAUGUUUUGGACUGCAUCACGCAGUUUGGACUGAUAUGUCCCUCCCCUCCGCAUUUGAAGCAUACAAUUGGUGGUCGUUCUCCUUCCUUGAAAACGGGUGUUGGUGCUGCUGUCUUUGCAUCUUUGUUGAACCUUCUCUUCUUGAAAUUUCCACUCCUAUUAUCUUGGUCAUGAUUACCACCGAAGUGGUUACCAUUCUUGGUGUAAGACCCCAACUUUUAUGAAUAAAAAAUGAAUUUUCUAUAAAUAUCAUUUUUGAAUAUUAUGGAGUAAAUUUGAUAUAAUGUUAUAGUUGUGGGUAAUAUUUAUAAAUUUUGAAAAGUACGCAAGUUGUUAUAUAAUAUUCGUUUGGUCGGAAAAUAUUCUUUUUGUCGGGAAUAUCCGUACGACGACACAAUCAUUGGUGGACCCCCACAACGGAAGUAUUGUCGUAGUAAGAAAACGACAGAAUUAUCUUUUUAUAAAAAUAACGGCUAAAGUUUUACCGUUAAAACUGUUGAACUACUCGGUAGUAAAAGUACAGUAAUACGUGUGGUUGCAUAGUAGCACACGAUAUUGAUUAUUAAUACUUACGUGAGAAGUCACUCAGUUAUACUCAAUUAUUGCUAUAGUAAUUGUUGCAUCAUAUCUCUCAUAUUAUUGAUUCAUUUAUUGUCACAGUAUUAUCUGCAUAAUAUGUUAUAUUAUUAAAUCAAUAAUUGAGACGACAAAGUUAUUAAUAUUAUUAAAUUGCAAUAUUGACAAUGUCUAGAAGUUCUGUCAAGGAGAGGUUAGGUAAUUGCGCGCCAAUGAGGAGAAAUCCUUACCGGAAGGCCCCCUCUUUCCUGGGAACGAUCUUGUUGUUAAAUAUUAUGAGUUAUAAUAUUAAUGAUGAAUAAGUUUUGUUGAUUAAAGAUGAAAUUGAUAGUUCCAUUGUGUUGGGAUUAUUAGCGUUAGUGGAAAUCGACAUUUAUUUUGAUGAUAGUUGAUGUCUGGGGGUUAUAUUGAUAAAUCGGGUAAUUUAUCGGAUAAAUGAGCAAUUAAUUGCUACUAAUUCACAUGUUUAUAUAACUAUUUGUUCACAUGUGUGUACUAUUGAUUCACAUUCUGGUACUAUUAGGGGAGUUGGUGCAAGAUUGAUAAUACUUGCAUGACUAAGUUAAAAAUUGAGGUAUAGAUGGAUGUACUAUACUGUAAUUCGUAUUUUCACAUAUCUAGAACUAUUGAGUCACAUGAUUUACUAUUAAUUCACAUGAUUUACUAUUAGGGGAGUUGGUGCAAGAUUGAUAAUACUUGCAGGACUAAAUUAAAGAUAAAGAAAAAGAGGAAGGUAUUAUACUGUAAUAUUUUGAGCCCCAAAACGUGCAAUUAUCAAAACUAUAUUUUCCUAUAAAUAGAAGCUCAUUCCUUCAUUAUUUUUCACUAAUUCACUAAAGCUAUAGAGCAUUUAUUAUAGAGAGAAAUUAUAGAGAGAAAGAAGAAGAAAAGUCUACACUUCACUACUCCAGUAUCCAAUCUUCUUUGAGGUAAGGGGUAUUAUUCUUUCGUAUUCAUGAAGAGAGUUAUUUUUUUUCAAUACUCGUUAUUCCAUUCCUUAUUAUUAUGUUGGAAUAACAUGUCUAUGCGAAGUACCGCAUACAUGGUGAAAUUCUUCUAUUAUUCCAUUCUUUAAUAUUCUGUUGAAAUAUCUUGUUUGUGCGUUUUACGCAAGACCUGGUUCCAUUAUAUAUUAUUCUGUCAGAAUAUCUUGUCUGUGCUUUACGCAUGACCUGGUUCCAUUAUUUAUUAUUCAGUUUGAAUAACAUGUAUACGCGGAUUACCGUAUACCUGGUGAAUUUUGUUGUUAUUACAUUCUUUAUUAUACUCAGUUGGUUAAAGUUUUGGCUUUUAUACUCUAUGAAAUUAGUGGAAUAUCCUUGAUAUUUGCGCUUCAUCCAAUAUCUUUUCAUGGAAAUAUUCUUCUGAGCAUUCUUGAAUUUUACAUCACAAAGCAGUAUCAUGUUGACAUUUUGGACGUUAUUGGUUCCUGGAUAAAUUAAUUCUUGAACUUGUUUUAUUGAAUUCUUAUAUCAUUAUCAUCAUCCUCAUGUUUAUAUUCUGUUGAGAGUCAUCUGUGGCCUGUAGUGCAUAGAUGGACUUGGUAUGAUUAUGACCAGGGAUUAUUCGGUAUAAUCAUGACUGUAAUAUUACAAAUAAUAUGGUAAAAGUCCUCAUUGGCCGUAGUGCAUUGUUGGACAAUUGUUGGUAUGAUCAUGACCAUUGAUGAAUACACGAAUAUCCUUGGUCGUAGUGCAGGGAUGAUGUUGAUUAUUUAUUAACCUGAGUCUCAGCGAUGAAAAUGAUGAAAAACCUUUUUAAAUCAUAGAAGAUAAUAGAUUUUAUGCUCUAUUUGACUCUUUUAAUGGAUUGCUUAUUUUCGCUGCAGUUUUUGAUCUAAAACUUGUUGUUUAUUAUAUUCUAUCAGUUGUUAUACUGUUGAAGGCUAAGGAUAAUUUAUUCUGCAUUAACUUAGUCAUAAUAUUUCUUACUGGGCUUGUUGAGCUCACCCUUUUCUUUCAUGGUUCUCUUCAGGAAAUGAGAACGUAGCUGAGACUAGUCAGGGAACAGAGUGACGGCCCAGAUGUUUGCAUUAAUUGUCCUCACUAUUCUGUGAAAUAGUGUGAUAAUAAAUGUAAUGAGGACUCCAUUGAGUGUGGAUAUUGUCUAGAUGACAAUAUUCUUCUUAAAACUCUUAGAUUAUGUUUUGUCGUAUUUUACACGACUGUUGUAUAAUUAAGUUGUAUUUGAAUUUUGUACCAUAUAUCCGGCGACUCAAGAUGGGUGAUGUAUACCUAUUUUGAGGGCAUCAUAGUUGGUAUCAAAGCUUAGGGAUAUGAUCCCUGGUUGAGAUGUGAGAUAAGAACUAGGAGGGGAGAGACGGGGAAUUCCUUUGUUAGUAUAACCUACCUAAGUUUAUUUGGUAUUUAAUUGGUCGGUCACAAUAUAUGGAUAAUAUGUGACAUGUCAAUUAACCCUUGUUUUGUGACAGUAUUUGAAAAUGGCAUCCGAAAAUGUUGAGAAUAGCAAUGGAGCACAGGAGACCGUUGAGUCACCAUAGAUUAAUACCCAGGAUAAUGUGUAACAGGAAGAAAAUAAUCCUCAGGUAAACAAUAACACCGAUGAAAUGGGGAACGAUGGGAUGUUCAGAGGCUUUAUGCAAUUCAUGCAACAUCAGGCGAGGGCGGCUCCUGUCCAAAAUGCAGGUGGAAACACUGACAACUCUCGGACGGUCACCGCUAAGCAGUUCAAGGAGCUGGGACCACCGGAGUUUUUUGGAGAGCCAAAACCACUUAAGACAGAGACGUGGAUAAAGAAGAUCAACAGGAUAUUUGAUGUCUUGGGAUGCUCCGAGGAACAAAAGGUUCCUUUUGUCACCUUCAUGUUGCGAGCAGAGGCAGAUUACUGGUGGGAAUCCGUAAAGCGUACUCAACUUGCCGCACUGAAAAUGUCUUGGGAGAAGUUCCAAGAACUGUUCAACGAAAAGUACUUUCCCGAAAGUAUUCGUCAAAUGAAAGAGGUAGAGUUCAUCAAGCUUGAGCAAAAAAAUAUGACUGUGGCGCAGUACAAAGCUAAGUUUGUCGAGUUAUCUCGGUUUGCGUCCCACUUGAUUGAUAAUAAGGAGAGAAUGACGCGGAUGUUUUCAAAGAGGUUUGAAACCCGAGAUACGUCAAUACCUAAUUUCUCACAAACCGUGUUUGUAUUCAGAUGUUGUGAAUAGGGCUCAGUUAUUGGAGCGCGAUAAUGAAUCAACCCAACCAAGAGAGAGCAGCCGACAAGUCGAUAAUACCAGUGGUAGCAGUCAUCGAAGCGGUGACAACAAGCGUGGAGGGAAUCAACAUGCCAAAAAUGGUAAUCACUUCGGUGGUAAUCAUGGCCAUGACAAUAAGAGUGGACAUUUCAAGAAGACGAGAUUCAACAAUGAUGGAAAGACGUCAGCACCAGCACCUGUUGUUAAGGAAGGAGAACAAUCGCCGGUCGUAUAUUAUAAAUGCGGAGGGGAGGGACAUAUCAGUCCAAACUGCGUGAUGCAGUCCAAAGCAUGUUACAAUUGUGGAAGAGAAGGUCACCUAGGCUGAUUUUUUCGUGCACCAAAGUCAAGUCCAGCUGGGAUGGAGGCAUCAAAGGCCGUCCCAGACAAGACAAAACCGGUAGUUCAACGGAGAGCGUUUGUCGUAACCUCCCAAAAAGUGAGGAAUCCGAAUGAGGUGAUCACGGGUAAGCUAAUCAUAAACUCUAGCAAAGUCUAUACCUUAUUUGAUACCGGCUCUACCCAUUCUUUUAUUUCUCCUAUUUGCGCUCAACGUUUAAAUUUGACUCCGAAGAAGUUAGACUUUGACUUAUCGGUUAAAACUCCAUUGGGAGAAACCUUCAUUACAUCCACUAUUUAUAAGUCUUGUUUGAUUCAAAUCGGUAACCGUACAUUACCUGUCGAUCUUUUUUCUUUGAAAAUACUUGCAUUUGAUGUGAUUUUAGAGAUUAAUUGGUUAACUACUCAUCAUGCUAAAAUCGAUUGUUUUCGUAAGGUUGUUAGCUUUCAUAUUCCUAACCAACCUAUUAUGCGAAUUCAAGCAACCAAACAACUAAAAUCAAUCACUAUCAUAUCAAGCCAUAAAGCUAUUCAUUUAUUAAAAAAUGGAUGUCAAGCUUUCUUAGCCCAUGUCACGGAUUUAAAUAAAAAUACGUCAGAUUUGAAUGAUAUUUCUAUUGUUCAUAAAUUUCCUGACGUAUUCCUUGAAGAAAUUCCUGGCCUACCCCUAGAGUGUGAAAUUGAAUUUUGUAUCGACCUUGAAUGUGGUACAAAACCCAUUUCCAAAGCCCCAUAUCGAAUGGCUCCUAUUGAACUUCAGGAGUUAAAAACCUAACUACAGGAAUUAUUAGACAUCAGUUUCAUUCGUCCUAGUACAUCUCCUUGGGGUGCUCCUGUUCUAUUCGUGAAGAAGAAAGAUGGAAGUAUGCAACUUUGUAUUGAUUAUCGGGAGUUGAAUCAUGUCACCAUCAAAAAUAGGUACCCGUUGCCUCGCAUUAAUGACCUGUUUGACCAGUUGCAAGGAGCUAAAUUCUUUUCAAAGAUUGAUCUUCGUUCCGGAUAUCAUCAGUUGAAGAUUAAAACUGAUGACAUUCCAAAGACUGAUUUCAGAACUCGGUAAGGGCAUUAUGAAUUUCUAGUCAUGUCUUUUGGAUUGACUAAUGCUCCUGCUGCCUUCAUGGACAUGAUGAACCGAGUAUUCAAGGAAUAUUUGGAUCACUUUGUGGUCGUCUUUAUUGAUGACAUCCUCAUAUACUCCAAAAGCCGUGAAGACCAUGAUCAACACUUGAGGCUGAUACUUCAAAAACUUCGUGAGAACAAGCUUUAUGCCUAGUUAAAGAAAUGUGAGUUCUGGCUUGAGGAAGUUGCAUUCCUUGGGCACGUGAUAUCAAAUCAUGGAAUAUCUGUUGAACCAGCAAAGAUUGAAGGAAUCCAAAGCUAGGAGCAACCAAAGUCAGUGACUGAAAUACGUAGCUUUCUUGGCUUAGUUGGUUAUUAUCGGAGAUUCGUGGAAGGAUUUUCUCGAAUCGCUACUCCAUUAACUCAGCUGACUCGAAAAGAUACAAAGUUCAGUUGGAGCGAGAAAUGUGAGAAGAGUUUUCAAGAACUCAAGAGAAGACUCAUUUCAGCACAUGUUCUGACAAUACCAUCUGGCUCGGAGGGAUUUGUCAUCUACAGUGAUGCUUCAGGCAAAGGGGUUAGGAUGUGUUCUCAUGCAACAUGGAAAAGUCAUAGCCUAUGCCUCACGACAACUCAAAGAAUAUGAGAGGAAUUAUCCUACUCAUGAUCUAAAGUUGGCAGCAGUCGUUUUUGCGCUUAAGAUUUGGAGGCAUUACCUGUAUGGAGAGAAGGUGGAGAUCUAUACGGAUCAUAAAAGCCUCAAAUAUUUCUUCACUCAAAAGGAACUCAACAUGCGGCAAUGACGAUGGCUUGAGCUGUUAAAAGAUUAUGAUCAUACCAUCCAAUACCAUCCUGGAAAAGCGAACGUAGUAGCUGACGCAUUGAGUAGAAGAUCAUAUGCGGGUACGAGUGCAAUAUUGUCAACGCUAAGACCCAUUUUGUAUGACUAACGAAGGAUGGAGAUAGAGUUAAAAACUCCAGGGACCCAUGUGAUAAUGACGGAUAUACGAGUAGAACCGACUUUAAUCAAUAAAGUUAAAGCUGCUCAAGCUACAGACCUGGAGCUGAUGCAUAUGAGGAAGAAAGUGCAAGAAGGUGCUAUUCCAGAAGCAAGAAUCGAUGAAGAAAGAAUACUUCGAGUCAACUCCAGACUUUGUGUUCCUAACGAUUUUGACUUGAAGUAUAAAAUCAUGAUGGAGGCAAACAACACACCGUUUGCAAUCCAUCACGGGAGUACCAAAAUGUAUCGUGAUCUUCGACAUACAUUUUGGUGGAGCAAUAUGAAGAGAGAGAUAGCGGGGUUUAUCUCAAGGUGUCUAACUUUUCAACGAGUCAAGGCGGAGCAUCAAGUGCCAAAAGGUCCAUUGCAACCACUUGAAAUUCCAGAAUGGAAGUGGGAGCACAUUACCAUGGAUUUCGUUACUGGUCUUCCCAAGGUUUCCCAAGGCGUAGAUGCGAUUUCGGUCAUUGUUGAUAGAUUGACCAAGUCUACUCAUUUCUUACCGAUACGAGAAACUUAUACACUUGAACGUCUUGCUAGUAUGUACAUAAAUGAGAUUGUAAGAUUGCAUGGCAUGCCAGUAUCCAUAGUUUCUGAUCGAGACCCAAGAUUCACUUCAAGAUUUUGGGUUAGUGUGACGCCCCCAAAAUAGGUCCACACGAACCAUUCUGAGUCGCCAGAUAUCACACUAUAAAAAUCAAAUACAAACUUUAUUUAUACAACUGUUGAACUGUCGUGCAGAGUACGACAACAGUUAACUGUGAGUUUUAAUACAAAUAUUGUCAUCGUAGACAGUAUCCAAACUCAAAUUGUUACAAUGCCAUAUAAAAUACAGCAGCAAAUAUUUUAAGACCCCAAAGAAGAACGAGAAGAUUACUAUCAUAUUCAUUCUAAUGAGGUGCACUUUUGACGCUUUCAAAGUCGGGUUCUCAUCACCCUUAUUGUUGUUCACCAACAUCAAUUAUUAAGUGACGUAUAAAAUACAACACACACAUCUUAGGUCUUUAAUACAAUUAUCGGUUGCAUAUCAUGCCGUUUUAUAAUGUAUUGAGAAAUUUCGACAGUCUCGGACCAUCACACUAUUUUCCUGUUAUCCCCGCUCGACCCAGCUACACUCUUAUUACCUAAAAGGAAUUGUGAAGCAAAAGGGUGAGCACAAUUAGCCCAGUAAGGAAUAUCAUGGCUAAGAUAAUUAAUUUAUCAACAGCCUUUAUCAGAAUAAAUCAGAGAUUUAGAACAUAUGGUAGAUAAUAAAACGUUUCAACCAUAGUUGCAGCGGAACGAGUAAUCCAUUAGAUGAGUCAAGUAGAACAUAAUGUCUACUAUCUCCUCUAGAUUAAAAGUCCAUCGUUGAUAUUUUAUUCCUGUAAUACUCAUCAACAGUUCUUUGUUAUACUUAAGACAAAUAAAACUUUCAACACUUGUCUUCACCUGAACCACCAAAGAUGUUAGUUAAAUUCACAAUUCAUAUUUAUAAUAAUGUGAAUUAACAGUUCCUUCUUUCCACCAAGACUUAAUAGAAUGUUUACUCAAUAUCUUUACCCCAAAGGCUGAAGGUAUUCAAAUGUAAUAACAAUGAUCAUACCAAUCAGUUGUCUAUCUUUGCAUUACGGGCCAAAGAUAUUCAACUAUAGAACCAAUGGUCAUGAUCAUACCAAUCACAUCAUUGAAUUAUCCAUGCACUACGGCCAAGGAUAUUCGUUAGUAUCACUAGUGGUCAUGAUCAUGUCAUACACCUGUCCAUCUUCACACUACGGGUCAAAGCUAUCAAAUAACAGAUCAUCUUUGCACUACAGGCCAAAAAUAUUCAACAACAUAUCGUCUUUGCACUACAGGUCAAAGACAUACUACUGUAAAACCAAUAACCAACAAUAUAAUAAAGAAUGGAAUAAUAAAAGAAUUUCACCAUGCGUGCGUAAUCCGCACAGAAAGGUUAUUCCAACAUAAUAAUAAAGAAUGGAACCAGGUCAUGCGUAAAUGCACAGACAGGAUAUUCCAACAGAAUAAUAAAGAAUUGAAUAACAACAGACUUCACCAAGUAUACGGUAAUCCGCGUAUACAGGUUAUUCCAACAGAAUAAUAAAGAAUUGAAUAACAACAGACUUCACCAGGUAUACGGUAAUCCACGUAUACAGGUUAUUCCAACAGAAUAAUAAAGAAUUGAAUAACAACAGACUUCACCAGGUAUAUGGUAAUCCGCGUAUACAGGUUAUUCCAACAGAAUAAUCAAGAAUGGAAUAACAACAGACAUCACCAGGUAUACGGUAAUUCGCGUAUACAGGUUAUUCCAACAGAAUAAUAAAUGGAACCAGGUCAGGAGAAAUUCGCACCGACAGGAUAUUCCGACAGAAUAAUAAAGAAUAAAAUAAUAGAAGAAUUUCACCAUGUAUGCGGUACUUCGCAUAAACAGGUUAUUCCAACAUAAUAAUAAAUAAUGUAAUACAUAAGGAUUUCACCAAGUAAAGGGUAUGACGCUUAUACAGUUUAUGUAUAGGGUAUGCCUCAUAUACAGGUUAUUCCAACAGAAUAAUAAAGAAUGGAAUAACAGAAGUUCUCUUCAUGAAUAAGAAAGAAUAACACCCCUUACUAUAAUAAUAUUAUCCCUUACCGUAAAAAAACUGAAAAUAGAGGUAGUGAAGUAGCAGAAUAGUCUUCUUCUUUCUUUCUAUAAUUUCUCUCUCUAGAGUUUCAGUGAAUUCGUAAGAAAAUAAUGAAGGAAUGAGCUUCUAUUUAUAGAAGAAUGGAUUGCAUAGUAACUAACUCAUGAACGGUCCAAAUUGAUUUACUUUAAUCUGACGGUCCAUAUUUAAAGCAAAAUCUUUUAAAUAAAAUAUAAUAUAUUCUAUUUAUAAUCUAAUAAAAUAAAUAACUUUAUGUAAAUACUAUGCAGGCACUAUGCAAAUACUAUGCAUAAUAAAAUAUAAUAUAAUCUAAUUAUUGUCUAAUAAAACGAAUAACUUUAGAAAAGUAUUAUGUUUUAUAUAAAAAGAUUUUACUAUUAGUCUAAUAAAAUGAAUAACUUUAUAAAAGUAUUCUGUUUUAUAUAAAAAGUUUUUCUGUUUUAUUACGUUAAUAAUACGAAUAAAACAAAACUUCAUCAUCGCUUACUUUGAAAAUUUUUCAAAUGUCACCCUUAACUUUAAACUUUUAUCAAUUUAAUCAUUUACCAAAAUAGAAAAAUUGAAUACUUUUAUUUCAUAAAAUUCGGGGUCUCACAGUUAGUUUGCAAAAAGCUAUGGGCACGGAUUUACGAUUUAGUUCGGCAUAUCAUCCUCAAACGGAUGGGCAGUCGGAAAGGACUAUUCAAACUCUUGAGGAUUUAUUAAGAUUAUGUGUCCUUGACUUCAAGGGAAGUUGGGACAAGUUCUUACCAUUGGUGGAGUUUUCCUACAACAAUAGUUAUCAAGCAAGUAUUGGCAUGACUCCAUUUGAAGCGUUGUAUGGAAGAAAGUGUCGUUCUCCAGUAUGCUGGGAUGAGGUGGGUGAAGCAACGUUGUUGGGACUGGAGUUGGUACGUAUGACUACGAAAAAGAUUCAAACGAUCCGACAACGUAUAAAAACCUCACAAGAUNNNNNNNNNNNNNNNNNNNNNNNNNNNNNNNNNNNNNNNNNNNNNNNNNNNNNNNNNNNNNNNNNNNNNNNNNNNNNNNNNNNNNNNNNNNNNNNNNNNNUAUAUAUAUAUAUAUAUAUAUAUAUAUAUAUAUAUAUAUAUAUAUAUAUAUAUUGUCCAAAAUUAAUUUUUAGUUUUUGAGAUGGCAUGUAACCAUCACAUAUAUAUUUCUCCUUAAUGUGAUUGCAUUUAAGCCAUAACAAAGAAAAAAGUUUAAAAUAAUCUUUGGUGACAGCCAAGACCAUCACGAAAAGAAAACCACAUGUGAUGGACCUUUAUGAUUACAUUUAAAGUAAUCUCAACAAAUGGUAUUAUAUGAUGGACUUUUUCAACAAUCACAAAAUAAUAAUAUACAUGACGGCUCCUAGUAGUGGUUAUUUUUUCCAUCACCAUAAACUAUUUGUGACGGACAAGACAAUCACUAAAAAACAAGCAUAUAUGAACAACAAAUAUAUUAGGCGAGGAAUUUACUAGCAAUCACAAAAUAGUAGUAUAUAUGGUAGAUGUUACUCAAUGUCUAAUUGUGCCAUUAUUAUUAAAUAUUUAAGACAAUCAUUACAAUCACUAAAUUUUUCGCGUAAAUUGUACAUCUCUUUUUUAAGUCCCCAUUAAUCUUUAUUUUGCUUUGUUCUCUUUGUAAACUCAUUGUUUUUAUUGUGAAUUCAAAGGAUUUAGAGUUUAUCUCGUUUUUAUAUAACUAACUAUUUACGUUUGUUCUCUUUGUCUCGGUUGGUAUAUAUCUACUUCUUUCUAUGCAAGAAGUCUAGAGUCCAAAUCUCCACCCAAAAAAGAAACAGUGCAAAUGAUGGAGCAAAAUUCUUGCUGUUGGGGAAGAGCAGAUGGACUAAUUGAUGUAACCUUCAAAUUGGUGGGAAGAAAUCUGAAAUGGAAGGAGCAGUAAGCAGGAUUUUUUUUUUUACUAAAUUUAAAUUGUAUUAAAGGAGAAAGAAUGUACAAAAAUCAUGGGAAAACCCAAUCAGAAUAUAGUAUAUACAUCACCUCAAUCAGAAUAUAACAUAGACAUCAUAGGACAUGCCAUAUGAUGUCAUGACUAAAAAAGAAAAUAAGGCCAGAUGCCCAAACAAAAGAGAAACAAUCUCAACAUUCAUGAGAAUACAAUGCAUAGAAAUCAGACACAAAACCAAGAAAAACCUCAUCCAAAGUAGCAGCAGCCCACAAUAGCAGCAAAAGAAAAAUCAGUCCAAAGACCAAAAGGCAUCAUCCAUAACAGAACCGAAAGAGCCUACUGCAGACUAGCAGCACAAUAGAGCACAAGGCCCAACAAGAGAAGCCAACAACAGUUUAGCAAAGCAAAACAGCAGACAGGACAUGGAAAGCAAGAGCAACAAACCCCAAGAGCCCAAUGGCAGCCAUAGAAGUGCAGCAGCUGCAGCCGACAUCAAAUAAAACAGCAGUAAACGAUAGCAGCCAUAAGUACAGCACCACCCCCCAAAUCUGCAGCAUCAAGACAUAGAAAUAGUCACAAUACUGCAGACCAAAACACGCAAACAAUGCAGCAUAAGCAACAAACAGAGCAGCAAAUAGGUCUAUUUUCCUGCUUGUUUUCAAGGUUGUGUAGUAUUUAUUGUCAUUUUAGUAUUUUACAUAUAUGUCCAUUAUGGGUAAAAUAAGUUGUUUGGCAUGGGCAAUGAUGCCAGUGAAGGUUUUCUUUCUUCAGUGCUUGAUGGAAGCUCUCGAGCUGUAGUCACUACAAAGAUGAGGAGAUGCUGAAACCAUUUUCGAGCACAGUGAGAUAUAAUAGUUACAUAUAUGAAUAUGCCAUCUCAGAUGAUCAUGUUGGUGUAACACAGAAGCAUGUCUUCCAUGUGCUGGUACCAUUUCUCCUUCCUUUUCUGACAGUAGGCCUAUGAUUUCUUCUGGGAGUGCUGAGAAAGAGACUGCUAGACUAGAAUAUUGUAUACGGCACUAGAAAUAGGGCAGUCUUUCUGUAAACUGCAGAGCUAUGGUUCCUUGGAAUGAUCAUUGCUUUACAACGCAUUGAGUUUUUUUUUUCUACAUUUCUUUUUCCUGGAAAAGCCUAUUUGAGGGAGGAAAUAGGAGAAGUAGAAAUUUGUUGUGGGUAGAGAUGUUUUGGAUUUGUCCUUGGUUUCAGUAAUUAAACAUCUGCCAUUUUUAUUUGCGAUUAUAUCCGGAGGAAGCUUUUAUAUACUAGAUUCAUAAAUCAAGAAGUUCAAUAUAGGGAGCACCAGCUGCAACAGCAGCAGAGCAUGAGCAGCAACAUUAAUGUAGGUGGAAGCAUUGAAAGGACGUUCUAUUUGUUCAUGCCAUUUAAUCAUGGCAAUCAUUCUAUUUAUUCAUGGUAAUCAUUUUAUUUGUAUAUGCUUGUUCUUAUAUAGCUUAUAUUGACAGAAAAUUUAAAUGGAAGCUAUGAGAACCACAUUUUAUCAAGUCUUUCAGGUGGGUUAGCCUCUGCAUAGCUCUUACUAUUUCUUGCAGCUCGAGGAGCUAAAGCUUCCUAAAGUAUAGAAAUCACAAAACCAAGCAAAUAAGUUUAAAAAAAAAAAAGAACUAAAGAUAGAGUCGCAUGUCUUUCAAAUAUGUUUCAAAAAAAAAACACAUUCUCUAAAACACUGGUAACAGAGCUUCUCUAAAACUGAAUUUCAUGUCCAAGUUCAUGUUAUCAACUUAUAGUCUUAUAUGUAAUCAACAUAACUCAAACGACUUCCUCUUUUUCUAAUAAUUAAUAACAGGGAAAAAAUUUAAAAAUAUGGGUGAAUUGGAGAAAUAUAUCUUACAAUAACAAAGAAAAAGGGAAUCCUAGUCCAGAAACUUGUGCGCGCUCUCACGAAAGAUGUCUCAUGAGUAAGCCUGAAUCUUGACGGAUCUGCAUGUUCAUUGUAGGAGAAAUUUAACAUAAAGAGAUAGCCUCAUGUACACAAAUAUUAAAAUGAAUACUAAAUUCAAACUACAGAAUGAUAAAUAGUCAUUUCUUGAUCGUGCAGCGACAUAACAAUGGAAAACUCGGUCCUGAGAGGCAGUUUCCUGCUCCCAGACCUUCCAGCCACGAAUCUGUACAAGUUAAAAACUUAUUAGCAUUAUAUGUAGAAUCAAUCAGGUGAUAAUAUGAAGAGUGAUAGUGUUUUAUAGAAAAUGAAAAUAUUCGAAAAUUGUUUCGAACAUAUAUUAAAAUAAAUUAUUGUCCUUUUAUUUUAUUAAAUAAAAUAUUAAAAAAAUCAUUGUCUUCUUUAAUGCAGUUUAUAAAGAAACACGGGAAAAUGAAUAUAGGCCAAGUUAGUGAUAAAAGAAAGUGAAUGACAGACUUGGCAGGAACUCUAUUACUGUAGAAAAAUAAAGCAACAAUUGAAAGGAUUCUUAUUUCGAUAAUGAAAGGAAAUAAUAAUCGACUGAUAAUUAUCUGGAACAUGCCAACUACUAUAUAUAUAGGAAAACAUAACUAAAAAACUCAGCUACGUAGGCCUAAAUAUCAUCAUCUUCUUCUUCUUCUUCGAAAUAUUCAUCAUCAUUAAAAUAUUCAUUAUCAUCUUCAUCUUCAUCACUACAUUCUCUAUCUUCAUUUUCUGCUUCCGCUAAUGAUGGAUCCACUUCCGCCCACAUUAGGAUUACUCGUCAAUGGUUGAUCAAAUUUGAUAGAUUCGCCUUCUGAAACAAGAAGUUCUGGCCCUGGAGGGAUAAUAUCAACCACUUGACGUCCAUCCGAUGCAUCCGUUAUGGUUAUUUCGUAACCCCCCUUUUCUUUUCGUAUUAUUUUGCCUACUAUACCUGCUGCUGUAGCAUUAUAAACCGUAUUGUUACUCUUGCUCCCGUCGGGAUAAAUCUGACCCCUUCCCCUGUUUCCGCCUACGUAUAUAGGAUAUUUUAAGAAGUGAACAUCUUUCUUAGUAGCGGGGUCCGGGGAAAGAAUAGGAAAGGUGAUUUCACUAUAUUUUUGACCAGGAACAGGGCCUAUCACAAGAAUAUUUUUUUUAGUGGGGCGAUAGCUCUGAAAAGAAAGAUUGCCUAUCCUUUCUUUCAUCUCGGGAGAAAUCCGAUCAACAGGAGCUAAUUCAAAACCCUCCGGUAAAAUAAGAACAGCCCCUACAUUCAAAGCCCCCUUUUUACCAUUAGCAAGAACUUGUUUUAGUUGCAUAUCAUAAGGGAUUCGAACAACUGCUUCAAAUACAGUAUCAGGAAGUACGGCUUGUGGAACUUCAAUAUCCACGGGCUUAUUAGCUAAAUGGCAAUUGGCACAUACAAUACGCCCAGUCGCUUCUCGUGGAUUUUCAUAACCCUGCUGUGCAAAAAUGGGAUAUGCACUUGAAAUGGAUGUCCGAGUUAUGAUAUAUAUCAUGAGCGAUGCGGAAAUGGAUCGAGUAAUCUGUUCCUUUAUCCAAGAAAAAGUCUUUCUAGUUUGCAUGGUCCAACCAUUGAUCCCGAAAAUUUCUACAAUAAAUUGGGUAGGUCGCUAAUAUAGUUCCCUAUCCGCGAUUCUGCUAUUUACUGGAAUAAUAUAUNNNNNNNNNNNNNNNNNNNNNNNNNNNNNNNNNNNNNNNNNNNNNNNNNNNNNNNNNNNNNNNNNNNNNNNNNNNNNNNNNNNNNNNNNNNNNNNNNNNNGAGAAUCAUCAAGCAAUAUCAAAUUCUGAGUUUGCUCCUCAAUAUUAUAUAAGUCAAAAUCAUGAAACUCUUCCUCUUGAUAUGUCUCUUCAUUACUAUUUUCGGCAACAUCAUAUGUGUUUCUUGCUUUUGUUGUGAUUACAGUAGACCAACCUUUAGCUUUAGUCGACACUGGAUUAGCAUAGAACACUUGUACAACUUGUGAUGCAAUAACAAAUGGCUCAUACGGCUUGUGCCUUGAAUUUGUAUCAAUUGUAGUUAUCCCGUACUUGUUAAUAACUACCCUUUUUUCAGAAUCAUACCAUUCACAUUGGAACAAAAAUACUGAAUUCUCUUCUCCAUAGUAUUCUAGUUCAACUACUUUAAUUAAUUGUCCAUAAUAGUCUCGUUCUUGGCCUUCAAAAGUACAUCCCUAGACUAAAACACCACUAUUUUGAGUUACCUUUCUUGACUCCAAUUCUUUUGUAUGGAACCUAAAGCCAUUGACAAUGAAUCCAUCAUAACAUGUUACCUCUCUAGACGGACCCAUAGCGAGCGCUUUUAGACGCGUAUCAACGACAUCAUCAUUCUUGACUCUCUUUUCAAACCAUUUUAUAAAUGUCGAAUUAUGUUCCUUUUAUAGCACUUUAUCCGACAUGUUUGGACGUAAUUCUUUCAAUAAAUGCUUGUGCUCCCUAGAAGUAAUGAAAUAAAUUAGUAGAUAUAGAGUAAUGAUUUACAUAUCUAAAAGUAAUAAACUUUAUAAGAAUUAAAAUGUCAUACUCGAUGAAAUCAAAGACUUCCUCAUAAUUAGACAAGAUGUAUAAGGUUGCUGCCUCGAGUUCUUUAUCAGAUAGAUCUUCACGUUUUCGUUUUCCUCCAAUUGGACGACCAGGCCUAGGGUGGCUAAAUAUUGAUAACUUUCCAUUAGUUUCAGCUUGACCGCCAUCGUCAUUUCGAUCAGCUCGGUUGAACUUGGUUUGCACCCUAAGAUCAAAAUAUCGAGAAGAAAAGUAAACUAGUUCGUCUAUUAUGUAUGCCUCAGCUAUUGAACCCUCGGGGCAAGCCUUGUUACGCACCCUUUUCUUCAAAGAACACAUGCACCUAUAAUUAUAUUGAAGUUAGGUAAUCACUUUAACUAUAAAAAAGCCUUGGCAAGAAAAGAGAUAUAAUUUAUUAAAACAUCACCUCUCGAAAGGGUACAUCCAACGAUAUUGUACUGGCCCUCCGACCUUGGCUUUAUAUGCCAAAUGAACAAGUAGAUGCUCCAUUGAAUCAAAGAAAGAUGGUGGAAAAAUCAUCUCAAGAUUGCAUAAUAUUUCAGCAAUAAAUAGCUCAAGCUUCUCUAACUCAGCUAACUUAUACACCUUAGAGCAUAUGUCUCGAAAGAAUUUGCACAAAGCAUUUAUUGGUUCCCAUAUAGAGUUUGGUAAGAAAUCACGAAAGGCCAAUGGCAAGAAUCUCUGCAUGAGAACAUGGCAAUCAUGGCUCUUUAGCCCAAUUAUUUUGCAAUUGUCAAGGUUAAUACAAUGAGAGAUAUUUGAAGCAUAACCGUCUGGAACUUUCAACGAUUUAAGCCACUUGCAAACUUGCUUGACUUCUUCGCUUUUUAAAGAAUAUUUAGCUUUUGGCAAUUUAAAUUUCCCAUUACCACUCUCUUCAGGAUGUAAUUCAAAUCUUAUACCAAGCUCUUGCAAAUCUAAACGAGCUUUAAGGUGGUCUUUUGAUUUUCUAGUAAUGUUCAUCACAGUGUAAAAUAAAUUAUCAAAAAUAUUUUUCUCAAUAUGCAUCACGUCUAAGAAAUGUCUUAUUAGAAGCAAACUCCAAUAAGGCAAUUCAAAGAAGAUACUUUUCUUUGUCUAGUUAUGCUCGAUUCCAAACCCAGGAGUCUUAUCGGUACUAUUGUUUUUAUCCUUUCCAAAGAUGACCGAACUAAAUUGAGAUACAAAAUUUAACUCCUCAACACCUGUUAGUCGAGGCGGGGGAUUUCUCCGUUCGGUUUUAUUAUUGAACUUACUCUUCUCAGCUCGAUAUUUAUGAUUACGCUUCAACCAACGACGAUGGCAUCCAAAAUAACUCGGCUUCCUCCCAUGUUUAAGGUUAAAAGCUACACUUGGAUCCAUACAAGGACAUGACAAGGCCCCAUGUGUACUCCAACCCUUCAAUAUGCCUAGCGCAGGAAAGUCACUGAUUGUCCAUAUUACAGCUGCUUUCAUAUAAAAAUUUUGCUUUGAGAAAGCAUCAUAUGUAUCAACUCCAACAUCCCACAAAGUCUUUAGUUCUUCUAUAAGAGGUCGCAAAUACACAUCAAUCUCUCUUCCAGGUCCAUGUGGACCUGGAAUAAGCAGUGACAUAAACAUGUACUCCUCUUUCAUACACAUCCAAGGGGGGAGAUUGUAUGGAACAAGGAAAACUGGCCAUGUCGAAUGAGGUUUGCUAGAAUGCCCAAAAGGAUUAAAUCCAUCAGUAGCUAAGCCAAGUCUUAUACUACGAGCAUCUUCAGCAAAAGAUGGGUAAUUGAGGUCAAAAUAUUUCCAAGCCUCACUAUCAGCAGGGUGCCUUAGCUCACCUGGAAUAUCACAUCAUUUUUCUUUGUGCCACCUCAUAGGCUCGGCCGUUUUUGAUGACAAAUAAAGCCUUUGAAGCCUUGGUAUAAUUGGUAAAAAAACUUAAGACCUUCCUUGCUAUUGGUUUAUUCUUUUUCCCUUUAACACUGCCAUGGUUUUUAUACCUAGAUUCGUUACAAAUUGGGCAAGCAUCUAAAUCUGCAUAUUCUCCUCGAAACAAGAUACAAUCAUUAUUACAUGCAUGUAUUUUUUGUAGAGGUUGCCCAAGGUCCUUCAUUAAGGCCUUGCAGUGAUAAAAUGACUCGGGUAAUUUAUUCUUUUUAGGCAACAUUUCCUUGAAAGCUGAAAGAAAAGCAUCAAAUCCAGCAUUAGACAAACAAUACUUGGAUUUUAGGUGCAACAACAAAGUUACGGCUAAUAACUUGGUGUGAUUUUGACAACCAUCCCACAAGGGCUCGUCUGCAGCCUUUAGAAGGUCAUAGAACUUCUUUGAUUCGCUAUUAGGAUCCUCAUCAAAUUUAGGGCUAAUGCAGCUUGUAAUAUCCCUUAACAUGUCUUUAGGCCAAUUUGCAAUUCCCUCAUCAAUAUCGUCAUCUUAAUUCCCUACUUUCUUAAGUGACUCCCCAUGCUCCGUCCAUGUAGUGUAGUUUGGUACAAAUCCAUGCUUAUAAAGACACAUUUCUACAUCUUCACGUGAUUUAUAGUUUAUGAAAUCACACUUGGCACAAGGACACCGAAUCAUGCCAUCAUCUACGCACUCAGGAUUAGAAAAUGCAAAAUCAAGAAAUGUAUUGACCCCACUCAUAAAUUCAUGUAUAUGUUUAGACUUUUUCCCAACAUGCCUAUACAUCCAACUUCGAUCAUCCAUCUACCAUUUGUAAUUCAAAUAAUUGAAAAAUGUUCAUUUAUGGUGAUAAUUAACCCUUUUAUGAAAUAGAAAAGAAAAAAAAAACUGUACUGACUUUACAACUUAUUUUCUAGCACACUGUUCUUAACAUGGUCACAACUUAUAAUUAAAGAAAACAACAUAUACUACCUGAAUUCAAGAUAAUAUUGGUUAUGAGGUAGUAAAUCAAACAGAGAAAGCGUAAUCAGAGAAAGCAUAUUAGAUUUUCUAAUUAAUGUUCCUAAUUAGUUUUAUAUUAGAUUUUUUACAUGCUACACAGGAAUUGGGGCCAAAUUCGAACAGAGAAAGCAUAAUCAAAAUUCUAAAAUAAUUGGGGCCAAAUUGGAACAGAGAAAGUAAAGAGGGAGACAAUAAACACCCAAGGAAGAGAGGAUUUACCUUCAAAAUCACAAAGCUUAACUUGGAUCACAACUUUGGUACGUAGAAGAAAGGGAGAUGGUUUUAGUUACCGUCUAUGGAGAAGAUGGGAAGAGUUGUUUAGAGCCGCAGAGAGCACUGGGCAGAGGCCGUCGACUGAGAGGGAGUAGUCGACUGUCGACUUUGUCAAGAAAGAGGCAAGCAAGUAGCAACUGAAGCAAUCAAACAAAGAGUGAAGAAGGAGAACUGAAGAUAAGGGCUAGGGCAAAUGUCAAAUGUGAAAGUGAAAUCAGAAAUGGACCGCCGACUCGGUCACUUAGGAUUAUAGAUAGGAGUGAGAUAUAAUAAUAUUAUAAAAUUGUUUUUUUUAAGAAUUACGGUUCGGUUAUUCGGGUAUCCAAAUAACCAGUUUUUGAACACCGAAUCUGUAAUCGAAUACUAAAUAAUAAUUCGGAUAUAACUGAAAUUGUAAAAAAACCGAAAAACCGAAAUAAUUCGGUUAAAAAAUUUCGAUUCGGUUCGGUAAUUCGGUUUUAUUCGUUUUUUGCUCACUCCUAGUCACUGGACAUUUAAUUUUUGUUGGCUUGUUGUUGCUGACUUGCUGUAUUUUGGACAGUUAAUUAGGCUUGCAUUAUUAAGUCAUAAAUUUCAUGUUGGCUUGUUGUUGCUGCUGGACAAGUAAGUUAACAGUUGCUGCCUGCUGGGCAGUUAAUUUGCUAAAUAGUUAACAGGGAAUUUAUGUUGUAUGAUAUUUCGGUUAUUACCCGAAUAUCCGAAAUUACAAUUCGGUAUUCGGUAAUUCGGUUAUUUUCACAUUUCGAUUAGAAUUUUGGAUAGUGGAAUUGUCAUUAAUUCGGUUUUCGGUUAUAACCGAAUAGCUUAUUCGGUUCGGUUAUAACCGAAUGAUCACUCCUACUAAUAACUUGGUAUUUUGAAUCAAAUAUCGGCAUCGACACAUAAGGCUGUAAAAUGAGCAAACAGUUCGGGGUCGAUUCGUACUCGCUCGACUAAAAGUUCAAUUCGAGCUCGACUCUAAAUAUAAAUGAGUCAAAUAUGAGCAAAUUUUAAAGUUCUAUAAAUUACUCGAACCUCCUCAAAUUAUAAUUUUCUAUUGAUACUCGGAUCAUAUUCGUUCGAAAAGUUCAAACUGUUCAGGCUCGAUUCGGAAUCGUACUCGACUCGAUAGCUAAAUGAUCCUCAAUCAAACCUUAUAAUAUACUUGAUAAAAUUUGUGAACCAAAUCUGAUAGAAAUACAUUACGAAAAUUUAAAAAGAUUAUAAAAUGAGUUUUAGUUUUAGUUGGACCAGAUUAAGUAAUCUCAAGUACAUGAAAUUAAAAAUAAAAUAAAAUUAACAAAUUGAAAAAAACAACAACUAGUAGACUCGGGCGUAAAUUAACUUUUAAGGGUUUAAUACACUAUUUGUACGUUCCAAAUUUUAUAUUUGACUUUGUACCAUUGACAUUUAUUUUUUCGUGGGCAUAUAUUUUUAUUAUUAUUAGUUAUUGUCAAUUUUGGUGGAUAAAUUAUUUAAUGUUUGAAGACUAUUUGGGGGAUAUUAAAUAUAUCAUUACUCAUAAUGAUAUUAAAUAUAGUGGGUGCAGAUGAUAGUAAUGUUAUAAAAAAAUUUCAGGCUUCACAAAGAAGAAUAUAAGUUAUUGUAUUAAGCUUCAAUACUUUUUGUAAGAGUAAUAAUUGAUAUUAAAACAUCAUUUUUAUUAAUAAUAUUAUUUUAAAAUAAUAAAAGAGAGGAGACUUAAUUUGUAGCUUAAUCUAAAGAAAGUAUAUAAAUUUUUAAUAUUAUUUUAAUUUAUUUUACUUUUUUGAAUAACAAAUUUGUACUUAAUUACUAGUGGAUCAAUUAAUUCAUAUCUCACAAAUUUACUAAAAAUAAUAAUUAAAUGAUACUCUUUUUUUUGUAGAACAAAGGGUAUAUCAAAAGAUAAUUAAAUCAAAAGAAAUUUAAGCUAAUUAAAUUUAAUUAAAAGAUAAUUAAAAUUUAAACAAACAAAAAUAGACUAAUUUAGUGGCAUAUUCCACUCAUUUUGAAGAAAUGGCGGGAUCUCUGUUUCUAUCUUUAAUUUCAAGUACCAUUGUAUAAACUUCCCCAUCUUUUCCAUAGGCAGCAAACUGAAACCCUACAUCCAUCUUCUACCAAAAUUGUGAUCCCAGUUAAGGUUGUGAUUUCAAAGGUAAGUCCUCUCUUUGGGUGUUUAUUCUCUCCAUCUUUCCUUUCUCUGUUCUAAUUUGUCCCCAAUUCUUAUUUUAGAAUUGUGAUUAUGCUUUCUCUUUUCGAAUUUGGCCCCAAUUCCUGUUUUUAUAGAGAUGUUUUACGAACUGUUAUUGACAAUUUGAUUGUUCAUGUGUUUGUGGAGAUUUAAUAUAUAUAUAUAUAUAUAUAUAUAUAUAUAUGAUUUUGAUAGCGUAUUUACUAAUUUUAANNNNNNNNNNNNNNNNNNNNNNNNNNNNNNNNNNNNNNNNNNNNNNNNNNNNNNNNNNNNNNNNNNNNNNNNNNNNNNNNNNNNNNNNNNNNNNNNNNNNNNNNNNNNNNNNNNNNNNNNNNNNNNNNNNNNNNNNNNNNNNNNNNNNNNNNNNNNNNNNNNNNNNNNNNNNNNNNNNNNNNNNNNNNNNNNNNNNNNNNNNNNNNNNNNNNNNNNNNNNNNNNNNNNNNNNNNNNNNNNNNNNNNNNNNNNNNNNNNNNNNNNNNNNNNNNNNNNNNNNNNNNNNNNNNNNNNNNNNNNNNNNNNNNNNNNNNNNNNNNNNNNNNNNNNNNNNNNNNNNNNNNNNNNNNNNNNNNNNNNNNNNNNNNNNNNNNNNNNNNNNNNNNNNNNNNNNNNNNNNNNNNNNNNNNNNNNAUAUAUAUAUAUAUAUAUCCCUCGAUUUAUAUAUGUAUGUUAAUUAGGUACGUAUAUGUAUGCAUGAAUAUAUAUGAAACUUUGUUAGUUAAUUACUUUGGUUGAGAAUGGAUUGUAGUUUGUAAACAAAUCUAAUAUGAAACUGAUUAGGAAAAGACUUAAAUUGGAAUUCUUCUUUUGGUUGAAUGGAAGGGUUACUCAUUACUUCAUUAAUUUGACAUUAAUUUUGUAUUAUUUUGUUUAAUUAUGUUUUGGUUGGUUAUGUUUUUCAUUUAUUUUAUUCUAUUCCAAGUCAUUAAGAGCACAUGAUGUUUUAGGUAAAACACUGAUUCUACUGGACAGAUGAUUCAUGUACAAAACCAAAGUUAGUGCACACACCCUAUUAUUUAAUAUUCAAAACAUUGGGUUGCUGUUGGGGUGGGUCUGUAGGAGGGCAGGGGUGGAGUUGCAGGGGAGGCGAAUGGAAGAGGGCAAAAGUGCUGGAUGAAGGAGGGACGUUGGCAUGUUCUUGAAUGAUGGUAACCCAUUCUUUAUACAUUUUGAAUGAGAGUGGUUAAUUGCAAAAAAGCACUUGCAAUAGCUACAUUGAAAUUGGUUCCAUUUAUGAGGGACAAGAAAAGCAGCAGUGGGCAGUAAGGAACUGCUAUAACAGUUUUGGGUAUAUCAUUCUAGCUCUAGAAUCUAGUUUGAAGACUUAACCAUAGAGUUUUAGUUUUAGUUGGAGCUGUACAUUCUUUACCAUUAAUGAUUAGUGAUUCUAUUCAAAGUUACCAUGCUUUUUUAAGUUCUCACUUGGGUUUUUGUAAAUGGGUCAAGCUUUGCUUAUUGUGUGCAAGAAAAUCUGAUAUCGCUGUGAAAUCUAUAGUAAGAAAAUUAAAAAUGGUCACUUUGAUAUACUUGCACUUAAUUGAUGCCCACAAUUGUCGUCUUUAAUUGUACUAAUCCAUCAAAGGAGCAUGUCAAUAUUGUUCUAUUCAGCAGUACUAUGAUUUAAUUGAUGCCCUCAUAGUAUCCAUCAAAAGAACAUUUAAUCUUGAUGUAACCAGCAUGCCACGGAACCUGACAUGUGUAGCAAAAAAGCUUUUUACAGUUCAGACAUAUUAGAAAUGAUUGUUCCAUUGAAAUGAUUGUUUGGCAUAUUAGAGGAUCUAACAAGUGAUUACAGUCCAAAGUGGACGACAUUUAAUGCUGGCUACAUUGUCUUCAACUUUUACUUCGAUGUACUUGGUGAAGCAAUCCACACAAAAAGGAUGAAAACAUUCAUCAUUCUUCUUGAAAACAUUCAAUGCAUAUCUCACAAGUGAAAGUUGAACUCUCUUCUUCACCUGAUUUAUCCUCUUCUGUUUUCGCCAAACUCACCUCUUGUUUUUAGCUGUGUGUUCCCCAUUGUUUGUUCUGUUUCUGUUGCAAAAAAAUCAUCAGCUCAUGUGAGAAACAAUUAGAGAAAGUGGAAUUGUACAACAGAAACAUGCAUGAAGUUGUAUAUUAUUGCAAAAUAAAUGGCAACUCUUUCUACAAUUACAAAGAAAAUGCCAAACACAUUUUGAAUUUGCAGCUACAACUAUUACAUGUGUUAUACAAGAGAUGAGAAUACAUUUUGAACAUGCAUGUGUCAAUUUGUGAUCUACAACACAUUUUGAAAAUGCCUAACACAUUUUGAACAUGCAUGUGUUCUACAAUUACAUGAAUUAAUUUGCAUGUGUUGUACUUUGUGUUGUGCAUAUAGUAAUAGGUUCAAUUAAAUGUUGUGUCAAGUGAUAGUGCUAAUUUAUUUAUUUUUUGAUAAAAAAAUGUACAUGCUUGUGGUAUAAUUUCAAACUAGUUUUCCAAUGAGUCAUGAUUAAUUAUUGCUGAUUAAUAUGUUGGGUAUAUAAAUUGUUCUUUGUACGGUUGAAUGUUAUUGUCUUGACAGGUAAGAUGCUAAUUGAUUUUGGAGCUAGUAGAGUAGUGAAUAAUUUUGAAAUUGUAUUACAACAUCAUCUUGAAUAAUUUCUUUUAUUUAUCCUAUAUUUAAUUAUAAGUUUUUUUUCUUCUCCAGCUAUGGUGAGAACUAGAGGUGGGAGUAGUCUUUCCGGUAGGAGAUCAACUCUUCCUCAUAAUAGUGGCGAGACUGUUAACAUGAACAGAAUGAGAGAUGAGCCUAUUGUAUCUCAUGAUAGUGGUGAGAGUAUUGAUAGGGCUACACCGAAUACUACACAAGCCGAAAGGUUAUCUCGUAAGAAAAGGGGGCCAACUCUAGGGAUAAUAAAGCCUAAAACAGGCCAAACAAAGAUGCUUGUUAAUAUCAUUGGACAAAAGUAAGUUUUUACUAAUCUACUCGUGCUUGUCAAUAUGCAAGUUACAUACAAUCAAUUCUGGAUACGUUAAAGAUUCAUUUUCUGACACAUAAUAUAACGUCCGUUUUAACUAUAACAGGGUAAUCUAUGUAGCACAAUGUAAUCCAAAGAACAUAAAAGCAACUAAUCAUAUCAUGUUACUAUAAAAAGCAAUUAAUAGGGGUUCCAUUUAACAAGAUUUGAUUAAUCCUAUUGUGACAACUUUGUUUCUACUUUUCAUUAUUGUUGUACUAAUCAUAUCAUGCUAUGUUACCAUAUCUUGUAAUUAGCUUCCUUGAACCUGAAGCUCGAAGCAAGACUCACAUAUUAUUUCAAAAACGUUUUAAAGAAGCUCGAACCAAAUUCGAGCAAUGGCCAAAACAUGAAAUUGAACUUCUUUGGGGAGAAUAUUUGGUAUGUUUUAAUGAACACACAUUUUAAUUGUAGAAAAAAGUUUAUCAAAAAGUGUAUUAUUCAUUAUAUAUUAAUUAUUAUUUUUACUUGUGGAUGGUGUUAUAGAAAUAUUUUCGUUUCUCUUCAUCGAAGGAGGAGGGAAGGGGUCGAAUCAUAUGGGAGGAAAAUGCACGAAAAAGCUACCCAAACUAUUUAUGGAGAUGGAAAGAUGAUGCCAUUAAGAAGUUUGGCUCCAUUGAGGAAGCAAGGGAUAAAAAGCCUAAUUGGACAACUCUUGAUGUGUGGCAGGAGAUGUGUGAUUAUUGACUGAGUAAAGACUUUUUAGACUCUAGUGAGCUACAAAAAAAGAACAGAAACAUAACUACGUAUGUUCCUCACACAUCAGGCUCCAUAUCGUACGCCGUUAGGAGGGAACAAGAGGUAAAUUAUAAGUUGAUAAAAUCAAAUUAAUAAUAUGCGUAGUCGAUAAAUGCACAUGAUAAUGGUAAAAGAUUCAUAUCAUGAUGCUCUGUUUGGAGUUUUUAAGUGUUCAUGUGGUAUGUAUUGCUUAUUUUUAAUAUUAAUGUUUAUAAUUAAAAUAAUUAUUAUUUUGCUUGUUUUGUCUUAGAAACAAAGACUGCAUCGUCCGCCAACGCAAUAUGAGUUAUAUAAACAAACUCAUAUGAGGAAGGAGAAGGGUAGCGAGGAAAAAACGUGGGUUUGUGAUGAAGCAAAGAGGAAUUUGGUAUGAUUUUCUCUUGUAAAAUUAUAAACUUUGUUUACUCAUGCGAAAGUGAAGAUUGUUGUUCGUUCUUUUCAUAAUUAGUUAUGAGUAUUGUUAAUUAUAUAUACAUAUUUUAUGCAUUGUAUAGGAUGAUUAUGAGAGAAGACUCUUAGCCAAACAUGGUGAUACAGAUAAGCCCGUGAAUGAGUUAGAUGAUCCAAAUUUGGAGACAUGGCAGAAAACUGUUGGAGGCGUCAAAAAGGGUAGACUUGUUGGUCGACCAGGGGAAAAAUGGAGUUCUCGUCGUGGUUCGUAUUGUCCAUCUUUGGUUGCAGAUGAGAACUAUAUUAAAUUAAAGAAAAUGGAAAGCUACAUGACUUAUAUUCAUCAAUACACAAAAAAUAUGGCCGAAACACUUGCACUUGAUCCUCCUAUAGACUUUUGUGAUUUGUUUGCUUCAUCAAAUGCAUCAGCUGAUAUUCCAACGAAUAACUCAACCACGCAUGCUGAGAAUGACAACGGAGAUGAUGACGACUCUCAAGAAAACUUCAUGGAGAAUUCAGGAUGAUUUAGCUCUGCUUUACUUAUCAAUUUUAUUAGUUUAGGGUUCUUUGAUAGAUGUUGGGUUUGUUAAUUGUUUGAUGAACCUAUGACAUGUAGUUACCUAUUUAAGUAGUUGGUAAUGAAUUUAUUUUUAAUUAAAUGGAUCAGAUUUCUUCAUUUUAAUAAAUUUGUAUGAUUUUACGUUUCAAAUUUAUUGUAAUUUAUGUCAUUUAUAAAUUUGAAAUAUAAAAUUGGCAAUUAAAUAUAUUUUAAUAUAGGAAUUUGGUGAUGGCUUUACUAUCACCAAAACGUAUAAAAAGGUUACAAAAAUAGGAAUAAUUGUGAUUGCUUUAGCCAUCACAAGAGACUUAUGCCAUCACAAAAGAAUGUGAUUGUUUUGGCCAUCACAAAUAAUUGGUGAUUGUUUUGGCCAUCACAAAAAGAUGUGAUUGCUUUGGCCAUCACAAAUAAUUGGUGAUUGUUUUGACCAUCACACAAAGAUGUGAUUGCUUUAGCCAUCACAAAUAAUUGGUGAUUGUUUUUACCAUCACAAAAAGAUGUGAUUGCUUCGGCCAUCACAAAUAAUUGGUGAUUGUUUUGACCAUCACAAAAGAUGUGAUUGCUUUGACCAUCACAAAUAACUACUAUGCUAUCGAGAUUACUUUCGCCAUCACAAAUAACUUGUGUGAUUUCGUGAUGGUCAAACUAAUCACAAAAUACAUGUGCGCUAAUGUGACUGAUUUAGUCAUCACAAAAGGAUCGAAUGUUUUGGUGAUUGCCAAAACCAUCACGUAAAACCUUUCAUGAUGGACGUAUACAAAACGGCCAUCGUGAUGCUUAAAAUCAUCACGUAAACCUUUCGUGAUGGUUUUUUUAGUUUUUGUGAUGGAUUUUUGCCAUCACAAAUGACCAUUUUUUUAGUAGUGAUCGAAAGGACGUGGAAUUUAAUAUUGGAGAUCACGUGUUGUUACGUGUUGCUCCAUGGAAAGGAGUUACGAGAUUUGGAAAGAGAGAAGCUCAAUCCUCGAUUCAUUGACCCAUUUUUAAUCCUCGAGCGAGUAGGAACUAUGGCCUAUAGACUCGCCUUACCGCAAAGUAUGUCUCGUGUUCAUAACGUUUUUCACAUAUCUAUGUUACAUAAAUAUGUGAAAGACCCGAACCACAUUAUUGAAUUAGAACCAGACAAGAUAGAGGAAGAUUUAACAUAUGAAGAGUUACCUAUUAAAAUCUUGGAUAAGAAGGAUCAUAUUCUACGCUCCAAGGUUAUACCUCAAGUCAAAGUUUUAUAAGAGAAACCACGAUGUGGAGGAAAUGACCUGGGAGUUAGAAUCUGAGAUGAAGUCAAGAUAUCCUCGUCUCUUCGAUAUACCAGGUACGUACCCUAGUUUCGAGGAUGAAAUUUCAUAAGAAGGGGAGGUAGUAAGACCCCAACUUUUAUGAAUAAAGAAUAAUUUUCUCAAAAUAUAUUUUUGAAUAUUAUGGUGUGGAUUUGAUAUAAUGUUAUAGUUGUGGGUAUUAUUUACAAAUUUUGCAAAGUAAGCAAGUGGUUAUAUAAUAUUCGAUUGGUCGGGGAAUAUUCGUUUUAACAGGGAAUAUUCGUACGACGGUACAAUCAUUGGUGGACCCCACAAAGAAAGUAUUGUUGUAGUUAAAAAACGACAGAAUUAUCUUUUUAUAAAAAUAAUGGCGAAAGUGUUGCCGUUAAAACUGUUGAACUAACCGGUAAUAAAAGUACAGUAAUACGCGUGGUUGCAUAGUAGUACACAGUAUUGAUUAUUGAUGUUUACGUGAGAAGUCACUCAGUUAUACUCAAUUAUUACUAUAGUAAUUGUUGCAUCAUAUCUCUCAUAUUAUUGAUUCAAUUAUUGUCACAGUAUCAUCUGCAUAAUAUGUUAUAUUAUCAAAUCAAUAAUUGAGACGACAAAGUUAUUAAUAUUAUUAAAUUACAAUAUUGACAAUGUCUUGAAGUUCUGUCAAGGAGAGGUUAGAUAAUCUAAUUGCGCGCCAAUAGGGAGAAAUCCUCAUCGGAAAGCCCCCUCUUUCCUGGAAACUACCUGGUUGUUAAAUAUUAUGAGUUAUAAUAUUAAUGAUGAAUAAGUUUGUGUUGAUCAAAGAUGAAAUUAAUAGUUCCAUUGUAUGGAAAUUAUUAGUGUUAGUUGAAAAUCGACAUUUAUUUCGAUAAUAAUUGAUGUCUGGAGGUUUUAUUGACCAAUCGGGUAAUUAACCGGAUAAAUGAGCAAUUAAUUGCUAUUUAUUCACAUGCUUAUAACUAUGUGUUCACAUGUGUGUACUAUUGAUUCACAUGCAUGUACUGUUAGGGGAGUUGGUGCAAGAUUGAUAAUACUUGCAUGACUAAAUUAAAAAUUGAGGUAUAGAUGAAGGUACUAUACUAUACUUAAUUUUUUCACAUGUUUAGAACUAUUGAGUCACAAGAUUUACUAUUGAUUCACAUGAAUUACUAUUAGGGGAGGUGGUGCAAGUUUGAUAAUACUUGCAGGACUAAAUUAAAAAUAAAAAAAAAGAGGAAGGUAUUAUACUGUAAUAUUUUGAGCCCCAAAAUGUGCAAUUAUUGAAACUAUAUUUUCCUAUAAAUAGAAGCUCAUUCUUCCUUCAUUUCUUACCAAUUCACUAAAGCUAUAGAACAAUUAUUAUAGAGAGAAAUUAUAGAGAGAAAGAAGAAGAGAAGUAUGCUACCUCACUACUCCAGUAUCCAGUUUUCUUCUAAGGUAAGGGGUAUUAUUUCUUUCGUAUUCAUGAAGAGAGUUAUUUCUUUCAAUACUCGUAAGGGUUGUUAUUCCAUUCUUUAUUAUUCUGUUGGAAUAACCUGUAUAGGUGGAUUACCGAAUGCGGUGUGAAAUUCUUCUGUUAUUCCAUUCUUUAUUAUUAUGUUAGAAUAACCUGUCUGUGCAGAUUAUGCACGCCUGGUGAAUUCUUUUGUUAUUCCAUUCUUUAUUAUUUUGUCGGAAUAACCUGUCUGUGCGGACUACGCACGCCUGGUGAAUUCUUCUGUUAUUCCAUUUUUUAUUAUUCUGUUGGAAUAACCUGUCUGUGCGGUCUAUCGCAUGCCUAGUGAAUUCUUUUGUUAUUCCAUUCUUUAUUAUUUUGUUGGAAUAACCUGUCUGUGCGGUCUAUCGCAUGCAUGGUGAAUUCUUCUGUUAUUCCAUUCUUUAUUAUUCUGUUGGAAUAACCUGUCUAUGUGGAUUACCGCAUGCAUGGUGAAUGAUCCUUUGUAUUCAUUCCUUAUUAAAUUGUGGAAAUGAUAUGUCUACGUGGAUUACCGCAUGGCGGGCAAAAAUCCAUUUGCAAUUUUAUAUAUUCUAUUAUACUCAGUUGCUUAAAGUUUUGGCUUCUAUACUCCAUGAAAUUAGUAGAAUAUCCUGGAUAUUUGCGCUUCAUCCAAUAUCUUUUCAUGGACAUAUUCUUCUGAGCAUUCUUGAAUUUUACUCCACAAAGCAGUAUUAUGUUGACAAAUUGGAUGUUAUUAAUUUCUGGAUAAAUUAAAUUAUAAAUCUUUAAUAUUUAUCCUUGAACUUGUUUUAUUGAAUUAUUAUGUCAUUGUCAUCAUCCUCAUGCUUAUAUUGUGAUGAAAGUCAUCUUUGGCUUACGUGCAUAGAUGGAUUUGGUAUAAUUAUGACCAGGAAUUAUUCGGUAUAAUCAUGACUGUAAUGUGACGAAUGAUGUGGUGAAAGUCCUCAUUGGCCUGUAGUUCAUUGAUGGACAGUUGUUGGUAUGAUUAUGACCAGGGAUUAUUCGGUAUAAUUAUGACCAUUGAUGAUUACACGAGUAUCCUUGGCCAUAAUGCAUGGAUGAUUCGAUUUUAUUUAUUAAGCUGAGUCUCAGCGAUAAAGUUGAUGAAAAACUUUUUAAGUCAUAGAAGAUAGUAGAUUUUAUACUCUAUAAUUGACUCUUCUAAUGGAUUGCUUAUUCCGCUGUAGUUUUUUAUCUAAAACUUAUUGUCUAUUAUAUUCUUUCAGUUGUUAUACUGUUGAAGGCUAAGGAUAAUUUAUUUUGCAUUAUCUUAGUAAUAAUAUUUCUUACUGGGCUUGUUGAGCUCACCCUUUUCUUUCAUGGUUCUCUUCAAGAAAUGAGAACGUAGCUGGGACUAGUCGGGGAACAGAGUGACGGUCCAGAUGUUUGGAUUAGUAGUCCUCACUAUUCUGUGAAAUAGUGUGAUAAUAAAUGUAAUGAGGACUCCAUUGAGUGUGGAUAUUGUCUAGAUGACAAUAUUCUUAUUAAAACUCUUAGAUUAUGUUUUGUCGUAUUUUACACGACUGUUGUACAAUUAAGUUGUAUUUGAAUUUUGUACCAUGUAUCUGGCGACUCAAGAUGGCUGAUGUAUACCUAUUUUGGUGGCGUCACAUUAACCCUAUUGUUAUAUAUAUUAUAUCCGAUUAUUGUUUAUCAACAUAAUAUUAUACUAUAUAAUUCAGAUAUAUAUUCUGUUCAUUAAUUUCUAAAAAUGAUUAUACAAGUGUCUCCACCUGGAUAAUCAUUGUAUUUAAUCACAUGUUGAUAUAUAUAUAUAUAUAUAUAUAUAUAUAUAUAUAUAUAUAUAUAUACCUAUUGAACCCCAGUAUGUAUACAUUAAGUAAAAGUCGUCUAAGCUAUUCGACCAGCUAGACACAAAUUUAGUUAUAUCGUUUAAUAUGACAAAACUUUUUUGUAUCCAAUCAAAUUAUUUUGGUUCGGAUUCCAGACUAAGUAUGAACAUCCCGAACAUGAGAAAACUUUUAUGCGCCCAAGGCGGACAGAGUAAACGAUAAUAUCUUUCUUUCAUGCAGUAUUGAUCAAUACAGGGUCCAUGGGAUGUAUACCCUCGUGCCCGUAAGUUAUGACGGUUUGCAGAUGAAGUUCUGUUUAACCUUUUUGAAAAUAGAAAACAAUGUGUAUGUCACCCUAACCCUAUAUAUAGUCAAUACAUAGUUUCAAAAAUGUGAGAUAGAGUUGAUAUGUUAUUAUUAUCAGUUUAGUUUACUUCACAACUAUUGAAUCGUUGUAGAAGUAAUGUACAAAGAAAACAUUUAAUUCUUUCAGAUAAUUAUAUUUAUAAUUGUUAUUACUUGCUGGGCACUCAAAUGCUCAUCCUUGCUUAAUUUAAAUGUUUUCAGCUAAGCGUGAUCAACCUGAAGGUUUAGACAAUAAUAAGUGAAAAGGAAAGCAAACAGAAUAUGUUUAACGGUAUCUUUUGUAAUAGUUAAACUGUAUUAAGAUAAUGAUAUGUAUUAUCUAUCAUGUAAAGAAUUAUAGUAAAUGUUGCGUACUUGGGAUUAGACUAUGAUAUUUGUAAAUUAAGUUUGAUUUUUAUAUUAUUGUUAUUAUUAUUAUUAUUAUUAUUCUGCUCAUAAAAAUGGUAUCGUGAAGCACCGAGUUCGGGUUUCAAGUACCUAAAUUUGGGGGCGUCACAGUAUGGUAUUAGAGCUAUAGGUUAGAAACCUUAGGUGGGUUAAACCUUAGGCUAUAACCUUAGAACAGAGGGGAACGUUGAAAAUACAAAUAACUCAUAUAGAGUUUAUAAGGAGAUGAAUUUAAUAAAUUCAUCGUGAAACAAAAUAAAAGAUAACUAAUAAAACUAUUAUUUGCUAUGUGUUUAUACUUAGUGUUAAUCCGGAUAAUUUAUUUGUAUAGAUGUCAGAUAGAAAAAGAAUUAGAAUACCCUCAGAUCAUAAAGAAAGAGCAAAUCUCCAUGACCGAGCCAAUAUUAAAGCUAAUAGCUGAAAUAGAGGCACACAUUGAAAACUACCUCAAAGAGGAGGUUAUUUUGGAAAGUAUAAUACCAGAUCCAGAGACGAUAGUAUAACAGAUAGGUUGAGUGUAGUUAAAGAAUAUAUGGUGAAGCUUGAGUUCUUAAACUCAUUUAUUUGUGGUAAGUUCUUAAACUCAUAAUGUGUAGUAAGAAAAAGGGAAGUAUUUUAGAAUACCUCAUAUCAUUCUCGAAUUACUACUUCAUCUCCUCACCAGCUCUUGAACCCUUGACCUCUAGAAACUCAAUAAUCAAACGAGUACCAAAUGUCUACAAGGAGGACUAGUAUAGUUAUGUGUUAAUGGAUUAUUGAGGAUAAUAGAAUAUAUAGAAUGCUAAGCAAUUGAUCAUUAGUAAAGACGUAAGAAAUAGAUAGUGUUAGUAUUACUUGAAUAGGUAUGAUUCUAUGUGGUGUAAAUGAUAAGUAUGUCUGUGUAAGGAAAUAUUCUCAACUUUUGUAUAAGUUAUGGCUGCGAUUCCUGACUUGUGUGUUAUAAAGGAAUAGCGGAUGUUUAAAGCAGUAUGUGCUAUGGUAUGUCAAGUGAUAUGAAUAUGAGUCUAUGUUGGAUUAACGAAAUAAGUUGAUAUAAAGAUAGUAAUUAUUUAUCUGAACACUGGUUAAUACAGUAAACCGAAUUUUCAAAAUCUAAAAUUUUGAGUACAUGAUUAUUUGAAUAGAAAGUUUUGCGUUAUUUGAGAUGCAUGUACGAUAAGGCUUAGAAUGUAAGUUAAUAAGAAUAAUUUAUGAUAAUGCCAUCGAGAAGAAGAACCUGUCAAUAAAGCUAGAAGAUAACCAGACCCGCCAUAUAAUUUUGCGAAUGUGGACGCUCAAGCUAUGCAGAACGGAAUCCCAGCCGCGGGAAAUCGGCCAGAUAAUCGAUCGACAAACUUUAGAGACUUCAAGGCAAUCGUACUGCCAAGAUUUAGAAGAUCAACUGAUCCUGUUGACGCGUUUGUGAUAGUUAGGGUAACAUAGGGGCAAAAAGACAGCUUUUGCCACCUAUACGAUGAAAGGAGAUAGUUUUGAUAAUACCUGAAAUAAGCCAAGAGUGUGAUGGAAAGGAAAGUUUGUGUGUUGCAAAUGUGGACAGGAGGGAUAUAUCUCUCCUAACUCUCCCAAUCCAAAAGUGUAUAGUGGGUGUUUUAUUUGUGAGUUAAGGGAGCAUAAGGUGAAAGACUGUUUAAGAAAGAGAAGGGAGGCAAGGAAUGCGAAUACGAGGAGAGGCAGCAGGACAUUGACGACAACGAGACCAACUUCAACAAACAAACUGACGGAAUCAACCGCAAGAGUCAUCAACAUGACUGUUUAGGAUUCGGUAGCAGCCGGGGAUGCAACUCCAAGUAUUACUCGAACCAAUUUUAUUUUCUUAUAUAUGAUUUUCUUAUAUAUAUAGUAAAUUAUUUUAUAAAUUAUUUUGAAGGAGGAAUUUGAGUUCUUUUAGAAAUCAAAUUUCUGUUUAUGAAGAUAGAUAAGCUUUUUGCUGAAUAGUUAAAGAUCAGUUAGAUCAAUUAUGAUCGAGAUCUACUUGCAAUGAUUGUAUAGGUUAUGUACCCUUAUAUGUAUAGGUUUUAAAACGGUGAUUCCGGGGACGAAAUCUUUAUAAGGGAGGGUGAAUGUAAUAACCCGAUAUUUUCUAUAUAAUUAAAUCAGAAAUUUUGUGUAUGAAUUUAUUUAUUUAUUUAUUUAUUAAAGUUGGAAAUAUGUGCCAGGUAAUGUGUAUAUGUAUAUAUGUGAUAAAUAAAAUAUAUUUAUUGCAUGAAUAAUUACCAAUAGUUUUAUUUUAGAAUUAUUGCUCAUUAUAAAUUAUAUUAUAAUAAUAAUUAGUUUUAUAGUAGAAAUGUUUUUAUUAAUUCUAUUCUAUGAAAAUGUGUUUAUAUAUUAUUUAAAAAUUAUAUGAAAUGAUUAAAGACUUAUUAUAAUGAUUAUUCUGUUUUAUUAUAUGAAUUUUAGUUCAGAUUAUUUAAGUUAAUUAUUUUAACUUAAUUAUUAUUGUUAUGUAUGCAAGAUAAAUCAGAUAUGGAAUCCAAAUCCUAAUUUUGGAUUUUGAACAACGAAUGAGAAUAAUAAUAUAAUAUUAAUUAUAUUUUUAUUCUUCAGUGCUAUAAAUAUGUAUGUUAUGUUUGUAAGGUUAAUCUGGGGAGCAAUUUCCUUAUGACCUGAUAAAACCCUAAUUUGAAAGUCAAUUACGACUGUAAAAUCUGUUAAGUCAUUGUGAUAUGUGGUAUAUGAUUUGUAUUAUAAGUAUUAAUGUUAAUUAUAUAAAACCCUAAUUAGUAAUUUAAAACUCUAUUUUUCUUAUAUUAGAAACCCUAAACAGUAAUUAGCUAUCCGCUAAGUGGAAACCCUAAUUUAAAACUCAACUAUGAGUUUGAGACUAUUAUGUAACUGUGUUAUUAUGUUUAAGGUUAAGUAUUAUAGAAUUUUAUAUUAAUUAGAGAAACCCGAAUUAACAUUUAGAAAUCCUAAUUUCCAGAAACCCUAAUUUCUAAAUUAGUAAACCUAAUUUCUAAAUUAGUAACCCUAAUUUACUAAAAUAAAAUCCUAAUUGUUAAUUUAGCACGCUUAAUGAUAAUUAGUAAAAUCUAAACCUAAUUUUCAAGUCUAUGUAAUGAGGAAACCAAAUUAAUUACGAAACCUUAAUUUGUAUUUUUAGAAACUAAAAAUUUCAAUUUUUGUUUAAAUUAGAAAUCCUACAACACUUUGUGCUAAACCUUAUGGUCAAACCCUAAGGGUCAAACCCUAAGUGUUUGAUAAGUUACUAGUUUGCCCUUAAAUUGGUUAGCCAAAUGACAAAAAUACCCCUCUUGCAUUAUUGGACAUAACUUGUAAGACUAACCAAUUUUGAGUUGCUCAACAACUCUUACCAGCCCCAUUUGACUAAAAUGCCAGCAAUUAGCCAACUUGAUUUCAUGUUAUAUAUAGAGAGAUCAGGAAAGAGAAAUUUCAUUUAUUAGCCACAUUUGUACAAAAAACUCCUUACCAACUCUCUCUCUCCCAAAACCCACGAAAUGUUGUAGUAGAUCAGUCCCAUAUUAAAGCCCCACUAACACACUUAACCAAAUCAGCAGCCAGAAUCAAGAAUUGAUGUUUAAAGGUAUAAAAUCCUAAGUUAAAGUUUUGAUCUUGUAUGCUAUAUUGGAUUUAUGGUUUUUAUGUUUAAUCAUGUAGAAUAAGGUGUUAAUAGGUGAUCUGGGUUGGCACAUGUUAGAUCCAUAACAUCAAAGUGCUCGAAAUCUAAGUUUUUCAAAAUCUGGAAUUUUUUGUUUUUGUUGUCUGACAGCGAAUGUCAGGCCUUGUAGAUCUGUGCUUGUUUAUUGUUUUGAUGAUUUAAAGGUUUGAAGUGGUAGUUUGGUAUGAGGUCUUUCAUAUGAAAGUGGAAUCACUGUUAUUGGAUGUCUAGAUCGAAAGUUAUUGAUGGUCAAAAGUCGUUGACCAACCAUGACCGAGUGUAAAUCUGGGCAACCCAGAAAGCUUUUUCAGCGUCUGACAAUGUUUUGGAAGGCUUAGAUCUGUCAGUGUGUAAAUGAUUUGAUGAUGUUAUAAUAUACAGUUUAUAGCCUGUCAUAUGUACUUUAUAUUUGUGGCUUUAGAUCCUUUAAACAAACAAUUGAUCAAACUUAGUGGAUGGUCAAACUUGGCCCCUCGGUCACGAUUUCAUUUCUGGGAAUUUCCAGAAAAUCGGAAGAACAGCCCUCUGACAGGGUUUGACCAAGUUAUAUCUUGUAGAUCUGUUGAUGUUAAACUGAUUUGUUGUUAUAUUAUUGUUCCUGGACAUAAGGACUACAUCUUUGAGGCAUUAGAUCACUUGAAUCAUGAACGGAACCUAGAUUAAAUCGAGGAUGAAAGUGACUGGUCGACCACCUGGGUUUCUGGAAAACCCAGGAAUGCUCUGACAACAUAUUUGCAAGCCUAGAUCUCCUUGUGUGUUUGUUGUAUGACCUAGAUAUUGAUUGCUAGUUAUAGUGUUGUAUAAUGACUUCAAUAUUGAUGCUUAAGUUUGCCCAGAAACGAAUUAGACAGAGAAUUAUUAGUGGUCAAAGUUGACCCCUCAAACACAAAGCUAUAAGUGUUCUUGAGCUCAAGAACACCAACAGCGACGCUUACUGUCGCUAAAAGCCAAUAACGACGGUUUCUAAUACUUUUAAUUUCUGAUUUUUCGAAAAAUACUUAAAAAUAGAAAAUAAAUUAUAAAAAUUACAAAAAUGGUUUUAAAAAUUAUUUUCAAUUAUGAAAAAUAACUUUUAAUUAUUUGGGAUAUUUUUCAUUAAUAUUUAUAUAUUUUUUAAUAUUAAUAAUAUUUAAUUUAUUUAAUUAGUGUAUUAAAUAAACUAGAGAAAAAUGAUUUUAAUGUUAUAAAAAUCAAUUGAAAUAAGAAUAAAGUGUUUAAAAAUAUUUUUGAGUUAUAUAUGUAACUUUUAAUAUUUUUGUGAUGAAUUUCAUUAAUUAAUUAAUAUUGGUGAUAAUUAAGUAAUUUAAUAAAUGUAUUAAAUAAAUUAUGAAAAAUAGAAUUUGUGAUUUAAAAAUCAUAUAAAAGUGAUUUAAAGAUUAUAAAAAAAUAUUUAAAGUUAUAAAAUAUAACUUUUGAUAUUUUGUCAUGAAAAAUAUUAAUAAUUUAAUAUUAAUAAUAUUAGAUUUAUUUAAUGAUUAUAUUAAAUAAUUUAGUUUAAAAAUAAUUUUAUUAUUAUAAAAAUCAUUUUAAAUGAAAAUAAAGUGUUUAAAGAUAUUUUAAGUUAUAAAAUAUAACUUUUAAUAUUUAAAGGAUAAUUUCAUUAAUAAUUUAAUAUUAAUGAUAUUAAUUUAAGAUUUAUUGAUAUUAAAUUUAUUUAAUAAUUAUAUUAAAUAAAUAUUUUUAAAAUGGUUUUAUUAGUUUAAAAAUCAUUUAAAAGGAUAUAAUUGAAUUAAAAAUAUUUUAAGUUGGAAUUAAUGACGUUUAAUAUUUGGAUAAAUAGUAAAUUAAUAUUUUAAUAUUAAUGGUAAUUAUUUAAAAAUGAUUUUAAAUGUUUUAAAAAUCAUUUAAGGGUAGUAUUAGUACUUUAAAAAUAUUUUGAGUUAUUAUCAAUAACUUUAAUAUUUUGGUAAUGAUUAUAUUAAUAAUUUAAUAUUAAUUAAAUAUUAAUGAUAAUAUGAUUAUGUACUAUUUAAAUCAUUUAAUUAUGAUUCCAGUGUUUGAAAUUUCAUAAUAAAUUAUAAUAAAUGUUUAAAAAUUAUUAUAAGUCAUUUAAAAAUAAUAUGAUUGAUACUUGUAGAUAUUGAGAUACAAUAUAGAGUCUUAGACUCGAUAUUUACCCAAUAAAGCCGUCGGUAGACCGACAUAUUUUAAAAAUUGAUCUAGACUUAGAUAUUUGACUGUAUUAAUGUUUGUUUGUGAUUUAAUGAUUGUUGAAUAUGUGUGACAAUGUGAUUAGGUUAUGUCCUAACUGCAAUAAGAAGUGCUAUGUGUUAUAGUAUGUUAUUCUAAUCGAACAAAUGAUUUUAUUAAUGAUAGGUUUUGGUAUUAAAGAUAAAACUAAGUUGUGUAUUGUAAGUAGCAGACCAGACAAGUAUCCUAUCUUUGCAUUUUCAUUAUGCAAUGGACAUGAGUAAGAAGUUUAGAACUGUAUUACUACUGUAUCAGAUUAUUAACCCUAUUGUUAUAUAUGUUAUAUCCGAUUAUUGUUUAUCAACAUUGUGACGACCCCAAAAUAGUUAUACAACACCCAUUCUGAGUCGCCAUAAUACAUGGUACAGAAAGAAAACUACAACUUCACUAUUACAAUUGUCAUGCAAAAUACGACAACACAUACUGUGAGUUUAAAUACAAAUAUUGUCUUCUAGACAAUAUCCACAAUCAAAUAAGUCCUCAAUACAUUUAUUAAUACAUUAUUUUACAAAAAUAGUGAGGACUGCUAAAAUAACUAUCUUGAAUCAUCACUCCAUACCCCGGCUAGUCCCUGCUAUAUUCUCACCUCCUGAGAAGAAAAAUGGAACAACAAGAAAAAGGGUGAGUUCAACUAGCCCAGUAAAGAAUAUUAUGACUAAGAUAAUAUACAACAAAUUAUCAUUAGUCCUCAACAGGGAAAAAUCUGAUAGAAUAUAAUAGACAACAAGUUUUAGAUCAGCAAAUGCAGCGGAAACAACAAUCCAUUAGAAGAGUCACGUAGAGAAUGAGUUCUACUAUCUUCUAAGAUUUAAAAGUCCAUCAUCAAUAUUUUAUCCCUGUAACAACAAUCAAUAUACAUCUUUACACUACAGGCCAAAGAUAUUCAUUUAAAUCACCAGUCGGUCAUGUUCAUCUCAACACCUGUUCAUCUUUGCACUACGGGCCAAAGAUAUUCAUCAGUUUAUCAUUCAUCUUUGCACUACAGGCCAAAGAUAUUCAGUAAUAUCAUCAUUUAGGACUGAGGAUGAUGAAAAAUAUUUUUUUUUAAAGAAACGAAUCCAGUGAAACAAAAGGACAAGGAUUAAGAAUUCGUACUUUAGUUUGUCCAAAUUCAAAAAUACUCCAUAAUAAACAAUUAUGGGACAAAUUUUAAGAAUGAAGAUCAAAACAUGGAUAUAAUCAAAGCUAGUAUCAUAAUGGACAUUUUGGAUAAAAAGGAAAUUUUUUAUUUUUCGGUGAAUAAUGUCGUAUUCGUGAAUAGUGCUGUAUACGUGAAUAGUGCCGUAUACGUGAAUAGUAACCCCGACACAAAAAGUUCCAAAUUUGAUAAAAAGAUCAGAUCAAUAUUUCGACGUAAUGAUAUUGACGAAAAUAAUAUCAUUCAUGAAGAAAAUAAUAUUCCUUACCUCAAAGAAGCAGUACUUCGGAAUGAAAGGUCGGAAGUGAUGCUGAAUGAAACUUGUACUGAACAACAACUCUCAAAGUAUCUAAAUACUCACAAAAUACGCUCGAUAAUAUAGAGAGAAAGAGAGAAAGCUUAUGUUUCUUGUGUGAUUUUCAAUUCUAACUUAGCCAUCUAUUUAUAGAAAAAUGUUAACCCGCCGAAGCAGACUUGACCUGCUACCUGAUGGCUUUACCUGUUACUAUUGCCACCCACCACAUUUAAAAUUCAAUUUGAGCACAUUUCUCACCAACCACAAGUGGGGCCCAUUCAAUUCUAGAAUUUUCCACCAAAAUCAUUUAUAACCCUAAUUUCCGAAGCAGUCACCUCUUAAAAUUCAUAACAAAUCAUUCGUUCAUUUUUAACGGUUCAAAAUUUGUGGACAUAUACCCAACUUAUAUAUGUAUAACAUAACCAAAAAUCACAACAAUCCAACGGUCAGAGUAAAAAUUAUAACUCACGCAAUAUAUCGUAAAAAUACUGAUUUGAUUUUUAAUACCUCCAUUCCGACAAAAAUAUAGAUAAAACACCUCAACAUUAACUCCUUCAAUUAUAAUCACAUAAAAUAAACAAAUCCAUCAUUUAUAUAAAAUAAAUAUUUCCUUAUCAUAUAAAUCAAUAAUUAAUUAUUCACAAAUAAUAUUAUAGAAUCACAAUUAUGACAACCAAGCCGUUUCCAGGAAAGAGGGGGCUUUCCAAUAAGGAUUUCUCCUUACUGGCGCGCAAUUAGAUGACCUAACCUCUCCUUAACAGAACUUUCUAGACAUUGCCAAUAAUGCUAUCUAAUAAUAUUAUUAAAGCAAUAUGAAUUAUUGAUCUGAUAAUGGGAAAUACUGUGCAGUAACAAUAAUUGAAAUAAUAAUAAUAUAAAAUAUCAACGCAGCAAUUAUUGAAUCAAUAAAAUAAAAUAUUAAACAGUAACUACUGUAACAAUUAUUGAGUAGUGCCUUCUUACGUAAGAAUCAAUAAUUCAACUAUACUGUGUAAUACCGUGUGCUACUGUGCAACUACGCGUAUUACUGUAUUUUAACCACCAGGUAAUCCAACAGUGUUAACGGUAACAACUGCGCCGUUAUUUAUAAAAACACAUACUUGUCGUUUUCCUUCAUCCAACCAUUUUUCAUUAUGGGGCCCACAAAUGGCUGCGCCGUCGUACGAAUAUUCCCUGACAGCAAGAAUAUUCCACGACGAAACGAAUAUUCCCCGACAACAAUGAAUAUUUUAUAACCACUUGCUUAUUUUGCAAAAUUUGCUUAUCUCAUCCAUAACCAAAAUAUUAUAUCAAAUUAACACCUUAUUAUUCACAAUAAUAAUAAUUAGAGGAAAUUCAAUUUCAUUUAUAAAAAGUUGGGGUCUUACAAACAUGAUAUUAUAUUAUAUAAUUCAGAUAUAUAUUCUGUUCGUUAAUUUCUAAAAAUGAUUUAAUCACAUGUUGAUAUAUAUAUAUAUAUAUAUAUAUAUAUAUAUAUAUAUAUAUAUAUACCUAUUGAACCCCAGUAUGUAUACAUUAAGUAAAAGUCGUCUAAGCUAUUCAACUAGCUAGACACAGAUUUAGAUAUAUCAUUGAAUAUGAUAAAACUUUUUUGUAUCCAAUCAAAUUGUUUUGGUUCGGAUUCCAGACUAAGUAUGAACAUCCAGAACAUGGGAAAACUUUUAUGCACCUAAGACGGACAGAGUGAAUGAUAAUAUCGUUCUUGCAUGCAGUAUUGAUCAAUACAGGGUCCUUGGGAUGUACACCCUCGUGCCCAUAAGUUAUGACGGUUUGCAAAUGAAGUUCUACUUUACCUUUUUGAAAAUAGAAAAUAAUGUUCAUAAUAUGUCACCCUAACCCUAUAUAUAGUCAAUACGUAGUUUCAAAAAUGUGAGAUAGAGUUGUUAUGUUAUUAUUAUCGGUUUAGUUUACUUCACAACUAUUGAAUCGUUGUAGAAGUAAUGUACAAAGAAAACAUUUAAUUCUUUCAGAUAAUUAUAUUUAUAAUUGUUAUUACUUGCUGGGCACUCAAAUGCUCAUCCUUGCUUAAUUUAAAUGUUUUCAGCUAAGCGUGAUCAAUCUGAAGGUUUAGACAAUAAUAAGUGAAAAGGAAAGCAAACAGAAUAUGUUUAACGGUAUCUUUUGUAAUAGUUAAACUGUAUUAAGAUAAUGAUAUGUAUUAUCUAUCAUGUAAAGAAUUAUAGUAAAUGUUGCGUACUUGGGAUUAGACUAUGAUAUUUGUAAAUUAAGUUUGAUUUUUAUAUUAUUGUUAUUAUUAUUAUUAUUAUUAUUCUGCUCAUAAAAAUGGUAUCGUGAAGCACCGAGUUCGGGUUUCAAGUACCUAAAUUUGGGGGCGUCACAAAUAUGGCUCAGUUAUUGGAGCGCGAUAAUGAGUCAACCCAACCAAGAGAGAGUAGCCGACAAAAUGAUAAUACCAGUGGUAGCAGUCAUCGAAGCGGUGUCAACAAACGUGGAGGGAAUCAACAUGCUAGAAAUGGUAACCACUUCGGUAGUAAUCAUGGCGAAGAUAAUAAAAAUGGAAAUUUCAAGAAGAGGAGAAUCAACAAUGAUGGAAAGACGUCAGCACCAGAACCCGUUGGUAAGGAAGGAGAACGACCAGCGAUCGUAUGCUACAAAUGCGGAGGGGAGGGAUACAUCAGUCCAAACUGUGCGCAGCCGUCCAAAAUGUAUUAUAAUUAUGGAAGAGAAGGUCACCUAGCUCGAUUUUGUCUUGCAAGGAAGCCAAGUCAAGCUGGGAUGGAGGCACCAAAGGUCAUCCCAGAAAAGUCAAAACCAGUAGUUCAAGGGAGAGCGUUUUUCGUGACCUCCCAGAAAGCAAGGAACCUGAACGAGGUUAUCAUGGGUAAGCUAAUCAUAAACUCUAGCGAAGUAUAUACCUUAUUUGAUAACGGUUCUACCCAUUCUUUUAUUUUACUAUUGGCACUCAACGUUUAAAUUUAACUCUGGAGAAAUUAGACUUUGACUUAUCUGUUAAAACUCCGUUGGGAGAAACCUUCAUUACAUCCACUGUUUAUAAGUCUUGUUUAGUUCAAAUCGGUACCCUCACAUUACCUGUCGAUCUUAUUUCUUUAAAAAUACUUGCAUUUGAUGUGAUUUUAGGGAUUGAUUGGUUAACUACUCAUCAUGCAAAAAUUGAUUGUUUUCGUAAGGUUGUUAGCUUUCAUAUUCCUAACCAACCUAUUAUGCGAAUUCAAGCAACCAAACCACUAAAGUCAAUCACUGUCAUAUCAAGCCAUAAAGCUAUUCAUUUAUUGAAAAAUAGAUGUCAAGCUUUCUUAGCCCAUGUCACAAAUUUAAACAAAAAUACGUCAUAUUUGAAUGAUAUUUCUAUUGUUAAUAAAUUUCCAGAUGUAUUCCCUGAAGAACUUCCUGGCCUACCCCCAGAGCGUAAAAUUGAGUUUGUAUUGACCUCGAACUCGGUAAAAGACCCAUUUCCAAAGCCCCAUAUCGAAUGGCUCCUAUUGAACUUCAGGAGUUAAAAACCCAACUGCAGGAGUUGUUAGACAUCUGUUUCAUUUUUCCUAGUACGUCUCCUUGGGGUUCUCCUGUUCUAUUCGCAAAGAAGAAAGAUGGGAGUAUGCGACUUUGUAUUGACUAUCGGGAGUUAAAUCAUGUCACUAUCAAAAAUAGGUACUCGUUGCCUCGCAUUGAUUACCUGUUUGACCAGUUGUAAGGAGCCAAAUUCUUUUCAAAGAUCGAUCUUCGUUCUGGAUAUCACCAGUUAAAGAUUAAAACUGAUGACAUCCGAAAGACUGCUUUCAGAACUCGGUACAGGCAUUAUAUAUGAAUUCCUAGUCAUGCAUGUCCGUUGGAUUGACUAAUGCUCCUGCUGCUUUCAUGGAUAUGAUGAACCGAGUAUUCAAGGAAUAUUUGGAUCAUUUUGUGGUCAUUUUUAUUGAUGACAUCCUCAUAUACUCCAAAAUCCGUGAAGAUCAUGAGCAACACUUGAGGUUUAUACUUCAAAAGUUUCGUGAAAACAAGCUUUAUGCCAAGUUGAAGAAAUGCGAGUUCUGGCUUAAGGAAGUGGCAUUCCUUGGGAACGUGAUAUCAAUUCACGGAAUAUCUGUUGACCCAUUGAAGAUUAAAGCAAUUCAGAGCUGGGAGCAACCUAAGUCAGUGACCGAAGUACGUAGCUUUCUGGGCUUAGCUGGUUAUUAUCGGAGAUUCAUGGAUGGAUUUUCUCGAAUUGCUACUCUAUUAACUCAGCUGACUCGAAAAGAUACAAAAUUCGGUUGGAGCGAGGAAUGUGAGAAAAGUUUUCAAGAACUCAAGAGAAGACUCAUUUCAGCACCUGUUCUGAUAAUACCAUCUGGCUCGUAGGGAUUUAUCAUCUACAAUGAUGCUUCAGGCAAAGGGUUAGGAUGUGUUCUCAUGCAACAUGGGAAAGUCAUAGCCUAUGCAUCAUGACAACUCAAAGAAUAUGAGAGGAAUUAUCCUACUCAUGAUCUAGAGUUGGCAGCUGUCGUUUUUGCGCUUAAGAUUCGGAGGCAUUACCUGUAUGGAGAGAAUGUGGAGAUCUAUACGGAUCAUAAAAGCCUCAAAUAUUUCUUCACUCAAAAGGAGCUCAACAUGCGACAACGACGUUGGCUUGAGCUAUUGAAAGACUACGAUCAUACCAUUUAAUACCAUCUUGGAAAAGCGAACGUAGUAGCUGACGCAUUGAGUAGAAGAUCAUAUGCGGGUACGAGUGCGAUAUUGUUAACGCAAAGACCCAUUUUGUAUGACUUACAAAGGAUGGAAAUAGAGUUAAAGACUCUAGGGACCCAAGUGAUGAUGGCAAAUAUACGAUUAGAACCGACUUUAAUCGAUAAAGUUAAAGCUGCUCAACUUACGGACCUGGAGCUGAUGCGUAGUAGGAAGAAAGUACAAGGUGCUAUCCUGGAAGCAAGAAUCGAUGAAGAAGGAAUACUAUGAGUCAACUCUAGACUUUGUGUUCCUAACGACCCUAAUUUAAAGUAUAAAAUCAUGAUGGAGGCGCACAACACACCGUUUGCAAUCCAUCCUGGGAGUACCAAAAUGUAUCGUGAUCUUCGACAUAUAUUUUGGUGAAGUAAUAUAAAGAGAGAGAUAACAGAGUUUAUCUCAAGAUGUUUAACUUGUCAACGUGUCAAGGCGGAGCAUCAAGUGACAAAAGGUCCAUUGCAACCACUUGAAAUUCUAGAAUGGAAGAGGGAGCACAUUACCAUAGAUUUUGUUAUUGGUCUUCCCAAGGUUUCUCAAGGCAUAGUUGCAAUUUGGGUCAUUGUUGAUAGAUUGACCAAGUCUGCUCAUUACUUACCUAUACGAGAAACCUAUACACUUGAACGUCUUGCUCGUAUAUACAUAAACGAGAUUGUAAGACUGCAUGGUAUACCAGUAUCCAUAGUUUCUGAUCGAGACCUAAGAUUACUUCACGAUUUUGGGUCAGUUUGCAGAAAGCUAUGGGCACGGAUUUGCGAUUCAGUUCUUUGAUGCCCCCAAAAUAGGUAUACAUCACCCAUUUUGAGUCGCCAGAUACAUGGUACAAAAUUCAAAUACAACUUAAUUAUACAACAGUCGUGUAAAUACGACAAAACAUAAUCUAAGAGUUUUAAUAAGAAUAUUGUCCAUCUAACAAUAUCCACAAUCAAUGGAGUCCUCAUUACAUUUAUAAUCACACUAUUUCACAGAAUAGUGAGGACUACUAAUACAAACAUCUGGACCGUCACUCUGUUCCCCGACUAGACCCAGCUACGUUCUCAUUUCCUGAAGAGAACCAUGAAAGAAAAGGGUGAGCUCAACUAGCCCAGUAAGAAAUAUUAUGACUAAGAUAAUGCAAAAUAAAUUAUCCUUAGCCUUCAACAGUAUAACAACUGAUAGAAUAUAAUAGACAACAAGUUUUAGAUCAAAAACUGCAGCGAAAUAAGCAAUCCAUUAGAAGAGUCAAGUAGAGCAUAAAAUCUACUAUCUUCUAUGAUUUAAAAAGUUUUUCAAAAUUUUUAUCGCUGAGACUCAGCUUAAUAUAUAUAUAUAUAUAAAAGCAAUAAACGCACCGGAUGUAGACUUACAGUGGACUGCCAAAGUAGACUUCUUGGACUGCAAAUGGAUGAACACUCGUCUCUCGCCGGACUAAAAGUAGCUAUAUACGAGCUAACUAGUGUUUAAAGAAAAGGAAACACUCAAAAGAUGUGUAUGCAGAGCUAAACGGACAGGGCUUCCUCGCCUUUUUCCCUCUCUUCCUUCUCUCAAAUGGCUGACCCCCCCUCUAUAUUUAUAGACGGAUGGCCGCAGGUCUACCUGCGGCUGGUCGUGGUGGGCCCGGGCAUCGCGGGUCUCGUCGUCUUGUAGUACGUGCACUUGCGCACGGUAAUGUCCAAUCGAACUUUCAGAACUUCAAUCCUAGCAUCCAAACGAAGCGUGUCUGUACUUCUUCGGACCGCUGGUGUCGAGAGUUACGUAAUGACAUGGAUUAGAGGUUGUACGAAGUCAGGAAGCGGGGUAUAUGCCCAUGGUCUUCAGGCUUCAAAUUCUAUCCAAAGUAUUGUCACAGGUAAUAGUCACUCGGGAUUGUCAUUCCUCGGUUAUUUGGGACAUUGUUGUAUGUAUGUAUGUCUGAAAGGUUGAGACGACGUGCCAUUUGUUGGACGAACAAGAUGAUGUUUGACUCUUUGCCGGAGUUAUCGCCUGGUUGAGCUGAAAGUAACCGUUGCUCAGGUUACAUCUGAGAUUGGACUACUUGUUGGUAUGCUGCUAUAUCAUCUUGUUACGAGAUGACGUUGGUGACUCCUCACCGGGUUUAUCGCCGGUUUAAGCGGAAAGCAGACGUUGAUCAGGGUUACAGCUAAGAUUGGACCGCCUAUUUGUAUGCCUCACUGUCAUCUGUGAUUGAAGCUGAUUGCAUGUGUUUGCAACAAGCAAUUCUGGAGUUAUCGCCGGAACUGCGAUGGCAUCACUUGGGGUUAUCACCAAGGAUGGGACUACUACUCCCAAUGUUGUCUCUGGGACUGGAACUGAACGUCGCGGUGUCAUCACCGAGACAGGACUGUCCUCUCCGGUGUUGUUGCCGGUCUUUUGAUCUGCACAUCUCGGGGUUAUCUCCGAGAUUGGAAAUGACGUGCCCGGUGUGUGUUCCGGGUUUGGAACCGAUGCUCCCGGUUUGUGUUCCGGUUUGGAGCGAAACUUCCGGUAGUAUCUGGACUUGUUGUGAGCUGUCUUUCAGGGUUAUCUCCAAAAGACGAAUCUACCCUCCUGCAAUGUUAGUAAUAGGAGUGCAGAAAAUUUCGAGUGUCUACAACACCUAGCAACCCAGAUCAUCACUAUAGACUAAAAACAACAUAUUCUAACACCCAAACAUAACAUUUAACAACAUAUCAAAGGUCAGAUUUUUAGGUUUAGUGUUAUACCUUCUUGCUCAAUUUCUUGAUUUUAUGUUACUGAUUUGUUAUGGGAUUUCGUGGGGCUUGAAAAUGGGACAAAAAUGCUAUAGAUUUUCGUUGGUUCUAGUGAGAGAAGCUCUUGGUUGAGUGUUGUGCAAUUUUUAGUGAACAAAUGCAUUUUCUCUAUCCUUAAAUCUAUUUAUAGACAAAUUAGAUACAUGAAUGGCUGAGCUAGAACUUGUUGUUGUCAAUUUAGUGUCACAUGGCUACUCUAGGGUUAGCCAACCACUCCAUCUAGACCUAUUUCUACAAGCAAGCUUCAAUAAUACAAUAGGGCACAAAAGUCUUUUGGCUAGCAAUUUUAAGGGCAUUUUUAUAACUUGUCAAACCCUUAGGGUUUAACCCUUAGGGUUUAGCACAUAACACAAAUGAUUUUUAGCAACUUAGGGUUUGAAUAAAAUAAAAUUAUUUUAGCUUCUAAAAUUUGAAAAUCAAGAUUUGUUAAUUAGAUUAAGUUAGUAAUUAUAUUAUACAUGAACAUUAGGGUUUAGUACCACUAAUCAUAAUUAACCUUGCCAAAAUAGCAAUUAGGGUUUAAGAUUUUAAUAAUUAGGAUUUCUAAAACUCAAUUAGGAUUUUCUAAUUAUCCAAUUAGGGUUCUGAACAUUAGGGUUUUAAUUUAAUAAUUAUGUUUACCAUAAUUAGCAAUUAAAGUCUAUUGUACGUGUUAUUAAUCACAGUAACAUAAUUUUUGACAGAUAAAAUUCUUCAGUUUAAGUUUUGAUUUAGGGUUUCUAAUAUCAGAAAUUCAAAUCUAAUUAGGGUUUGACAUUUAUAAUUAGGGUUCCCUAAUUGGCAUAUCAUUAUGUAACACAACAUAUAACACAGUUAUAUAACAGUCUCAAAUUUCCCAUUUAAAUUGAAAAACAGGGUCAAACCAAUUAAUGCUAGGGUUUGGUCAAUAUACACCAUAAUUGACCAACCAUCAACAGUACGUACAUACAGUACAUAUUUAUGGCACUGAGAAAUUAAAAUAUUAUAAUAUUAUAUAUUAUUCUCAUGCCUUGAUCAAAACCCAAAAUUAGAGUUUGGAUUCCGUAUCUGAUUUAUCUGCCAUAAAUAACCUUAUUAAUUAAGUUAAAAUAAUUAACUUAAUAAUCUGAACAAAAUUCAUAUAAUAAAAUAAUUAUUAUAAUUAUUCUAACAUCAUUUCAUAUAUUACUUAUAUUUUCAAGGAAAAUAAUUAAUAAAACAUUUCUAAUAUAAAAUUAACUGUUAUAAGAAUAUAAUUUAUAAUAAUUAAUAUUUCUAAAAUAAAUCAAUUUGUAAUAAUUAAUGUAAUAAAUUUUAUUUAUCACACAUAUAAUUAUACACAUAUUACCUUGGCACAUAUCACCCAUAUUUAUUUUAAUAAAUAAUAAAAAAAAAAUUUAUACGCAAAAUUUAUGAUUUAUUUAUAUAGAAAAUAUCGGGUUGUCACAUUCUUCACAUUCAUCAGAUUCGGGUGUGUAGCUUGAGCGGCUUUAACUUUAUCGAUUAAAGUCGAUUCUGCUCGUAUAUUCGUUAUCUUCACGUGGGUCCUUAGAGUCUUUAACUCUAUCUUCAUCAUUUGUAAGUUAUACGAAAUGGGUAUUUGUGUUAACAACAUCGCACUUGUAAACACAUACGAUCUUCUACUCAAGGCGUCAGCUACUACGUUCGCUUUUCUACGAUGAUAUUGAAUGGUAUAGUCGUAAUCUUCAAUAGCCCGAGCCAACGUCUUUGGCGCAUGUUACGUUCGUUUUAAGUGAAGAAAUAUUUGAGGGUUUUAAAAAUGGGUUUUGUACUGGGGUCAAUACAAAAUUUGAUUUCACGCUCUAGGGGUAGGCUAAGAAGUCUUCAGGAAUACGUCAGGAAACUUAUUAACGAUAGAAAUAUCAUUCAAAACUGUGACUCUCAUCCCAAGACUUGGAUAGCCCGUCAUAUUGAUACCUAUCAACUUGCCACCGUUAUUCACGGCGUCCCCUACGGAUAGUCUGGCUUCGGUGUAUUCCAAGACUUGGAAGUCAUCAGCGAAAGGCUUAGGUCUCUUUACUUAUGGCUUGAUAUGACAAUGAUUGGCUUUAGUGGUUUGGUUGCUUGAAUUCGCAUAACAGGUUGGUUAGGAAUAUGAAAGCUAACAACCUUACGAAAAGCAUGAUGAGUAGUUAACCAAUCGACUCCUAAAAUCACAUCAAAGGCAAGUAAUUUCAAAGAGAUAAGAUCGACAGGUAACGUGAAAGUGUCGAUUUGAAUUAAACAAGAUUUAUAAACAGUGGAUGUAAUUAACGAAGGUUUCUCCUAACAUAGUUUCAACCGAUAAGUCAAAGUCUAAUUUCUCCGGAGUUAAGUUCAAACAUUGAACACAACUAGGUGAAAUAAAAGAGUGAGUAGAACCGGUAUCUAACAAGGUAUAGACUUCGCAAGAGUUUAUGAUUAACUUACCCGUGAUAACUUUAUUCAGGUUUCUCGUCACGAAAAACGCUCUCUCUUAAACUACUGAUUUUGACUUGUCUGGGACAUCCCAGUUGGACUUAACUUUGCUGUAGAGUACAUUCCACCCUUAAUUGCUUCAUCACAUUCCUGAUCCAUGAUUCGAAUCAUUACUCUCUGAUCCAUAUCGAAUUGGGGUUAACCGCUCUGCACAGGGUAAUUUCGAAUUCGAUGUUGGAUUCUCCCAAUUGUUGUCCAAAAAGCAAAAUCCAUUUCAUCUAUUUUAGCCUUAUUGGAUCUGACGUCUUUUUCUACAAUAUCUACACGUCGUGCGACUUUUACCCAUGCAUCAUCUAUUCUCAUUCGUUCAGUUGUUUUUUCUUUCAUCAGAACUUUGAUCAUAGCAUUCUUAAAUUCCAGCUCUAAUAUCUUAUACUCUGCCAAAGAGUGCUUCUGUUCGAGCAUCGUACAUCGGGUAACACAAUUUUGAAUUGCUACAUCUCUUUGCUCCACGACCGCCUGUCGUUCUUCAGCCUGCUCUUCUAGCUCAUGAAUACAAUUUUGUAAUUCUAAAUUUCGAUCAUAAAAUUCUUCUAAUAAAUUCACCUCAGGUUCCUCUUCUUCCUCACUCUCAGCUGCUACCUCUGCAACUAGCUCGAGUGCAACUAUUAGUUCUUCACUCACCAUGUAGAUAUCUCUAAUUUCUUCUUCGUUUGACAUCACAUUAACCUGGUUAGUGAUUAAAGGUGUCUCAACGAUCUCAUUCACUGCAUUGUUAAUAUUUUUAGCCGCCAUUUUUAAAUACUGUCAUAAAACAAGGGUGAAUUAACAUAUCACAUAUUAUCAAUAUAUUAUGACCGACCAAUUAAAUACCAAAUAAACUUAGGUAGGUCAUACUAGCAAAGGAAUUCCCCGUCUCUCCCCUCCUAGUUCUUGUCUCACAUCUCAGCCAGGGAUCAUAUCCCUAAGCUUUGAUACCAACUGUGACGCCCCCAAAACAGGUAUUCAUCACCCAUCUUGAGUCGCCAAAUACAUAGUACAAAAUUUAAAUACAACUUAAUUAUACAACAGUCGUGUAAAAUACGACAAAACAUAAUUUAAGAGUUUUAAUAAGAAUAUUGUCAUCUAGACAAUAUCCACACUCAAUGGAGUCCUCAUUACAUUUACUGUCACACUAUUUAACAGAAUAGUGAGGACUACUAAUGCUAACAUCUGGACCGUCACUCUGUUCCCCGACUCGUCCCAGCUAUAUUCUCAUUUUCUGAAGAGAACAGUGAAAGAAAGGGUGAGCUCAACUAGCCCAGUAAGAAAUAUUAUGACUAAGAUAAUGCAAAAUAAAUUAUCAUUAGCCUUCAAUAGUAUAACAACUGAUAGAAUAUAAUAGACAACAAGUUUUAGAUCAAAAACUGCAGCGGAAUAAGCAAUCCAUUAGAAGAGUCAAGUAGAGCAUAAAAUCUACUAUCUUCUAUGAUUUAAAAAGUUUUUCAUCAUUUUUAUCGCUAAGACUCAACUUAAUAAAUAAAAUUGAAUCAUCCCUGCACCACAGCGAAGUUUAUUCAUGUAAUCAUCAAUGGUCAUGACUAUACCGAAUAAUCCCUAGUCAUAAUCAUACCAACAACUGUCCACCAAUGAAUUACAUGCCAAUGAUGACUUUUACCACAUCAUUCGUCACAUUACAGUCAUGAUUAUACCGAAUAAUCCCUGGUCAUAAUCAUACCAAGUCCAUCUAUGCACGUAAGUCAAAGAUGACUAUCAUCACAAUAUAAGCAUGAAGAUGAUAACAAUGACAUAAUAAUUCAAUAAAACAAGUUCAAGGAUAAAUUUUAAAGAUUUAUAAUUUAAUUUAUCCAGGAAUCAAUAACGUCUAAUUUGUCAACAUGAUACUGCUUUGUGGAGUAAAAUUCAAGAAUGCUCAGAAGAAUAUUUCUAUGAAAAGAUACUGGAUGAAGUGCAAAUAUCUAGGAUAUUCUACUAAUUUUAUGGAGUAUAGAAGCCAAAACUUUAACCAACUGAGUAUAAUAGAAUAUAUGAAGCUGUAAAUGGAUUUUCGCCCGCCAUGCGGUAAUCCAUGUAGACAGAUCAUUUCCACAUUUUAAUAAGGAAUGAAUACGAAGGAUCAUUCACCAUGCAUGCGAUAAUCCACAUAGACAUGUUAUUCCAACAGAAUAACAAAGUAUGGAAUAACAGAAGAAUUCACCAUGCAUGCGAUAGACCACACAGACAGGUUAUUCCAACAGAAUAAUAAAGAAUGAAAUACUAAAAGAAUUCACCAGGUGUGCGUAGUCCGCACAGACAGGUUAUUCCAGCAGAAUAAUAAAGAAUAGAAUAACAGAAGAAUUUACCAGGCGUGCUUAAUCCGCACAGACAAGUUAUUCCAACAGAAUAAUAAAGAAUGGAAUAACAGAAGAAUUCUCCAGGCGUGCGUAAUCUGCACAGACAGGUUAUUCAACCAGAAUAAUAAAGAAUGGAAUAAUAGAAGAAUUUUGCCACGCAUACGGUAAUCCGUGUAUACAGGUUAUUCCAACAGAAUAAUAAAGAAUAGAAUAACAGAAGAAUUUCACCACACAUACGGUAAUCCGCGUAUACAUGUUAUUCCAACAGAAUAAUAAAGAAUGGAAUAACAACCCUGACAAGUAUUGAAAGAAAUAACUCUCUUAAUAAAUACGAAAGAAAUAAUACCCCUUACCUUAGAAGAAAACUAGAAUAGUGAGGUAGCAGACUUCUCUUCUUCUUUCUCUCUAUAAUUUCUCUCUAUAAUAAUUUCUCUAUAGCUUUAGUGAAUUGGUGAACAAUAAUGAAGGAAUGAGCUUCUAUUUAUAGAAAAAUAUAGUUUCAACAAUUGCACAUUUUGGGGCUCAAAAAAUUACAGUAUAAUAUCUUCUUCUUUUUCUUCAUUUUUAAUUUAGUCCUGCAAGUAUUAUCAAACUUGCACCACCUCCUCUUGGAAGUCCUUGAAUCAAUCAGCUCGAAACAAUCCUUCUUGGACUCAAAUUCUAGUUAAAAUUACCUUUUCUACGCGUACCCAAGCCCCAGCUUGGGUAUUGCCUUGUAAAUAGUAAGCCCCGGCUUGCUAUGCUUCUGAUUUUGAACUCAGGACCCCAAGCCCCGGCUUGGGUAUAAAGCUUAAAAGAGCAAGCCCCGACUUGGGUGCAAGCUGCUAAUAGUUUUUUCUGCUGCAGUGUCCUCAGGUAAAAUGGCCAUAACUUUUGAUCCGGGAGGAGUUACGGGGCCUGCCACCUAUCAAAUCAAAGAUAUCGACGAGAUCUACAACUUUCAUUCUUUGAGAAUUGAGUAAUAACGAACGAAUGAAGGUAGAAAUUGGACUAGAAAUGACUGUUAUGCAAAUGGCCACCCAAAAUAGCGAAGUUAUUCAACAGUCUCCUGUGCUCCAUUGAUAUUCUCAACAUUCUCGGUUGUCAUUUUCAAAUACUGCCACAAAACAAGGGUUAAAUAACAUCACAUAUUAUCUCUAUACUCUGACCGACCAAUUAAAUACCAAAUAAACUUAGGUAGGUCAUACUAGUUCCCCGUCUCUCCCCACCUAGUUCUUAUCUUACAUUUUAGUCAUGGAUCAUAUCCCUAAGCUUUGAUACCAACUGUGACGCCCCCAAAAUAAGUAUACAUCACCUAUUCUGAGUCGCCAAAUACAUGAUAUAAAAUACAAAUACAAUCUUAAAUAUACAACAUAAGUUGUGAGUUUUAAUACAAACAUUGUCUUCUAGACAGUAUUAAAACUCAAAAUAAGUCAUCAAUACAUUUAUUAACACACUAUUUCACAGAAUAGUGAGGACUACUAAUGCUAUCCUCUGGACCAUUACUCCAUUCCCCGACUCGUCCCAGCUAUAUUCUCAUUUCCUGAAGAGAACAAUGAAAGAAAGGGUGAGCUCAACUAGCCCAAUAAGAAAUAUUAUGACUAAGAUAAUGCAGAAUAAAUUAUCAUUAGUCUUCAACAAUGUUAAACUGAUAAAAUACAAUAACUGCAGCGAAAUAAGUAAUCCAUUAAAAGAGUCAAGUAGAGAAUAAAAUCUACUAUCUUUUAUGAUUUAAAAGGAUUUUCAUCACUUUUAUCGCUGAGACUCAGUUUAAUAAAUAAUCCACAUCAUCGAAUCACCCCUGCACUACGGCCAAGGAUAUUCUUUAGUAUUACAACCAUAAAUAUCCAUGCACUACGGGCCAAGGACAUUCGUGUAUUCAUUAAUGGUCAUGAUCAUGCCAAAAACUGUCCAACAAUACACUACGGUCAAUGAGGACUUUUACCACAUCAUUUGUAACAUUACGGUCGUAAUUAUACUGAAUAAUCCCUGGUUAUAAUCAUACCAAGUCCAUCUAUACACUACAGGCCACAGAUGACUUUCAACAGAAUAUAAACAUGAGGACGAUGACAAUGAUAUAUGAAUUCAAUAAAACAAGUUCAAGAAUUUAUUUGUCCAGGAACCAAUAACGUCCAAAUUGUCAACAAGAUACUGUUUUGUGGGAUAAAAUUCAAGAAUGCUCAGAAGAAUAUUUUCAUAAAAAGAUAUUGGAUGAAGCGCAAAUAUCAAGGAUAUUCCACUAAUUUCAUGGAGUAUAGAAGUCAAAACUUUAACCAACUGAGUAUAAUAAAGAAUGAAAUAACAAAAGAAAUCACCAUGCACGUGGUACUUCGCAUAGACUGGUUAUUCCAACAGAAUAAUAAAUAACGGAACCAGGUUAGGCAAAAUUCGCACCGAUAGGAUGUUCCAACUGAAUAAUAAAGAAUGGAAUAACAACAGAAAUCACCAUGCAUACGGUACUUCGCAUAGACAGGUUAUUCCAACAGAAUACUAAAUAACAGAACCAGGUCCGGCGUAAAACGCACAGACAGGAUAUUCCAACACAAUAAUAAAGGCGGAACCAGGUCCGGCGUAAAAGUCACAGACAUGAUAUUCCAACAGAAUAAUAAAUACGGAACCAGGUCCGGCGUAAAACGCACAGACAGGAUAUUCCAACAGAAUAAUAAAGAAGAAAAUAACAGAAGAAUUUCAUCAAAUAUAGGGUAGCCCGCGUAUACAGGUUAUUCCAACAGAAUAAUAAAGAAUGGAAUAACAGAAGUUCUCUUCAUGAAUACAAAAGAAAUAAUACCCCUUACAGUUACAACAAAUAAUAUCCAUUACCGUAAAAGAAACUGGAUAUAGGAAAAUAAAGUUAGCAGACUUCUCUUCUUCUUUCUCUCUAUAAUUUUCUCUCUUUAAAGUUUCAGUGAAUUCGUAAGAAAUAAUGAAGGAAUGAACUUCUAUUUAUAGAAGAAUGGACUGCAUAGUAACUAAUUCAUGAACGGUCCAGAUUGAUUUACUUUUAAUCGAACGAUCCAUAAUUAAAGCAAAGUUUUUUAAAUAAAAUAUAAUAUAUUAUAUAUAUAACAUGUGCAAGAAAAGAAAAAUCACGGGUGGAAGACCCGUGAAUUCAUCUUACUCCCUCUGUCCAUUUUUUCAAACUUACAUAUAUAUAAUAUAAUAUAAUAUAAUAUACAUAAUAAUACUCCUCCCGUCCAUUUCAUCCAUACCCCCCCACCCAAGACUUUUCAUCACAUAUAUAAUAUAAAACAUAUAUAUAUAUAUAUAUAUAUAUAUAUAUAUAAUACUCCCACUAACUUUUCCUUCAACCAACCCGUGACAAACAUAACAUUUCACCCAAGACUUUCCUCCACAAAUGGGCCCCACCCGUGGCCCUCCUAAAAUAACUUCUAUCGAUUAUUUUGAAAACUGGAUAAAUAGGGAUCCAUAAAAUACGUCAAAAUUCACAACAAUUACUAUAACAAUAAUUGAACAAAACUGAGUAGUUCAACAGUAUUAACGGUAAAACUUCCGCCGUUACUUUCAAUAAAAUAUUUUUGUCGUUUUCUCAAUCCGACAAUAAUUCUGUUGUGGGGUCCACCAAUGAUUGUACCGUCGUACGGAUAUUCCCUGACAAAAAGAAUAUUUCCCGACCAAUCGAAUAUAAUAUGACAACUUGCAUACUUUGCAAAAUUUAUAAAUAUUACCCACAAUUAUAAUAUUAUAUCAAAUUAUUCCAUAAUAUUCAAAAAUGAUAUUUAUUGAAAAUUCAUUUUUAUUCAUAAAAGUUGGGGUCUUACAGUAGUUAAAUUCUUAUUUUUGACAUUUUUCAAAUAUUUCAUCCAUGCUUUUACAAUAGACAUCUUUCACUUUGAUGGCGUUUGACAUGCUUACAACAAGUAAUAGAAAUCAUUUUACAGUCAUUAUUUGCAUUAAUCAAGCAUGUUAGUCACAUAGUCAAGUCGUAGUUUCAAUGGUAAUGAAUAGAUUUCUUAUAUGUAAUACAUUUUUCAAAUAUCUCAUCCAUGCUUUUAUCAUCACCAUUUUUCUCUUUGAUGGGGUGUAGUAUGAUAAUAACAUGCAACCAUACAUAUGUAUAGUUACACCAUAUUAAGAACUUAGUUACAUGAAGUUUUCAUGCUUUGCUUAGAGACUUCUAGCAUACAAGGUGCUUUUGUAACUUAUUUUAUGCCUUUGAAAAUAUUCACAACUUGGUUGAGUAAUUUAUAGUUCUUAUAACACUUUUUAGCUUUAUUCUUGUAUACAAAAGUGUAUCAUUCUUGAUUUUCCUCUCUUUCCCAAAAUAGUCCUAACAUGAUCUAUUUGGGGCAAUCAAGCUAGCUUCUCUUGACCAUUUGGGCUUAGUCAGGCUUGGGGUAGCCUAGAUUGGCCUUGCAGUCCCAAUUGGCCUCUAUCUAUGGCAUGAUUUUAUUAAUACCCUCUUCUAUUAAGGUUUACUCUCACCUAUAUCACCAUUUGAUUCUGUUAUUUAUAGGUGAGGAUUUCUUUGAACUGCUACAUGUUUGCUACUUACUUGAUUUUGUUUUCUUUCCGUUUGUAGCUAACUACUCACUAGUAGCAGCUCUCUACUUUAGAUACUAAAUUUACUAGCUUUUAAUCUCCCACUAAACUUUUGGGUCAGCAGCUAGGGGACACAACUCCCUAAUAAUAGAGCAUAUUGGUUAAUUAUCUUAAGCAAUAUAGUUGUAUUGUCUGAAGGUCUAAAGGACAAGUUCAUUACCCAGCUCAGCUACUGUUGCUAUUAGUUGUUAUUUUUCAGUAAUAGAUUGACAGUCUUCAAACUUACCAUGUUUCUUCUUUAAUAACUUUUGUCUAGAAAAUUUCUAUUGCACUAUGUGCACCUUUGAAUACUUGCUUAAAUAAGUAACAAUUACACUCUAUUUAAUUCUGCAGUUUGCAUUUCAAAUCCAAACUACGUUGCCUAUAGCAGUUUAUUGAGGAUGUUUAUUAUUGCCUUAUAGCAACAACCCCCCCUAUUUUGUAAAAUUUCCCAAAUCACAAUUUUAGAUUAACCUAGACUGCCCAAAACCAUUUUAGUAAUGGCUCAUAGCUACAGUUUUAAGCCAACUGUUGCUGCUCCUAGGUAGCAGCUACAUUUGAUUUUGUUUCAUGCCUUGAACUCUCCCUAAUUUUGGUUUACUUGCACUUUAUUUGAAAGUUAUAUAACUAACAUUUUCAACUAAUAGGGAAACUUUAAAUCAAUAGUGAAAUUAUAAUCUAUAUGAUCCAACAUGUUAGCUAAACUGACCCUAGCGAGUCCAGAACAAUGGUCUACAGUCUUCUUUUGUUUUUCUAUGCCAGCAACCAAGCUUGGCUUGGCCCUGUAAGGCUGAUCACCUAAGCUUGGUGUGGCCCUGCUUGGCCUCACGGUCCCUAAGUCAAAUCCAAAGUUGUUAUAGCAGCUGCUAUCUUGGCAACUGCUGCCAUCAAGGAAUAACAGCCCUGCCACUCUUCUUUAAUUCUUAUACUUGCAAACCCCAGAGGAAUGUUUAUACACUAACUUCAACCAUACAUCCUAGUUAGCUCUUAUAAAGUUAUAUUAAUUUGUUAAACAGACUGCCCAAAACUGCUUUAGCAGUCAUUCACUUGUCGACUGUCGCUGCUUGUUUCUAUAACCAGUAGGCAGCCGUCCCAAGUCUUAUGCCACUAAAAGCUUUUACCUCUUAGAUUGAUAUGAAAUCUUGGCAUGUUAUAGGUGAUUCAAAUUCUGAUUAUUUUUAGCUACCAACUAGACUAGGAGAAAAGCUUGCUAGUGCCACUAAAGGUUAAUAUUUCUGCUGCUGCGACAUGCUUUUUGCUGCUGCUUGCAGCUAAUUGCUGCUGCCAAUGGGCAGCUGCGCCCCUUACUUCAGGCCAUUUUUGGCUUCACAUCAAUUAGCCUAUUCACAACCCACUUUCAUUGAUCAAUAAAUGGUACACCUGCCUUCUAAGCUAACUUAGCAACUGUGGCCCAAAUGUACUAUAUGUAAAUCAAAAUGGUGUGCUAACCUUCCUGCUCGGCUCUGCAGAGCAGUGCAGCACAACGCUGGGCGUUUACUGCCAAUGCCUGCAGUAGCCUCAGCUAGCUUUGCCCAAGCUCAAACAUUUUUUUUUCUUAAAAUUUGUUUUUCUUUCCAUUAAUAUGUCAAAACAUAUUUCCUAAUCUUAUAUAAGACGUCCAUAUAUAACCCCAACUUUAAUUCCCUCUAGAAUUCUCUUUUUAGCCAAAACAGUCCACUUGGGACUUUUAACAAAUAUAUGGUGUGCACAGUUUUAAUUUACUCUUUCCAUAGCCAUUUACUUGUGUUAUAAUCUCAUGUUAGCCUCCUUAUUACUCCACAGCCACCUAUCUCCUUGUGCCUAAAUUACAUACAUCUAGCAUGCUAGUGAAUAACCUUUACAACAAUAAAAAAGUAAAAUAAAUGCUAUGUGACUUUACCAGGCCAUUCGGCCAUAACAGUCCAUCACAACUUGCACGAAAUAGUGUUAAACAAGAUAGUUUAUUACUUGAUAACUUUUCCUUAAAAGUUUGAUAUCACAACUUUUACAGAAGAUUACAAUUACCCAUGACAAGUAUAAUUUACUAACACAUCUACAUUACAACAUUAAUAAUACUAACAAUAUAGCAGCCCCUUCUUUUUUCUUUUCAGGCCAUUCGGCCACUGUAGAUUACUAGCAGCAAGAAACUAAAGUGGAAAAGGAUUGGAAAUCUUACCUUAUUGAUUCGAAGGAAACAAAGAAGUUAUACUGCCCAGCUUCUCCACCUACUCUUAGCCGAACUCUUCCACCCUCUCUCUAUAUGACCGAAUUGCUAUAGCUAUUUUGUCUCUACUAAGUGAUGAAGCUAAACUAGUUAAUAAGCUUGGCCCCUUUUUUAUGGCUGAGCUUGGUUCCUUCUACUGUUAACUGCAUCACCUCCUAGUUGGCCCCUACACAGUCAUCAUUCCUAACCUAGCUUCACAGCCACCCUAGCAGACUCUACUUACCUGCUAAGCCUUAUCUUCUGCAAGCUUAUCUAACAUAUUCUUUGUCUGUUAUACAAACUAACCUACCUGUUAACUAGAACCAACUUAGAAACCAUAUGCUUACAGCCUGACUAUGUACUCACGUUAUGCCACUGCUUUUCUUAUUUAGUCUGAAACAGUUAGCUUGUUAUACACCACUGGGUUUACAGGAUUGGUUUAGGUAGGAGUUUGAUAAAUACUUAAUUUGGGCUUAAACCAAUCCUCAAUGGUGGCUGCCGAAAUUGGGCUAGAAAAUGAGUUAGAAUUGGCUUUAUAUUAGACCCAAUACCAUAACCCUUAUUCCUACAUUAAUUAAAGGAGACUUGCAAACAUACAAUUGCAAAAAUUUAUUAUGGCCUAAUAUUUUAAUAUGGACUCUUGUUAAAUUAACACAUGGACUUUUAUAUAUUAUUUUCUCUAGCAACAAUAGUUAACACAUAUAUCAUUAAAAUGUCUAUUCCAUGUAAUCUUAAAUAAUUCAUGGUGGUACAAUAUUUCUUUAUCCUUCAUAAUUUAAGAUGUUUAAUAACCUAUUAAAUAAAUAAUAGUUUUGUCACAAUGAGAAAUAACAUAAUUAAAAUAAAAUAAAAAAUAUACUCACAAAUUGACAUUAUAAUAAUUAAAUAUUACAUAGGAUUUUUUGAGUCAUUACAUACGCGAUAACUCUGCCGUUCUGCAAAAGCACACAGCCUUGUCCUUUAUGCGAUGCAUCAUUGUAUACCACAAAAUUCCCUGUAUCAUCAGGCAAUGACAACACAGGUGUUGAACUCAACCUUUUCAUUAAUUCUUGAAAACUUUCCUCCCACUUCUCUGUCCAAACAAACUUAACCGUUUUCUAGUUAAAUUCGUCAACGGAGUUGCGAUCUUGAAAAAGUCUUGAAUGAAACGCCUAUAGUAACCCGCCAAUCCUAAGAAACUCCUUACUUCUGACGGUAUCUUCGGCUGAUCCCAGUUUAUUACAGCUUCAACCUUUGAUGGAUCUACCGAAAUUUCGUCCUUAUCAAUAACGUGUCCGAGAAACUGUACACGUUCCAACCAAAACUCACAUUUUGAAAAUUUUGCGUACAACUUUUCUUUUUUCAACGUCUCUAACGUCAAUCUCAAGUGUUCAACAUGUUCCUCUUUGGUCUUGGAAUAUACCAAUAUAUCAUCGAAUCAAAUCCAUGAUAUAUUGGUAUGAACAGGGUGUUUAUAUCAUUUGUCUAAGAAUGGUUUAAACACCUUGUUCAUCAAAUCCAUGAACGCUGCAGGUGCAUUGGUUAAACCAAAAGACAUAACCAGAAACUCAUAAUGACCAUACCGAGUUCUGAACGCUAUUUUUGGUACAUCCUCUGGCCUCACCUUUAACUGAUGAUAACCACUCCUCAAGUCUAUCUUUGAGAAAUAGCUUGUUCCCUUCAGUUGAUCGAACAUGUCAUCGAUUCUAGGUAAUGGAUACUUAUCUUUAAUCGUGAUCUUAUUCAAUUCUCGAUAGCAAUGCAGAGCCGUAUCGAUCCAUCUUUCUUCUUAACAAACAACAUCGGCGCUCCCCAUGGCGACACACUCAGUUGAAUAUACUUUUUGUCGAGUAAUUCUUGCAAUUAUACCAUCAACUCCUUCAUCUCUACUGGGGCCAUUCUAUAUGGUGCAUUAGAUAUCGGGGUCGUUCCUGGUAAUAAGUCAAUUACGAACUCGAUUUGUAGAUCCGGCGGAAGACUCGGCAAAUCGUCUGGAAAUACGUCUGCAAAAUCUCUUAUGAUUGGUAUCUCUUCUAACUUCGCACUCUUCUUUUGUGUAUCGACUAUGUAGGCUAAGUAUCCUACACAUUCUUGUCUCAACAACUUCUUGGCUUGCAUCACCGUUAGACAACUUGCUUGUCGAGGUGACUUGCUGCCGUAGAACACAACCUUUGAUGGAGUCAUAAGGUUAACACAUUUCCUUUCGCAAUCAAUUACUGCUCCGUAAUUGAAUAACCAAUCCAUUCCCAGUAUAACAUCAAACUCACAAAGUCUAAUUGGUAUCAAAUCUACCAUCAUCUCGUGACCUUUUAUAACCACCCUACAAUUCCUAUAUAUAAAUCUAACAGGAAUCACUUCCUUAUUCGCAAUCUCUAUGCUUAAGGGAAAUUCUAAUUCUUCCUGAGGCAAAUCUAAAUUUUGAGCAAAUUCAUUGGAUAUAAAUGAAUAAGUAGCACCCGAAUCAAAUAGUACAUAAGCAUUAAUACCAUUAAUCUAAAUGAUACCUGAGACCACAUCCUUAGACUAUAUAACAUCCUGCACGGUCAUAUUAAAAGUCCUCGCAGUAGGUCGACUUUGUGACGCCCCCAAAAUUAGGUAUACAUCACCCAUCUUGGGUCGCCACUUACAUGGUACAAAAUACAAAUACAACUUAAUUAUACAACAGUCGUGUAAGCUACGACAAAAUAUAAACAAUGAGUUUUAACUCGAAUAUUGUCAUCUAGACAUUAUUCAAACACAAAUAAGUCCUCAAUACAUUUAUUGUCACACUAUUUAACAAAAUAGUGAGGACUACUAAUGCUAUCAUCUGGACUGUCACUCCGUUCCCCGACUCGUCCCCGUUACGUUCUCAAUUCCUGAAGAGAAUAGUGAAAGAAAGGGUGAGCUCAACUAGCCCAACAAGAAAUAUUAUGACUAAGAUAAUGCAGAAUAAAUUAUCAUUAGUCUCCAACAAUGUUAAACUGAUAAAAUACAAUAGACAUCAAGUUUAACUGCAGCGGAACAAGCAAUCCAUUAAAAGAGUCAAGUAGAGAAUAAAACCUACUAUNNNNNNNNNNNNNNNNNNNNNNNNNNNNNNNNNNNNNNNNNNNNNNNNNNNNNNNNNNNNNNNNNNNNNNNNNNNNNNNNNNNNNNNNNNNNNNNNNNNNNNNNNNNNNNNNNNNNNNNNNNNNNNNNNNNNNNNNNNNNNNNNNNNNNNNNNNNNNNNNNNNNNNNNNNNNNNNNNNNNNNNNNNNNNNNNNNNNNNNNNNNNNNNNNNNNNNNNNNNNNNNNNNNNNNNNNNNNNNNNNNNNNNNNNNNNNNNNNNNNNNNNNNNNAAUAAUUAAAACGGAACCAGGUCCGGCGUAUAGCACAGACAGGAUAUUCCAACAGAAUAACUGAAUAAUUAAAACGGAACCAGGUCCGGCGUAGCACAGACAGGAUAUUCUAACAGAAUAACCGAAUAAUUAAAACGGAACCAGGUCCGGCGUAUAGCACAGACAGGAUAUUCCAACAAAAUAACUGAAUAAUUAAAACGGAACCAGGUCCGACGUAUAGCACAGACAGGAUAUUCCAACAGAAUAAUAAAGACAGAAUAAUAGAAGAAUGUCACCAAGUAUAGGGUUGCCCGCGUAUACAGGUUAUUCCAACAGAAUAAUAAAGAAAUGGAAUAACAGAAGUUCUCUUCUUGAAUACAAAAGAAUAAUAUUCCUUACCAGAAAAGAACUUAAUAUAAGAGUAGUUUCAGUAGCAGAAUACUUUUCUUCUUUCUCUCUUACAAUUUAUCUCUCUAGAGUUUCAAUGAAUUUGUAAGAAAAUAAUGAAGGAAUGAGCUUCUAUUUAUAGAAAAAUGGAAUGCAUAGUAACUAAUUCAUGAACGGUCCAGAUUGAUUUACUUUUAAUCGGACGGUCCAUAAAAUAUAUUAUAUAUAUAUAAUAUAUAUAUAUAUAUAUAAUAACAAUAAUACUCCCUCCGUAUAAACCAAAAAAAUAAUUUGACAACUUUGAAAAAAACUCCCAACCUUUCAAUUUUCAAUACCGUGGGCCCCACAUGUUCCCCUCCCCCCAACAUGUCAAUAUCACAAGGGUCUCAUUAUAUGUAAAUAACUUUCUAUCAAUAAUAUUGAAAAAUAGGUAAAUGGGGGUCUAAAUAAUACGCCAAAUUUACAACAACUACCUCAUAAAAAUCCCUUCAAUAUUUUUAACAAUAUUUAUCAUCUUUAUUACAAUUCACAAUAUUAAUCGACCAGGUCGUUCCCAGGAUAGAGGGGGCUUUCCAAUAAGGAUUUCUCUCUAUUGGCGCGCAAUUAGAUUAUCUAACCUCUCCUUGACAGAACUUCUAGACAUCGUUAAUAUUGCAAAUAAUAACAUUAAUAACUUUGUCGUCUCAAUUAUUGAUUUAAUAAUAUAAAGAAUAUCAACAAUAAUUGAAUCAAAUAACGUGAGAUACUAUGCAACAAUUACUAUAACAAUAAUUGAAUAAAACUGAAUGACUUCUCACGUAAGCAUAAAUAAUCAAUACCGUGUGCUACUAUGCAACCACGCGUAUUACUGUACUUUUACUACUGAGUAGUUCAACAGUAUCAACGGUAAAACUUCCGUCGUUAUUUUCAUAAAAAUAUUUUUGUCGUUUUCUCAAUCCGACAAUAAUUCUGUUGUGGGGUCCACUAAUGAUUGCGCCGUUGUACGAAUAUUUCCUGCUAAAACGAAUAUUCCCCAACCAAUCGAAUAUAAUAUAGCAACUUGCAUACUUUGCAAAACUUAUAAAUACUACCUUCAACUAUAACAUUAUAUUAAAUUUAUUGCAUAAUAUUCAAAAAUGAUAAUUAUAGAAAAUUUAUCUUUAUUCAAAAAGUUGGGGUCUUACAACCCCCCCUUCUUAAGAAAUUUCGCCCUCGAAAUUAGGGUACGUACCUGGUAUAUCGAAGAGGUAAGGAUACCUUGAUUUCAUUUUAGAUUCUAACUCCCAGGUCAUUUCCUCAACAUCGUGGUUUCUCCACAAAACUUUGACUUGAGGUAUAACCUUGGAGCGUAAAAUAUGUUCCUUGUUAUCCAAGAUUUGAACAGGAACCUCUUUAUACGUUAAAUCUUCCGCUAUUUCGUCUGGUUCUAGCUCAAUAAUGUGGUUCGGGUCUUCCACAUAUUUACGUAACAUGGAUAUGUGAAAAAUGUUAUGAACACCAGACAUACUAGGCGGUAAAGCGAGUCUAUAGGCCACAGUUCCUACUCGAUUGAGGAUUAAAAAUGGGCCAAUGAAUCGAGGAUUGAGCUUUCUUAUCUUUCCAAAUCUCGUAACACCUUUCCAUGGAGCAACAUGUAACAACACAUGAUCUCCAAUAUCGAAUUCCACGUCCUUUCGAUGAAGAUCAGCAUAACUCUUUUGUCGAUCUUGUGAGGUUUUUAUACGUUGUCGAAUCGUUUGAAUCUUUUCCGUAGUCAUACGUACCAACUCCGGUCCCAACAACGUUGCUUCACCCACCUCAUCCCAGCAUACUGGAGAACAACACUUUCUCCCAUACAACGCCUCAAAUGGAGCCAUGCCAAUACUUGCUUGAUAACUAUUGUUAUAGGAAAACUCCACCAAUGAUAAGAACUUAUCCCAACUUCCAUUGAAGUUAAGGACACAGAGUCUUAAUAAAUCUUCUAGAGUUUGAAUAGUCCUCUCUGAUUGUCCGUCCGUCUGAGGAUGAUAUGCUGAACUAAAUCGUAAAUCUGUGCCCAUAGCUUUUUGCAAACUAACCCAAAAUCAUGAAGUGAAUCUUGGGUCUCGAUCAGAAACUAUGGAUACUGGCAUACCAUGCAGUCUUACAAUCUCGUUUAUGUACAUACGAGCAAGACGUUCAAGUGUAUAAGUUUCUCGUAUAGGUAAGAAAUGAGCAGACUUGGUCAAUCUAUCAACAAUGACCCAAAUUGCAUCUAUGCCUUGAGAAACCUUGGGAAGACCAGUAACGAAAUCCAUGGUAAUGUGCUCCCACUUCCAUUCUGGAAUUUCAAGUGGUUGCAAUGGACCUUUUGGUACUUGAUGCUCCGCCUUGACUCGUUGACAAGUUAGACACCUUGAGAUAAACACCGCUAUCUCUCUCUUCAUAUUGCUCCACCAAAAUGUAUGUCGAAGAUCAUGAUACAUUUUGGUACUCCCAGGAUGGAUUGCAAACGGUGUGUUGUGCGCCUCCAUCAUGAUUUUAUACUUUAAAUCAGGGUCGUUAGGAACACAAAGUCUGGAGUUGACUCGAAGUAUUCCUUCUUCAUCGAUUCUUGCUUCCGACAUAACACCUUCUUGCACUUUCUUCCUCAUACGCAUCAGCUCCAGGUUUGUAGUUUGAGCAGCUUUAACUUUAUCAAUUAAAGUCGAUUAUACUCGUAUGUUCGCCAUCAUCACAUGGGUCCCUGGAGUCUUUAACUCCAUCUCCAUCCUUUGCAAGUCAUACAAAAUGGGCCUUUGUGUUGACAAUAUUGCACUCGUACCCACAUAUGAUCUUCUACUCAAUGCGUCAGCUACCACGUUCGUUUUUCUAGGAUGGUAUUGGAUGGUAUGAUCAUAAUCUUUCAACAGUUCAAGCCAACGUCGUUGUCGCAUGUUGAGUUCCUUUUGAGUGAAGAAAUAUUUAAGGCUUUUAUGAUCCGUAAAGAUCUCCACUUUCUCCCCAUACAAGUAAUGCCUCCAAAUCUUUAGUGCGAAGANNNNNNNNNNNNNNNNNNNNNNNNNNNNNNNNNNNNNNNNNNNNNNNNNNNNNNNNNNNNNNNNNNNNNNNNNNNNNNNNNNNNNNNNNNNNNNNNNNNNNNNNNNNNNNNNNNNNNNNNNNNNNNNNNNNNNNNNNNNNNNNNNNNNNNNNNNNNNNNNNNNNNNNNNNNNNNNNNNNNNNNNNNNNNNNNNNNNNNNNNNNNNNNNNNNNNNNNNNNNNNNNNNNNNNNNNNNNNNNNNNNNNNNNNNNNNNNNNNNNNNNNNNNNNNNNNNNNNNNNNNNNNNNNNNNNNNNNNNNNNNNNNNNNNNNNNNNNNNNNNNNNNNNNNNNNNNNNNNNNNNNNNNNNNNNNNNNNNNNNNNNNNNNNNNNNNNNNNNNNNNNNNNNNNNNNNNNNNNNNNNNNNNNNNNNNNNNNNNNNNNNNNNNNNNNNNNNNNNNNNNNNNNNNNNNNNNNNNNNNNNNNNNNNNNNNNNNNNNNNNNNNNNNNNNNNNNNNNNNNNNNNNNNNNNNNNNNNNNNNNNNNNNNNNNNNNNNNNNNNNNNNNNNNNNNNNNNNNNNNNNNNNNNNNNNNNNNNNNNNNNNNNNNNNNNNNNNNNNNNNNNNNNNNNNNNNNNNNNNNNNNNNNNNNNNNNNNNNNNNNNNNNNNNNNNNNNNNNNNNNNNNNNNNNNNNNNNNNNNNNNNNNNNNNNNNNNNNNNNNNNNNNUCAAAAUCCAAUUUCUCCGGAGUCAAAUUUAAACGUUGAGCGCAAGUAGGAGAAAUGAAAGAGUGGGUAGAACCAGUAUCAAAUAAAGUAUAAACUUCGCUAGAGUUUAUGAUAAGCUUACCCGUGAUGACCUCGUUCGGGUUCUUUACUUUUUGGGAGGUUACAACAAAUGCUCUUCCUUGCACUACCGACUUUGACUUUUCUGGGAUGGCCUUUGGUGACUCUAUCCUAACUGAACUUGUCUUCGGUGCACGACAAAAUCGAGCCAGGUGACCUUCUCUUCCACAGUUGUAACAUGCUUUGGAUGGCAUCGCACAGUUGGGACUGAUGUGUCCCUCUCCUCCACACUUGAAACAUAUGAUAGGUGGUCGUUCCCCUUCCUUAACGACAGGUGCUGAUGUUGACGUCUUUCCAUCAUUGUUGAAUCUCCUCUUUUUGAAAUGUCCAUUUUUAUUGUUUUGGCCAUGAUUACCACCGAAGUGGUUACCAUUUCUGGCCUUUUGAUUUCCUCCACGCUUGUUGUCACCGCUUUGAUGACUGUUCUCACUGGUAUUAUCAUUUUAUUGGCUGCUCUCUUUUGGUUGGCUUAACUCGUUAUCACGCUCCAAUAACUGAGCCCUAUUAACAACAUCCGAAUACAAACACAGUUUAUGAGAGAUAAGAUAUUGACGUAUCUCAGGUUUCAAACCUCUUAAAAACAUUCGCGUCAUUCUCUCCUCAUUAUCAACCAAAUGGGACGCAAACUGGGACAACUCGGCAAACUUGGCUUUGUACUGCGAUACUGUCAUGUUGUUUUGUUCCAGCCUGAUGAACUCUACCUCUUUCAUGUGACGAAUACUUUUGGGAAAGUACUUGUCGUUGAACAAUUCUUUGAACUUCUCCCAAGUCAUCUUCAGUGCGGCAGGUUGAGUACGCUUUACAGAUUCCCACCAGUAAUCUGCCUCUCCUCGCAACAUGAAGGUGGCAAAGGAAAUCUUUUGUUCCUCGGAGCAUCCCAAGACAUCAAAUAUCUUGGUAAUCUACUUUAUCCAUGUCUCCGCCUUAAGUGGUUUUGGUUCUCCAAUAAACUUCGGUGGUCCCAGCUCCUUGAACUGUUUGGCGGUGACCAUCCGAGAGUUGCUAGUGUUUUCACCUGCAUUUUGGACAGGAGCCGCUCCUGCCUGAUGUUGUAUGAAUUGCAUGAAUCCUCGAAACAUUUUGUUGUUCAAUAUUUGGUCAGUGUUGUUGUUUGCAUGAGGAUUUUUGCCUUCCUGAUGCACAUUGUCCUGAUUGUUGAUCUGUGGAGACUCAACGGUCUCCUGUGCUCCAUUGAUGUUCUCAACGUUCUCGGAUGCCAUUUUCAAAUACUGCCACAAAACAAGAGUUAAUUAACACAUCACAUAUUAUCCCUAUACUCUAACCAACCAAUUAAAUAACAAAUAAACUUAGGUAGGUCAUACUAGCGAAGGAAUUCCCCGUCUCUCCCCUCCUAGUUCUUAUCUCACAUCUUAGCCAGGGAUCAUAUCCCUAACCUCUGAUACCAACUGUGACGCCCCCAAUAUUAGGUAUACAUCACCCAUCUUGGGUAGCCACUUAUAUGGUACAAAAUACAAAUACAACUUAAUUAUACAACAGUCGUGUAAGAUACGACAAAAUAUAAACAAUGAGUUUUAACUCGAAUAUUGUCAUCUAGACAGUAUUCAAACACAAAUAAGUCCUCAAUACAUUUAUUGUCACACUAUCUAACAGAAUAGUGAGGACUACUAAUGCUAUCAUCUGGACUGUCACUCCAUUCCCCGACUCAUCCCCGCUACGUUCUCAAUUCCUGAAGAGAACAGUGAAAGAAAGGGUGAGCUCGACUAGCCCAGUAAGAAAUAUUAUGACUGAGAUAAUGCAGAAUAAAUUAUCAUUAGUCUCCAACAAUGUUAAACUGAUAAAAUACAAUAGACAUCAAGUUUAACUGCAGCGGAACAAGCAAUCCAUUAAAAGAGUCAAGUAGAGAAUAAAAUCUACUAUCUUUUAUGAUUUAAAAGGUUUUUCAUCACUUUUAUCGCUGGGACUCAGCUUAAUAAAUAAUCCACAUCAUCGAAUCACCCCUGCACUACGGCCAAGGAUAUUCUUUAGUAUCACGACCACAAUUAUCCAUGCACUACGGGCCAAGAAUAUUUGUGUAUUCAUUAAUGGUCAUGAUCAUGCCAACAACUGUCCAUCAAUGCACUACGGGCCAAUGAGGACUUUUUCCACAUCAUUUGUAACAUUACGGUCAUGAUUACACCGAAUAAUCCCUGGUCAUAAUCAUACCAAGUCCAUCUAUGCACUACAGGCCACAGAUGACUUUCAACAAAAUAAUAACAUGAGGAUGAUGACAAUGAUAUAAGAAUUCAAUAAAAUAACUUUCAAGAAUUAAUUUGUCCAGGAAUCAAUAACGUCCAAAUUGUCAAUAAGAUAUUGUUUUGUGGUGUAAAUUAUUCAAGAAUGCUCAGAAGAAUAUUUUCAUGAAAAGAUAUUGGAUGAAGUGCAAAUAUCAAGGAUAUUCCAUUAAUUUCAUGGAGUAUAAAAGUCAAAAUUUUAACCAACUGAGUAUAAUAACGAAUGGAAUAACAAAAGAAAUCACCACGCAUGCGGUACUUCGCAUAGACAGGUUAUUCCAACAGAAUAAUAAUAACGGAACUAGGUCAGGUGAGAUUCACACCGACAGGAUGUUCCAACAGAAUAAUAAAUAAUUAAAACGGAACCAGGUUCGGCGUUUAGCACAGACAGGAUAUUCCAACAGAAUAACUGAAUAAUUAAAACGGAACCAGGUCUAGCGUAUAGCACAGACAGGAUAUUCCAAAAAAAUAACUAAAUAAUUAAAACGGAACCAGGUCCGGCGUAUAGCACAAACAGGAUAUUCAAACAAAAUAAUAAAGACAGAAAAAUUGAAGAAUGUCACCAAGUAUAGGGUUGCCCGCGUAUACAGGUUAUUCCAACAGAAUAAUAAAGAAAUGGAAUAACAGAAGUUCUCUUUUUGAAUACAAAAGAAUAAUAUUCCUUACCGUAAAAGAACUUAAUAUAAGAGUAGUUUCAGUAGUAGAAUAAUUUUCUUCUUUCUCUCUUACAGUUUAUCUCUCUAGAGUUUCAAUGAAUUCGUAAGAAAAUAAUGAAGGAAUGAGCUUCUAUUUAUAGAAAAAUGGAAUGCAUAGUAACUAACUGAUGAACGGUCCAGAUUGAUUUACUUUUAAUCGGACGGUCCAUAUUUAAAGUAAAAUCUUUUAAAUAAAAUAUAUUAUAUAUAUAUAUAUAUAUAUAAACAAUAAUACUCCCUCCGUAUAAACCAAAAAAAUAAUUUGACAACUUUGAAAAAAACUCCCAACCUUUCAAUUUUCAAUACCGUGGGCCCCACAUGUUCCCCUCCCCCAACAUGUCAAUAUCACAAGGGUCCCAUUAUAUUUAAAUAACUUUCUAUCAAUAAUGUUGAAAAAUAGGUAAAUGGGGGUCUAAAUAAUACGCCAAAUUUACAACAACUACCUCAUAAAAAUCUCUUCAAUAUUUUUAACAACAUUUAUCAUCUUUAUUAAAAUUCACAAUAUUAAUCGACCAGGUCGUUCCCAGGAUAGAGGGGAUUUUCCAAUAAGGAUUUCUCCCUAUUGGCGCGCAAUUAGAUUAUCUAACCUCUCCUUGACAGAACUUCUAGACAUCAUUAAUAUUGCAAAUAAUAACAUUAAUAACAUUGUCGUCUCAAUUAUUGAUUUAAUAAUAUAAAGAAUAUCAACAAUAAUUGAAUCAAAUAACGUGAGAUACUAUGCAACAAUUACUAUAACAAUAAUUGAAUAAAACUGAAUGACUUCUCAUGUAAGCAUCAAUAAUCAAUAUCGUGUGCUACUAUGCAACCACGCGUAUUACUGUACUUUUACUACCGAGUAGUUCAACAGUAUCAACCGUAAAACUUCCGCCGUUAUUUUCAUAAAAAUAUUUUUGUCGUUUUCUCAAUCCAACAAUAAUUCUGUUGUGGGUUCCACCAAUGAUUGCGUCGUUGUACGAAUAUUCCCCGCUAAAACGAAUAUUCUCCGACCAAUCGAAUAUAAUAUAGCAACUUGCAUACUUUACAAAACUUAUAAAUACUACCCACAACUAUAACAUUAUAUUAAAUUUAUUCCAUAAUAUUCAAAAAUGAUAAUUAUAGAAAAUUCAUCUUUAUUCAAAAAGUUGGGGUCUUACAGACUUGACUGUGCUGAUCCAGAGAUAGUUAAUGUACCACCAACGUUGUUGUUUCCUUUUCCACCACUUGCACUUCCUGCUGGCUUCUUAGGGCAAUCACGAGCCAUGUGAUCCUACGAACCGCAGGUAAAACAUGCUCCUUUAUUUGGACUAAAACAGUUCAGUGUAAUGUGUCCCUCCUGACCACAGUUGAAACACACCCGCUUUCCCUUCAAACAUACUCCAUUAUGAUUGUUUCCAUAAGUCGCAUAAGCUUCAAACUUUUUCUUCUGCUGAUUUCCUUGUUGUCCUCCCGCAGUCGAAUUUUCACUCCACUUCCUCUUCUGAUUGUUAUUUCCAACGUUACUUCCACCAGCCUUAUUUUCAUUCUCAGUCUUCCUCUUCUUAUAUUCUUGGUUGUACUUGGUCAAGGCAUCGCUUUCACCUUCUGCGAUAAUUGCCUUUUCCAGUAUAACCGCAAAUGUAUUUAACUGAAAUAUUGAAACCUUGCUAUACAGCCAGGGUUUCAAUCCAUGUUCGAACCUUAUCGCCUUUCGUUCAUCAGUAUUGACUUAAUAAGUGGCAAACCUUGCCAAUUCAUUAAACUUCGCAGCAUAUUCUGGCACCGUCAUAGUUCCUUGUUUCAGUUCCAGAAAUUGCAUUUCCAACUUAUUCUGAGAACUCGCUGGAAAGUACAUUUCAAAAAAUAUCUCCUUAAAUCUAUCCCACGCUAUCACUCCUUGUCCCCCACGAACCUUAUUUGCCUGCCACCAGUAGCUAGCUUCAGACUUCAGCAUGAACGUUGUGAACGCAGUCUUCUGAUCCUCGUUGACUCUAGAAACGUUGAACACUUUCUCCAUUUCCAUGAUCUAGGUUUGGGCUUCUACUGGAUUCAUAGACCCUUGAAACUCUGGCGGUCCAACCGCUUUGAAUUCCUUAAAGGUCAUGACUUGAGCUUGCGGUUGAUUCGCAAGUGCACCUGUUAACAAGGUUACCAACUGCUGAACCGGGUUAGCAUUGGCCUCGUUAUUAUUUUUAGUAGACCCCUCAGGAGGUGGUUGUUGACGUGUUUUUCUUCUUCUAGGAGGCAUUUUCUGUUAAGAUAUACGCUCAUUAGUUCAUUACUCAACUUCUUGAUUAUUUGAAGUUUAACUUAAAUAUUCUAAGAUUAAAGUUAUAACACAUAACAUUUCAAAUAAACUCUGGUAUUUUAUUCAUUCAUAAUGUUUUAAAACAUAUUAAAGAUAGCAUAACCGCUAUUAACAUUCACUUUCCUGAACUAAGCAAGUUUUAGGAUUACAUAUUCAUACUACCCCUUUAUUUAUCUCAAAAUAAGGGAUUCACAGUUUAUAUACUCACUUACUUAACCACGUAUUAUUAUUCUCAUUCUUUCUAUCUAGACAUAUUAAGAUGUCGUAAGGCUUCUCUAUGUUCUUCCUCCAUAAUUCGAUACAUCGUUCUACGAUCCAUCAUGAACUACAACGAAUCUUCAAAUUGAGGUGGAUAAUAAAAGACUCGAUCCUGGGCCCUAUCAAUUGCAGAAUUAAAGGCAUAAUCCAUCCCAUUCAUCUUGGCCUUCUUCACUUGAACUUUAUCCUCGGCACGGUCUGCACGUUAAGUCACCUUUAUCCAAGCGUCCUCUGCUCUCGUACGUUUAGUUGAAUCCUCUUUCAAGUCAUCUUUUAACUUCUCCACAUCAGUCUUCAUCUUCUUGUUCACUGCCAACAAAUCUUCAUGCUGACCCUUGGUAUGAAAUAGGUCCCACUCCGUGUUUCCAAGUCUUGAGUCGAGUUCUUGAAUCUCCGCAUCCUUCUGCUCUAUCGUAGCGUGAUGCAUCUCAACCAACUCCUUCAGCUCCUGAACUUUGUCUUGUAAUUCUAUGUUACGAUCGUACAGAGCAUCAUACAUCUCAGCUGAUAUGGAGCUUUGUGGAAACGCCACAGGAUCCUCUUCCUCAUCAUCCAACUCUAUCUCUUCAGAACUAUCCUCCUCGGGAUCGGUCACAGGUUCAUCCUCCUGGAUCAACUGUUCACGCAUAACAUGAAUAUCCCGGGGUUCCUCAUCUCUAGGUAUCUGAGGUAUUACUUCCCUAGCUGGAAUGGAUCCUCCUUCAUUAGACAUCCUAACAACAAAAUAUUUUAAGUUUACUUAACAUUUUUCGAUACUCGCGAGCACAUAAGUUAUUACACAUAGCACAUAAUGUCUUUUAUUAUUUAUCUUCAAUGGAUAGCUUAAUCCAUUCAUUAAAACUCGAUAAGAGUUAGACACCUCUAUAUUUUCUGUCUUCUUAAAGGUUACUUCCUAAGGUUUCCCCACCUAAGGUUCAUAACCUAAAGCUCUGAUACCAACAUGUGACACCCCCAAAUCUGGGUAUUCCUUUUCCACAGGAUUUGGUGCUCACUAUCCAAAACCAUUACAUCUAACUACCCAUAACAAAGGAUAAAGACAUAAUUUAAAUAACUUAACAAUAAUCUUCCCAUUAAAGGGUUACAUCGUCAUAAAACAAUCCCAAAUAAUUUAAUCUUAAAUUAUUACAUAAGUUUGCGGAAUACAUCAUAAAAUAAAACAAGUCUUAUAACAUAAACAUUUAAAUAAACUUUCAUAAAUCUUCAACACUUGGACAUCUUUCCCUUUUCUUUGCUAGUAGAUGGCUCAUCGACUUUCUCAACUUUAGCUGCAGUGUUAAAUGCAAGAGUGAGCAAACAAUUGCUCACUGAUAUAGAGAGUAGUAAUGAUAACAACAUAAGAUUAAACAACGAAUGCUGAACAAUAAUGAAAUUGUUCUAUGAAUAAAAAAUAGAAAACAAGUUCAAAUUUAAUAUCUGAGGGUCUUAAGACCACGAACUAUGUCCCCGAUAUUUAGGUAUUAUUACCCAACCUUAACAGUCAUUUAGACUAUACAAACCCUUCUUAACGUACUUAGGGGGAUCAGCCCUUUGUACCAUGUAUUGUGCACAAACAUCUAAACGUUACACGUACAAAAUCCCCUAUGUUAGGGUUGUUCGUCUCAGCUUGAAUUUAGAAUUUCUGCACUAAAGAGAGUUUAGCUCGGAACUAACUUAUCAAUGGUUCUAGAAUUUUAGAACACUACUCAAUUAUAGACUAAUUCAAUCAAUAAGAGUUUGCUUGCUACUUGAAGAUUUAAUAUAACAAAAAUAGAAUUGAACAAGGCUAUCAAAGUCAAAGAUCGAAUAUCAACAAUAUACAGUUGAGCACUACAACAAAAAAGCUUAUCAGCGACCGCCUAUCAGCGACCGCCUGUGGUCGCUGAUAUCUAUCUGCGACCGUCUACUCGAGUAAACAUGAUAUACAUGCAAAGUACUAUAUCCAAAAGAGUUAGAAUAAUCUCCUUUGAAUCAAUGUAUUAGAACAAUAUAUUCUUUUGAAUAACAAUAUCAAGAUUUAGGAAAGUGAAACUCGCUCAAUGUAACAAACUAGAUUACAAGAGAUUGUACGAUACACGAGAUAGAAUCAAUAGGCUUGCUGAACUUUAAUGUAAAAUUUAGAAUUAGAAAGCUUGUUUGACAUAAAAGAUAACAUAGCUAUGAAACUUGCAUUCAUUAAUAAAAGAAUGAAGUUAGAAAACUUGCUCAAUAAAAGUUUAGGAUAAGAAACUUGCCUUGUAUGUAAGCUACACAAGUGUAAUAAUGUUCGCCAAUUACCCUACACAUAUCAUUGGAAUCGCAAUAACAAUUAGUUGUAUUAUUAUUAGCUUUAAGGGUUUAAACCACCAUUUAGGUCAUAACCUUAACUUAACAUCUAACCAUGUUGGUUAACACCUUUAACAAAUCUAAAAUCCCUCUAUAAACUAACAUAAACUUUAUCAUUCAUUUCUUACUUUCAUAAACAUUAUUUUUUUAUUCAUUACAUAACUUAAUUAAAUAAUCACUUAAAAUCUUCAUACUUUAUAUUACAUCACGUUGAAAUAUGUUAUUGUAGUUCACGUUAACAUGUAUGCCAAACUAGAUUAAGUCCAUUAAUCAUAACCUAUAAAUAAGCAGAAGUCAUUGCCUAGGCUCAGGGCACGGCGCAGCUGCGCUGUCCCAAGCCUUGGCAUCGGCACAGCUGCGCCGUACACGGACAGGAACUGCAGCAGCAGCUCUGUUACACAGCACACACCAAAACUCAAUCAAAUUUCACAGAAAUCAUAAAACUCAACAUCUAAAACUUUGUGAUAACAUUAAUAAUGAUGUUAUUCAUCAUUCUCACUACCUAAACAUUAUAUAUAUUAAAUUUUAAAAGAUCAAAACCCCAAUUUUUCCAAUUUCAUCAUUUUUUUACGCUUUUAGCGAAUUCGAUUGCUACGAAUUCAUUUCUUAAUCAAUUGACACAAUUCAAACUACGUUGUUUUCGUUUCUUAACAUACUAACACAUUCUAACAUCAAAUUACAGAUUAUAGCAAGUAUUGAUCAUGAAAUUUCGUACUUUCUAAAGCCAUUUUUCAAAAAUAAACACUAUUAUUAUAACUUCUUCCUUACAAAGCCAAUUCUCACAUGUUUGGAAAUCAAAUAGCACUCACAUAUAAUGAUUAACAGAUUAUAAACCAUAUAUACAUGUAUUUGUAUUAAUCCAUCGUAAUUAUCAAUAGAAAUUUCAAACAUAAAAGUUAGAAUUAGAGUUAUACCUUACUCCUUUGAUUGUUUGCUAGCAAAAAGAUGGUGACUAGGUUUAGAAAUCCCUCUCCUUGACAAUCAUAAAGAAUUCAAACUCACUGUGUUUUCCUCUCUUGCUCUCUCUCCAAGCUCUCUGUUCUUCACUAAUAUCUAGCCUUAGGGAAAGGAAUAAUACGCGUAAAAAAAUAUACUAACUCCCACUUUCCCCACUAAUGUCAGGUCACAAACCCAAAAGUUUGUGUCAGUUAGAAAUAAGCCAAAGGCCACAGGGCCUUGUUUGGCUAACCACAAUUUCUCCUCUACUAGAUUAUUUUUAUAUUAUUUUUAUUAUAUAGUUUUUAUUUGUCACACUUGCCACCAAUUUAAAUAGCUUACAAUAAUAAUUAUAAUAAUUAUAAUUUUUAUUAUAAUUAUUCUGAUGAUUAAUAAAUAAUUAUAUAUAUAUAAUUUAAUUAAUAAAUUUGACUUAAACAUUACUUUAUUUAAUUUACCUAUUUUCUUUAAUAUAAAAAAAAAUUUAAUUUAAUUUAAUUAUUUCAUUAAAUUAAAUCUUUCAAAUAAAAAAUAGCAUUAUUCAAUUUAAUUAACAUUAAUCAAUUUAGUCACUAAAUUAAUGCACCACAAUUCAUCAAUUAUUUAUUUUUCUCAAUAAAUAAAUUAUUUAAAAUAUUUAUUUAAUUCAAUAAAUAUUUAAAUUAAAUUACAAAUUUCUCGAUCGUUACACUAUUCAUUCGGUUAGUAUUUACCCGGGGUACUAUUCAUGACAAAAAUUGAUUUCUUUUAUGUCCAAAUUAUUUUUGAUACAAUAUUAUUCUUGAAUUUUACUCCACAAUUGGUGAUCAUGUUGACAAUUUAGAUAUUCUUAAACUCUGGAUAAAUUUAAUUAUAAAUAUUUAAUAUUUAUCCUUUAUCUCGUUUGAUUGAUUCUUUAUAUCAUUGUCAUGAUCCUCAUGCUUAUAUUGUGAUAAAAGUCAUCUUUGGCCCGUAGUGCAUAGAUGGACUAUUGGUUAUUGGUUUUACAGUUGUUUUUCUUUGGCCCGUAGUGCAAAGAAGAACUGUUGAUUGAUAUCUUUGGUCGUAGUGCAAAGAUGAAUUGUUGAUUGAUAGCUUUGGCUCGUAGUGCAAAGUUGGACAGGUGUAUGACAUGAUCAUGACCACUGGUGAUACUAACGAAUAUCCUUGGCCGUAGUGUAUGGAUAAUUCAAUGAUGUGAUUGGCAGGAUCAUGACCAUUAGUUAACAGUUGAAUGUCUUCGGCCGUAGUGCACUGACAGACAAUUGAUUGGUAUGAUCAUUGUUAUUACACUUGAAUGUCUUAGCCUUUGGGGUAAGGAUAUUGAGUAAACGUUCUAUUAAGCCUUUGUGGCAAGGAGAAACUGUUGAUUCACAUUAUUAUAAACAUGAAUUGUGAAUUUAUCUAAAAUCUUUGGUGGUUCAGGUGAAGACAGGUGAUGAAAUUUCUCUUUGUCUUGGUAUAAUAAAGAACUGUUAAUGGGUAUUAUAGGGAUAAAAUUGAUGAUAAACUUUUAAAUCAUAGAAGAUAGUAGAUAUCAUGCUCUACUUGACUCUUCUAAUAGAUUGCUUAUUCCACUGCAGUUGUUGAUCUAAAACUUGUUGUCUAUUAUAUUCUAGCAGUUGUUAUACUGUUGAAGGCUAAUGAUAAUUUAUUCUGCAUUAUCUUAGUCAUAAUAUUUCUUACUGGGCUAGUUGAGCUCACCCUUUUCUUUCAUUAUUCUCUUCAGAAAAUGAGAAUAUAGCUGGGACGAGUCGGGGAAUGGAGUGAUGAUCCAAGAUAAGUGGCUUUAGUAGUCUUCACUAUUCUGUGAAAUAGUGUGAUAAUAAUUGUAAUGAGGACUCCAUUGAGUUUGGAUAUUGUCUAGAAGACAAUAUUUGUGUUAAAACUCUCAGCUUAUAUUUUCUCGUAUUCUACACGACAGUUGUAUAAUUAAGUAGUAUUUGUAUUCUGUACCAUGUAUCUGGCGACCCAAGAUGGGUGAUGUAUACAUAUUUUGGGGGCGUCACAUCAACAACCACCACAAAUAUAAAACCUUUGAAGCCAAGCCUGUGAGACCCCAAAUUUUAUGAAUAAAGAUUUAAAUUUCUCGAAAUAUUUUUUUUGAAUAUUACGGUGUGGAUUUGAUAUAAUGUUAUAGUUGUGGGUAAUAUUUAUAAAUUUUACAAAGUAAACAAGUUGUUACAUAAUAUUCGUUUGGUCGGGGAAUAUUCUUUUUGUUGGGGAAUAUCCGUACGAUGGUGCAAUCAUUGGUGGACCCCACAACGGAAGUAUUGUCGUAGUAAGAAAAUGACAAAAUUAUCUUUUUAUAAAAAUAAUGGCGAAAGUGUUACCGUUAAAACUAUUGAACUACUCCGUAGUAAAAGUACAGUAAUACGUGUGGUUGCAUAGUAGCACACGAUAUUGAUUAUUAAUACUUACGUAAGAAGUCACUCAGUUAUACUUAAUUAUUGUUAUAGUAAUUGCUGCAUCUAUCUCUCAUAUUAUUGAUUCAAUUAUUGUCACAGUAUCAUCUGCAUAAUAUGUUAUAUUAUUAAAUCAAUAAUUGAGACGACAAAGUUAUUUAUAUUAUUAUUUGCAAUAUUGAGAAUGUCUAGAAGUUCUAUCAAGGAGAGGUUAGAUAAUCUAAUUGCGCGCCAAUAGGGAGAAAUCCUUAUCGGAAAGCCCCCUCUUUCUUGGAAACUACCUGGUUGUUAAAUAUUGUGAGUUAUAAUAUUAAUGAUGUAUAAGUUUGUGUUGAUUAAAGAUGAAAUUGAUAGUUCCAUUGUGUUGGGAUUAUUAGUGUUAGUGGAAAUCGACAUUUAUUUCGAUAAUAAUUGAUGUUUGGAAGUUAUAUUGACCAAUCGGGUAAUUAACCGGAUAAAUGAGCAAUUAAUUGCUAUUAAUUCACAUGCUUAUAACUAUGUGUUCACAUGUGUGUACUAUUGAUUCACAUGAUUUACUAUUAGGGGAGUUGGUGCAAGAUUGAUAAUACUUGCAUGACUAAAUUAAAAAUAGAGGUAUAGAUGAAGGUACUAUACUGUAAUUAUUUUUUUCACAUGUUUAGAACUAUUGAGUCACAUGAUUUACUAUUGAUUCACAUGAUUUACUAUUAGGGGAGGUGGUGCAAGUUUGAUAAUACUUGCAGGACUAAAUUAAAAAUGAAGAAAAAGAGGAAGGUAUUAUACUGUAAUAUUUCGAGCCCCAAAACGUGCAAUUAUCGAAACUAUAUUUUCCUAUAAAUAGAAGCUCAUUCUUCCUUCAUUUCUCACCAAUUCACUAAAGCUUUAGAGCAAUUAUUAUAGAGAGAAAUUAUAGAGAGAAAGAAGAAGAGAAGUCUGCUACCUCACUAUUUUAGUAUGCAGUUUCUUCUAAGGUAAGGGUAUUAUUUCUUUCGUAUUCAUGAAGAGAGUUAUUUCUUUCAAUACUCGUAAGGGUUGUUAUUCCAUUCUUUAUUAUUCUGUUGGAAUAACCUGUCUGUGCGGACUACACACGCCUGGUGAAUUCUUUUGUUAUUACAUUCUUUAUUAUUCUGUUGGAAUAACCUGUCUGUGCGGACUACGCACGCAUGGUGAAUUUUUUUUUAUUCUAUUCUUUAUUAUUCUGUUGGAAUAACCUGUCUACGCAGACUACCGCAUGCAUGGUGAAUGACCCUUCGUAUUCAUUCUUUAUUAAAUUAUGUAAAUGAUCUGUCUACGUAGAUUACCGCAUGACGGGUAAAAAUCCAUUUGCAGUUUCAUAUAUUCUAUUAUACUCAUAUGCGAUAUCAUUUCUUUUGUACUCGUCAUAUAAUAUCAUUUUCUUUGGAAUUUUUCUUUUACGAGUUACUAUUGACAGAUUACUAUUCACCUGAUUAUUAUUCACUCUAGUAUUAUUCACUCAGGUAUUCGGGGCACUUUUCGUGUCAGAGUAUUAUUCACGGGUUACUAUUCACCCGAUUACUAUUCACUCUAGUAUUAUUCACUCGGAUAUUUGGGACACUUUUCGUGUCGAGGUACUAUUCACGGAGUACUAUUCCUGAAGUACUAUUCAUGAAAUACUAUUCACCCAAAAAAUAUAUUUCUUUUCAGUCCAAAUUAUUUUUGGGUACAAUAUUAUUCUUGAAUUUUACUCCACAAAACAAUAUCAUGUUGACAAAUUGGACGUUAUUGAUUCUUGGAUAAAUUAAAUUAUAAAUCUUUAAAAUUUAUCCUUGAACUUUUUUUAUUGAAUUAUUAUGUCAUUGUCAUCAUCCUCAUGCUUAUAUUGUGAUGAAAGUCAUCUUUGGCUUACGUGCAUAGAUGGACUUGGUAUGAUUAUGACCAGGGAUUAUUCGGUAUAAUCAUGACCGUAAUGUGACGAAUGAUAUGGUGAAAGUCCUCAUUGGCCUGUAGUUCAUUGAUGGACAGUUGUUGGUAUGAUUAUGACCAGGGAUUAUUUGGUAUAAUCAUGAACAUUGAUGAUUACAUGAGUAUCAUUGGCCGAGAUGCAGGGAUGAUUCGAUUUUAUUUAUUAAGUUGAGUCUCAGCGAUAAAGUUGAUGAAAAACUUUUUAAAUCAUAGAAGAUAGUAGAUUUUAUGCUCUACUUGACUCUUCUAAUGGCUUGCUUAUUCCGCUGCAGUUGUUGAUCUAAAACUUGUUGUCUAUUAUAUUCUGUCAGUUGUUAUACUAUUGAAGGCUAAGGAUAAUUUAUUCUGCAUUAUCUUAGUCAUAAUAUUUCUUACUGGGCUAGUUGAGCUCACCCUUUCUUUCACUGUUCUCCUCAAGAAAUGAGAAUAUAGCUGGGACGAUUCGGGGAACGGAUUGACGGUCCAGAUGGUUGUUUUAGUUGUCCUCACUAUUCUGUGAAAUAAUAUGAUAAUAAUUGUAAUGAGGACUCCAUUGGGAGUGGAUAUUGUCUAGAAGGCAAUAUUCUUGUUUAAACUCUCAGUUAUGUUUUGUCGUAUAUUACCCGACAGUUGUAUAAUUAAGUUUGUAUUUGAUUUAUGUACCAUAUAGUUGGCGACUCAAGAUGGGUGAUGUAUACCUGUUUUUGGGGUGUCAAAGUUGGUAUCAAAGCUUAGGGAUAUGAUCUCUGGCUGAGAUAUGAGACAAGAACUAGGAGGGGAGAGACUGGGAAUUCCUUCGCUAGUAUAUAUGACCUACCUAAGUUUAUUUGGUAUUUAAUUGGUCGAUCAGAGUAUAGGAAUAAUAUGUGAUAUGUCAAUUAACCCUUGUUUUGUGACAGUGUUUGAAAAUAGCAUCUAAAAAUGUUGAGAUCAGCAAUGAAGCACAUGAGACCGUUGAGUCACCAACGAUUAAUACCUAGGAUAAUGUGCAACAGGAAGAUAAUAAUCCUCAGGUAAAUAACAACACCGAUUAGAUGAUGAACGAUGGGAUGUUCAGAGGCUUUAUGCAAUUCAUGCAACAUCAGACGAGAGAGACUCUUGUUCAAAAUGCAGGUGGAAACACUGUCAACUCUCGGAUGGUCACCGCUAAGCAGUUUAAGGAGUUGGGACCACCAGAGUUUUUGAGAGAGCCAGAACCACUUAAGGCGGAGACGUGGAUAAACAGAUCACCAAGAUAUUUGAUGUCUUGGAAUGCUCAGAGGAGCAAAAGGUUCCCUUUGCCACCUUCAUGUUGCGAGGAGAGGCAGAUUACUAGUGGGAAUCAGUAAAACGUACUCAGCCUGCCGCACUGAAGAUGUCUUGGGAGAUGUUCCAAGAACUGUUCAACAACAAGUACUUUCCUGAAAGUAUUCGUCAUGUGAAAGAGGUAGAGUUCAUCAAGCUUGAGUAAAACAAUAUGACCGUGGCGCAGUACGAAGCUAAGUUUGCCGAGUUAUCUCAGUUUGCGUCCCACUUGGUUGAUAAUGAAGAGAGAAUGACGCGGAUGUUUCUAAGAGGUUUGAAACCCGAGAUACGUCAAUAUCUAAUUUCUCACAAACUGUGUUUGUAUUCAGAUGUUAUGAAUAGGGCUCAAUUAUUGGAGUGUGAUAAUGAGUCAGCACAACCAAAAGGCAACGACCAACAACACGAUAAUAAUCAUACCGGUGGCAACGGCCAUCGGAACAAUGAUAACCAUCGUGGGGGAAAUUAUUAUGCCAAGAAUGGUAACCACUUCGGUGGUAAUCAUGGCCAAGUUAAUAGAAGCGGAAAUUUCAAGAAGAGAAGGUUCAAUAAUGAUGGAAAGACGUCAUCACCAGCACCCGUUGUUAAGGAAGGAGAACGACCGCCGGUCGUAUGUUACAAAUGCGGAGGGGAGGGACACAUAAGUCCAAACUAUUCACAGCCUUCCAAGGUAUGUUUUAGUUGUGGAAAAGAUGGUCACAUAGCUCGAUUUUUUUCUUGUAGCGAAAUCAAGUCCAGUUGGGACAGUGGCACCAAAGGCGGAUACGGACAAAACAAAGUCGGUGGUUUCAGGAAGAGCGGUUUUUAUGACUUCUCAAAAAGUGAGUAACCCGAACGAAGUUAACACGGGUUAGUUAAUUAUAAAUUCUUGCGAAGUCUAUACCUUAUUAGAUAUCGAUUCUACCCAUUCUUUUAUUUCUCUUGCUUGCGCUCAGCGUUUAAAUUUGACUCCAGAGAAAUUAGACUUUGACUUAUUGGUUGAAACUCUGUUAGGAGAAACCUUCGUUACACCCACUGUUUAUAAAUCUUGUUUUAUUCAAAUCGACACUUUCACGUUACCUGUCGAUCUUAUCUCUUUGAAAAUACUUGCCUUUGAUGUGAUUUUAGGAAUCGAUUGGUUAACUACUCAUCAUGCCAAAAUUGAUUAUUUUUGUAAGGUUGUUAGCUUUCAUAUUCCUAACCAACUUGUUAUGCGAAUUCAAGCAACCAAACCACUAAAGUCAAUCACUGUCAUAUCAAGCCAUAAGUAAAGAGCCCCGAGCCUUUCGUUGGUGACUUCCUUGUGUGGAAUGCAUCGAAGCCGAACUUUCUGUAGGGGACGUCGUGAAUAACAGUGGCAAGUUGAUAGGUAUCAAUGUGACGUGUUAUCCAAGUCUUGGGAUGAGAGUCACAGUUUUGAAUGAUAUUUCUAUUGUUAAUAAAUUUCCUAGCGUAUUCUUGAAGACUUCUUAGCCUACCCCUAGAGCGUGAAAUCGAAUUUUUUAUUGACCCCAAUACAAAACUCAUUUAUAAAACCCUCAAAUAUUUUCUUUACCCAAAACGAACGUAUAAUGUGCCAAUGACGUUGGCUCGAGCUGUUGAAGGUUACGACUAUACCAUUAAAUUCCAUCGUGGGAAAAGCGAACGUGGUAGCUGACACAUUAAGUAGAAGAUCGUAUGCGUUUACGAAGUGUGACGUUGUUAACACAAAAACCCAUUUCGUAUAACUUAUAAAUAAUGAAGAUGGAGUUAAUGACUCUAGAGACCCACGUGAAGAUAACGAAUAUACGAGUAAAAUCGACUUUAAUCGAUAAAGUUAAAGCCGCUCAAACUACACACUCGGAGCUAGUGAAUACGAAGAAGAAGGUUCAAGAAGGCGUUAUUCUAGAAGCAAGAGUCGAUGAAGAGAGAAAAUCUCAAUCCUCGAUUUAAUUGGGCCAUUUGAAAUCCUCGAUGGAGUAGGAACUGUGGCCUAUAGACUUGUUUUACCGCCAAGUAUGUCGCGUGUUCAUAACAUUUUUCAUGUAUCGAUGUUACGUAAAUAUGUGGACGACCCGAACCACAUUAUUAAAUUGGAACUAGACGAGAUAGCAGAAGAUUUAACAUAUGAGGAUAUACGUGUUAAAAUCUUGGAUAAGAAGGAUCGUAUUCGACACUCAAAUUUUAUACCUCAAGAGUUAGAAUCUGAAAUAAAGUCAAGGUAUCCUUAUCUCUUCGGCAUACCAGGUACGUACUUAAAUUUUGAGGGCGAAAUUUCAUAAGAAGGGAAGAUUGUGAGAUCCCAAAUUUUAUGAAUAAAGAUUUAAAUUUCUUGAAAUAUAUUUUUUGAAUAUUACGGUGUGGAUUUGAUAUAAUGUUAUAGUUGUGGGUAAUAUUUAUAAAUUUUGCAAAGUAAGCAAGUUGUUAUAUAAUAUUCGUUUGGUCGGGGAAUAUUCUUUUUGUCGGGGAAUAUCCGAACGACGACACGAUUAUUGGUGGACCCCACAACGGAAGUAUUGUCGUAGUAAGAUAAUGACAAAAUUAUCUUUUUAUAAAAAUAACGGCGAAAGUGUUACCGUUAAAACUGUUGAACUACUCGGUAGUAAAAGUAUAGUAAUACGCGAGGUUGUAUAGUAGCACACGGUAUUGAUUAUUGAUGCUUACGUAAGAAGUUACUCAGUUAUACUCAAUUAUUGCUACAGUAAUUGUUGCAUCAUAUCUCUCAUAUUAUUGAUUCAAUUAUUGUCACAGUAUCAUCUGCAUAAUAUGUUAUAUUAUUAAAUCAAUAAUUGAGAUGACAAAGUUAUUCAUAUUAUUAUUUGCAAUAUUGACAAUGUCUAGAAGUUCUAUCAAUGAGAGGUUAGAUAAUCUAAUUGUGCGCCAAUAGGGAGAAAUCCUUAUCGGAAAGCCCCCUCUUUCCUGGGAACGACCUGGUUGUUAAAUAUUAUGAGUUAUAAUACUACUGAUGAAUAAGUUUGUGUUGAUUAAAGAUGAAAUUAAUAGUUCCAUUGUGUUGAGAUUAUUAGUGUUAGUGGAAAUUGACAUUUAUUUUGAUAAUAAUUGAUGUCUGGAAGUUAUAUUGACCAAUCGGGUAAUUAACCGGAUAAAUGAGUAAUUAAUUGCUAUUAACUCACAUGCUUAUAACUAUGUGUUCACAUGUGUGUACUAUUGAUUCACAUAAUUUACUAUUAGGGGAGUUGCUACAAGAUUGAUAAUACUUGCAUGACUAAAUUAAAAAUGGAGGUAUAGAUGAAGGUACUAUACUAUAAUUAAUUUUUUCACAUGUUUAGAACUUUUAAGUCACAUGAUUUACUAUUGAUUCACAUGAUUUACUAUUAGGGGAGGUGGUGCAAGUUUGAUAAUACUUGCAAUUAAAAAUGAAGAAAAAGAGGAAGGUAUUAUACUGUAAUAUUUUGAGCCCCAAAACGUAUAAUUAUUGAAACUAUAUUUUUCUAUAAAUAGAAGCUCAUUCUUCUUUCAUUAUCACCAAUUCACUAAGCUAUAGAGCAAUUAUUAUAGGGAGAAAUUAUAGAGAGAAAGAAGAAGAUAAGUCUACUACUUCACUAUUCCAGUAUCCAGUUUCUUCUAAGGUAAUGGGUAUUAUUUCUUUCGUAUUCAUGAAGAGAGUUAUUUCUUUCAAUACUCGUAAGGGUUGUUAUUCCAUUCUUUAUUAUUCUGUUGGAAUAACCUGUCUGUGCGGACUACACACGCCUGGUGAAUUCUUUUGUUAUUAUAUUCUUUAUUAUUCUGUUGGAAUAACUUGUCUGUGCGGACUACGCACGCCUGAUGAAUUCUUCUAUUAUUCCAUUCUUUACUAUUCUGUUGGAAUAACCUGUCUACGCGGACUACCACAUGAUUGGUGAAUUCUUCUGUUAUUCCAUUCUUUAUUAUUCUGUUGGAAUAACCUGUCUACGCGGACUACCGCAUGCAUGGUGAAUGACCCUUCGUAUUCAUUCUUUAUUAAAUUAUAGAAAUGAUCUGUCUACGUAGAUUACCGCAUGGCGGGUGAAAAUCUAUUUGCAGUUUCGUAUAUUCUAUUAUACUCGUAUGAGAUAUCAUUUCUUUUGUAUUUGUCAUGGAAUAUCAUUUUUUUUGGUAUUUUUCUUUUACGAGUUACUAUUCACGGGUUAGUAUUCACCUGGUUACUAUUCACUGUAGUAUUGUUCACUCGGGUAUUCGGGACACUUUUUGUGUCGGAGUACUAUUCAUGGGUUAUACUAUUCACGGGUUACUAUUCACCCGAUUACUAUUCACUCUAGUAUUAUUCACUCGGGUAUUUGGGACACUUUUUGUGUCGGGGUAUUAUUCACAGGGUACUAUUCUCGAAGUACUAUUCACGGAGUACUAUUCACCAAAAAAAUAUAUUUCUUUUCGAUCCAAAUCAUUUUUGGGUACAAUAUUAUUCUUGAAUUUUACUCCACAAAAUAGUAUCAUGUUGACAAAUUGGACGUUAUUGAUUCCUAGAUAAAUUAAAUUAUAAAUCUUUAAAAUUUAUCCUUGACUUGGUAUGAUUAUGACCAGGAAUUAUUCGGUAUAAUCAUGACCGUAAUGUGACGAAUGAUGUGGUGAAAGUCCUCAUUGGCCUGUAGUUAAUUGAUGGACAGUUGUUGGUAUGAUUAUGACCAGGGAUUAUUCGGUAUAAUCAUGACCAUUGAUGAUUACAUGAGUAUCCUUGGCCGUGAUGCAGGGAUGAUUCGAUUUUAUUUAUUAAGUUGAGUCUCAGCGAUAAAGUUGAUGAAAAACUUUUUAAAUCAUAGAAGAUAGUAGAUUUUAUGCUCUACUUGACUCUUCUAAUGGAUUGCUUAUUCCGCUGCAGUUGUUGAUCUAAAACUGUUGUCUAUUAUAUUCUAUCAGUUGUUAUACUGUUGAAGGCUAAGGAUAAUUUAUUCUGUAUUAUCUUAUUCAUAAUAUUUUUUGCUGGGCUAGUUGAGCUCACCCUUUCUUUCACUGUUCUCUUCAGGAAAUGAGAAUAUAGCUGGGACGAGUCGGGGAACGGAUUGACGGUCCAAAUGGUUGUUUUUGUAGUCCUCACUAUUCUGUGAAAUAAUGUGAUAAUAAUUGUAAUGAGGACUCCAUUGGGAGUGGAUAUUGUCUAGAAAGCAAUAUUCUUGUUUAAACUCUCAAUUAUGUUUUGUCGUAUAUUACCCGACAGUUGUAUAAUUAAGUUUGUAUUUGAUUUAUGUACCAUAUAUUUGGCGACUCAAGAUGGGUGAUGUAUACCUAUUUUGGGGCCGUCACAAAGCCCAUACACUCCCAUUUUAGAUCAUAGCUCCUAUGCCCAGACCCAUUAAGAGCAUACCCAGCCCCUACUAAUAUGCACAAUCUAAGCUCCCAUGAUCUAAAGCCCCUGACUUUGCAAAUAUAGAUCGAUAGAUAGAUUUUCGGGAAGGAUCACAUUUUGGUAGAUAGAUGGUUUAAUUUGUUUAACUAUUUAUUAUAAAAUUGAGUAUAAUUUAAUAUAAUUAAUUAUUUAGCUUACCUUCUCUCUCCUUGUCUGCAUUGACACAUAGAUUUAUUGAUUGCCACGUCCUUCUUCUGUUAAAUGGUUAACAGACAUAGACGACAAAAUUAAUUUUUGUAAAUAAAGUAUAGUUCAAUGAGUUGACCGUAAAAAAAUUUAGUUUAGUGAUGCAUUUGUAAACCGAUGUUGAGUAGAGUGGAGAAAAGUGUAUUUAAUCCGCUCCAAAAGUCACCACUUUACAAGUCUCGUCAACAAUCAGCACCAUGUAAACACUCACCCUCUUUGGUGAACUUGAAGAGUUUGAAAAUCAACUUAGGAGGUAUGAUGAUGAAAAUGAGGCACCAAUAAAGAAGACAUUGACACUUCAAGCUGAGAGUAACAAUGAAUGUGAUAACGAAGAUUUUGAUAAAGAAAUUGAAAUGCUCUCAAGAAACUUGAGAGACUAUUUCAAAAGAAAAUAAAAAAGGUAGCUCAACUCCAGUGGGUAAGUUCAAAACAGAACAAGAAGAAGAAAUUGUCCAACUCUAUUUCAUAGGACUAGAAGAUGAUGAUCAACUUGAGGUAACAAAUUUUCAUGAAGCUUUUGAAAUAUCUAUGCCUGAUUAUAUUGCUUUACAAAAUGAAAAUCAACAACUCAAAAAAAAAACUGUUUAUUUUAAGAAUUGCGUAAAUGCUAAUGAAUGAAGUUAAGUCAUUUAUUAAAGAGAGAAAAGAAAAUGAAUAUCUUAAAAAUGAAAAUGAAGUUUUAAAAGAAAAUUUAAAAAUGAGAGAUGAAUGCAUAAAUGCUUUUAAUGAUGGAAAAAUGAUGAAUGUGCAACAUGAUGAUAAUGUCACAAAUGCAAAAAUAACAUCUUUAAAAAAUGAUCUUGCUAAAUUUGUGCAAUGAGAAGAGAACCUAAAUGUUAUGUUAGGGGCACAAAGGUCUAGUCUUGAUAAAUAAGAAAUUGGGUAUAAUCCUAUUAAAAUGUGAAAAAUAGAACUAAUAAUAAUAUUAUAAUGAUUAAUAGAAAACCAAUGCAUAAACCACUUUAUUGUUCACCGUUUGUUACUUGUAAAAAAUAUGGUUUUAAAGGUCAUUUUAAAAUGUGGCUUUAUUAGAAUAAAGCAAAUUUGGGUAAAGAAAUGUGAUUUAUAUGCUACUAACCUAAUAGGACCCAAGAAGAUUUGGGUACCAAAAUGGUAGAGACUAUUUGUUCAUUUUGUAGAUGUCUCAAGGUCAAAAAGGAGACAGAUAAUACUUAUAAAUUAUUUGGCAAAAUUCGCAAGUACCUUAUUUUUUUAAAUAGAUUUUUAAUUAGAUAUAUUAUGAAAACUCUAUGGAUUUCGUAUCAUAUGGCUUCAUAACAUCAUUUAUUAUAAAGUUUUUAUUGUGCUAAAUGCUCCAUAUUUAAUACAAACGACAAUCUUGAUGAGGAAUAAGUGAAUAUUAUUUUUGAUGAACUUAACCAUGAUCUGUUAAAGGAAGAGAAUGAGGUUUCUGCUGGAAAUGACUAUCUGAAUUGUGGAACCCAAACAGUUCAAUCCGGAUAGUCUAAGCCGUCUCUAUCAGAAGGAAAGAUAGAUGAAAUCAGACAAUUUGACCCGUCUGUUUUAGAAGAAAACUCAAAUUUACAAACACCUAAAUCCAAACAGAUCGAGUCGUCUACUUUAGAAGACAAAACAUAUGAAUAUUCGGAUGCAGUAACUUAUAUUCCAGAGGAUGAAUCUCAAAAGCAAAUGACUACUGCCAGGCUUCCUAAAUCUUCUAGAACUAUGGGAAAUCAUCAUCCAAGUCUGAUCAUCAGAAAUUUCAACAUUAGGAUGUCCACAAGAAGAGGUUUUGAAGAAAUUUGUUUGCUACACUAAGGAGCUUAUCUAUUAAGCUUAUUGUUGGUAACAAAAUUGUGGAUAUAUAGGUAACAAAUCACAAAGGUAUGGUCAUUUUAUUUAAUUGCUAUAUGUGAUAUUGUUAUAAGCUUGCUCCCGUGUCUUUAUUUUAUGAAUUAUUUUUUGUUUGUCACAAAUGGGAUAGAGAUAUAACUAAAUUGAUGAUUUUUUUUUUUUUGAUAAUAACAAAGGGGAGAAAUGUUUAGAAAAAUUGAUGAUUAUGAUAUCUGAUGGUUAUAUUGAUUAUAAUAUGUUUAGAUUUUUUUGAUAUCAUAUUGAUGAUAAUGGUUGGAUAUUUUGAUUCAUUAUCUGUUAUAGCUUAUCAUUAUGCAUUAUUUAUCAUAACAGUUAUGUGAUCUUUAUAUCUCCUAUAGGCAUAAAUUUAUGGGGAGCAUGAUUGCAAGGAAUAAUAUAUUGUCAUCAUCAAAAAAGAGGGAAAUUGUUAGUUUUAUUAUUUGUGAUUUUAAUAAUGACAAUAUAUUUGUAAAUAUAAUUUAUUUAAUGUAUUGAAUUAAUUUUGUAAUGGUUUGUUGAAUAUGAUAUAUAGUAAGUUUGGUUCAUGAUAAUUUAAUUUGGUUAUAAUUCAAAUUGUUAUUACGUGCAGGAUUGAAUUGAAAUAUUUUCUUCCAGGUUGUUAUUUUGUUAAAACAGGUUGUUUCAAUUUUGAAUUGGAAUAUGUUAAGGAGUUUGUUUAGCAGUGUAAUCUAUCUAUUAAAUAUAUUAAAAUGCAGUACAUGAUAUCAUAGCUUGACAUAUGUCAUUCUCACAAUUCAACACGUGUCCUGUCUAAUUAAUAUUCCUUAAGACCCUUAACAAAAGUGCCCAGCUAACAUAACAAAUGAGGAUGAAAACAAACUUUAAUUCAUUCCCCUAAAUUUUAGAUUUAUAAUCCCCUAAAUCAUGCUACAAAUCUAAACUAUUUUGAUAAUAUCAACUGUUUUGAUAUUAUCCUUUGUAAUUUAAUUAUUAUUUAAUAAAAUUACUUUUUUAUGCUAUUAAUUAAUUUUUUAGAUUUAUAAUCUUCUAAAUAACUACAAAUCUAAACAGUUAAUAACAUAAUGUCAUUCUCUUAAUUUUUUAAAUUUACAAUCCUCUAAAUCACUACAAAUCUAAACUGUUUUGAUAAUAUCAACUGUUUUGAUAUUAUCCUUUGUAAUUUAAUUAUUAUUUAAUAAAAUCAUUACUUUAUCUCAACACCACCCCCUACAAUGUAUAUUCAUUUGUUUUUCUGUGUAAAAUUUGAUCAUCGCACAACAAUCUACCAUCUUCUUAUUAUAUUUUAAUUUAUUAAUUAUACAUACAUAUUUAUUGAAUAAUUCCGCCCGCAACGCACGAGUUUGUAUCUAGUGUGGUCUAAUUUGGAGUCUUUAAAUUAACUGGUUUAGAUAUUUGUGUAGAGUAUGGGCUCUAUCUACUCGUUAAUUUUAGCCUAUGUUGAUUACGUAUCUUUGAUUUUCUAAUUUUGAGAAUAUUUUAAGCUGUUAGCUAUAUCUAUAGUUCUGAAAUAUCAAAUUCUCGAAAUGAAAGACCAAGUCAUGCUAACCAUUUCAUAUAGUCGUUGGACUGAGUUCUAUAUAUUUUCUUCAUGUUUGUCUAUAGUGAGCAGGACUCUUGAAGCUUAUAGCAGCCAUAUUACACAGAUUAAUCAAGAGCUUUUCAAAGUUAUUUUCAGCUACUCAUUAUAUUGUUAAUUUAUUUCAGUUAAAAAUUAAGAGUCUAUUAUAAUCUAUAUUUAUUGUAUUAAAUUUUAGUUCAAGUCUUGUUUGGCUUGAUCGAUCCAAUAGUGGAUAGGUUUGUUCGAAGAAAACUUUUAAGGUUGCAGAGGUGCAAAUGUCUCAGUGGUGAGAAAGGUUGCAAUGAUGCAAAGGGGCAGAGGUGUUCAUCGCAGUGGAAAAUUUUAUUUGAACAGGGAGUUCUUUUUAUUAUACUUAAUGGAGUCUUAAAAGUUUAAUAAAAAGAGUCCAAUACCGGUUGGUUUUGAACGUGGAUUAAGCCGUUAGAGUUUAAGGGCAGAACCACGUAAAAAUUCUUGUCUGUGGUUUGUUAAUUCUUCUGGGUUGAUAAUUUAUUUCUCACGUUGCAUCUAAUCUCAUUCAUAUUACAUUUUAUUGUUGGUAGGAAAAGUAUACUAAUCUAGACACUAUCUUCUGUCUUUAUAACAAAAGUAAAAUUGACUCUAAAGCAGACACUUUUAUUUGUCUGUUUUAAGUUUAGCAGCAAGUUCAGCAGCAGGAAAAUAAAAUUAGUCAUUGUUAGUGUGCUUAUUUAUAGAAUUACAUCCACAUCUGUAAUUCUACUGAGAUUUAAUGAAUGUUUAUUUUGCCGAUUAAAAAACAAAGGAAAAAGAAUAAAAGUAAUAAGAUGUUCGAAACAUUUGAUUGUAUUAUUAUAUUUUUGUGAGCCAAGGUGAAAGCAAAGCCACCUAGUGGUAGUUGUUUUAUUUAUAAUAUGGUAAUAACAACCAUGAACUGAUAGUUGAUUUAUUUAUUAUAUGCUAAUAACAGCUAUCAGCUAGUGGUUGAUUUAUUUAUUAUAUUCUAAUAAACAGCCAUCAACUAGUAUAUAGUUUCUUGAUCAACUGUUCAUAGGAAGAUUACUGAUCGUUCAUUUAGGCGUUGGGGGGACUAAUUUGAACACCAUAGAUAACUAAACCCGUCUCCAUAGUCGUGUUUUCACUCCCGUCGAGAGCAAAUUUGAAAUCUCCAGAGUCAAAGCUAUUCAAGAAUUCCCCAGCUUUGAGUGAAAUCGGUGUGUUCCUCGGACAAUCCAUCAACCUAUAUCCAUUCACUUGCGUGGACCCAUCCGGAGGAGUAAGUGUAAGACUCACCGGACUUUCUAUGUUAAGGUUGUCUUUCAGCAGCACCACAAAAGACACCUCAUAAGUUCAUUUUUCAAGAGUUUCUGUCGGAUAUUUUCCAUCAACAUGUAGGACUAAGCUACCAAUUAAUUCAGCACUGGCAUCACUGAAAAAAAAUGAUAGUAGAAUUAAAGUCAGAAACUUUUGAUAUAAGGAGCUUAAAUUCAUUAAGGUGAUUUUAUUGAUUUUUUUUUCUGGAAAAUUUUUAAUGUUAAGUCCUUCUAUCUGACUAGAGUCUAGACUUCAAUAAAAUUUCUAUAGUCCUUCUAUCACUUUAAUUUAAUGACAUAGUUGCUUAUAUAUCCCUAUUUUUAACUGAAUAAAAUUCAGGUGUUUAAACACAAAUCUUGACCUUUGACAUCAAUUAAGUUAACUAAGUCUUAUUUCUACUUACGUAAACUUCCAGCCUGAAGGGUUGGCAUAAUUGAGUUCCUUUGCAUGCACAAAAGCCCAACUGCUCUGAAUAAGUCAACAGAAAUUUACAUUAUUAUAUGGAUAGAUAAGGCAAACCAGCGGUGACCAAUAAAUGAUAUGUCGAUGCCUUUAUAAAUAUAUAUAUAUAUAUAUAUAUAUAUAUAUAUAUAUAUAGAAUAUUGACGGUUGACAUUGUCAAAAUAACAAUUAUAAAAGUGUUGCCAAAUGUAUAUUUACUCUGAUAGCGAUGACAUUAUCAACCACCUAUAUAUAAAUAGCAAAUGUUUCAUAGCAAAAGUUUAUUACAGAAUAUGUAUCACUCAAACCAUCUUAUAUCAAUCAUGCAUUACAACAUCAGAUAGAUGAGAUCUUAAAAUUUUUGAACACUCCGCGACAUUAUGUUGCAAAUGGUACCAAAUUUUAAAAAUCCCAAAGGUGUAAGAUGGUCUAAAUUUUGCAAAAAUGUAUCACUUGCAAAAUUUACAAAUAUUAAGGAUUAUUUUUGUUCUGUAGACAACUUUAGUGUGUAUAUAUAUUUGAUGUUUGUUUCCAAUUUCAGUGGACUUACCUUCUGGCCCGGGUCCUUUUUGAGCAACGCAUUUUCCUUAGCUUGAGACAACAAUGUCUUGAGGUCAACCUUGUGAUACCUCACUACUUGUGCCAUUUCGCCUUUAAUUCUGCUAUAUAUAUUUUUUGUUUUUGUUCUUGAUGUCUAUAUAUCUCUCUUCCAAAGGCUAGCUCUAUUUAUAGAUAGCACAAAAGAGGGUAUAUUCAAUAAUAACCUAUCUUCAAAUAUUCCUUCCUUUUUCACAGUGGGGAUCCUGAUAAGUUUAACAUCAUCAUCAUCAUCGCCAAGGAUAUAGAGCAUCAGAUUCUGUUUAAUAAUUUUGUUGGAAUAUUUCUUUUCCAUUUCUCAGUUCAAUAAUUCUUUCUUUAGCUUGUUGCGCUGGCAAAAUUCGAUGAAGGCGAAAGGUACGUAGGCAUUCAAGUAAGUGAUGAUUUUCUUCUAACCAGAAGUAUGAGCAGGUUGAUGAUACAUAUGUCAUGCCAACAUAACAAACUUUAGAGGAGCCGAGUUCGAAAAAGAGAGGGUACUGGUAUAAUUGCCUUAAUUCGAUCUUAUCACCCAAGCACGGGUGCCAUCUAUUUUGGUUCAAUAUAAUGGAGUAUAUAUUCAAAUCAACAAAACAAGGCAAGAACAAAAAAUAAAUUUAAAGUGCAUAUUUUAAUAGGAAUAUCUAUUAAUAUAUAUAGGUAUGUUACUCAAAUAUCUAUACCAUCUAUACCAAUUUAUAGCAAGAUAAAUACGAGUUAUUUAAGUUGGUCUUGAGCCAAUUUAGUAAUCCAAUUUUGGUGACUCCGUAACUCAAAAUGUUUUUUUUUUGUUUUUUUGUUUGAUUUUUAUGUAUUCUUGGUCAUAAAUUUUGAUAUUCCCAAAAGUCAACUAAAACACUCAAAAGUUAUAUAUUUUCACAAAAUUUUAGUACACAUUUAUUAUUAAAGAUGGAAUAUAUUAUCUAUCAUUAAGAAUUGAGUAAAUAUAUAAAAAUAAAAUAAAAUUAAUGAAAUAACUUUUGAGCUAUCAAGUCAUCAAAUUUGGAGAGCUGAGUUGACUUGAGUUAUAUUAAAAUGUCAUUCAAAAAUAUUAUAUAUAUAAUUUACCAAAUAAAUCGUUUUUAAACUUAUCCGUACUUCGUACGGAUUAUUAAUUUUGUUUGUAUUAAAAGUAGAAGUAUAAGCAUCUCGCAGGCCAAAAAUAAAAAAAGAAAAAAAAAAAGAAAAGAAGAGCAAGACUACUUCUUUUUCUUCCUUUUUAUCUCCUUUCUUUCUUUGUUUCUUUUUAGACGGAGGACUUCAUUUCAUCUUUGAAAAUAAACAUAAGAAUUUAUCAAAGGAAAUACAAGAUAGACGAUACAAAUAUUGAGAUCUAAUGGAACUUUUGUUGUCUAAUUAUUAUUAUUUUUUAUUUUCAAAUAUACGCAUACAUGAUAAAGAUUCACAAUUAUAUAUAAUAGGCUAAAAUCAACAAUCCGCUAAAAAAUUUGCGGUCUGUCAAAAUGUUUAGUUGUCGAGCUAGUAUAAAUUACCGUCUACCAAAUCGUUAUUAGUUAACAAACUAGUGUAAAAAUUUCACUUUGGAAGCUAAUAUAAACUAUCAUCUAUCAAAUUGUUAUUAAAUGGGGAGCUACGAAUGUAAACUAUCGUCUAACAAACUUUAUUAGCUGAUGAGCUAGUGUAAAAUAUCAUUUAUCAAACUGUUAGAUAGAGUGUUGGUUACAGUUAAAUGUGUCUUUGGAUCAAUUCCUAUACAGUCCGCUUCUCCAACGGACCGGUUUGUCAGCGAACCAACUAUAGUGACGGUUCAAUCCGUCGUUAUAGCAUAGAAAAAUGUUAACGCCAAGAUUCGUCCACGUGCAAAAACGAAAUCACACAGAGGAACUUGUCGGCUUGGGCCGCCAGGGGAUAGCUCUGGUAUAAGAAUAAGUACUGACUGAAUAAAGUUAACAAUGGAGGCUUAUAAUUUUAGUGCUGAAAAAAUAAUAAGAUAUUGUGUGCAUGUGAACCAGGGUAUAUAUAGCCUUGUAUUUAUAGUGAUCACACCUCUUUAAAACGCAUCAUCUCGUAUAGGAGUAGAAUUCCUCAUUAAGAUGGAUACCUUAAUGGGACAUGAUUGAAUCUCCUUAAAAAAAGAAAGUCGGAUACUAUCCUGACUCUUUCCUUAGAAGUUAGAAAUUAAAUAUAAUUAGGAAUCCUAGAUUCCUUAAAAUUCUCCCACUGCCCGUGGGGAGACUUCCUCCACGUGGACUAUGGCCCACCGAAUUCUGUGGUCCCAAAUAAUCAUGUUCCAACAUUGUCCCCCAUUGUAAUACCUAGAAAAAUAAUUAAAAAAAUAAAAAACAUUUAAGUUUAUAUUUUAAAAUAUAUUAGUUGGAUUUUAUUAUUUAUUUGGGUCAAAGUGGUCAUUAAUUUAUGUGGGCUAAUAAAUAUUAAUAAAUUAGGGAUAAAUUAAUUUGAUAAAAUUGAGCCUUAAAACUAAUUGGGUCUAAUUUAUAUUUGUGUAAUAAUAAAUCUUAUUAAAAUUUUAUUAAAAUUAAAAGAAUUAAUAAAACAUAUUAAUUAAUGAAUAAAUAACAAACCUAAUCUUACUUUUAUUAUACAAACUGAGGGAAAGAAAAAGAAGAGAAGUAGGUGAGGCGACUUAAGAGUGAAGAAUGAAAAUUUGUCACUCUUGAUAUUUGGCAAGACACAUUUAGUAAGUUGUUACUAUUUGUUUUUUAAAUUGUUAGAUCCAUCAUGUAGAAAGCCAGUGAUUCAUAAGAAAGUUAAAAUACAUUAUAUAUGAAGUAUACUUUUAGAAGUUUGAUACAUUAUUGGUUAAUGUGGAUAGCCUUUAAGGCAGAGUAUCCAUGUGAAUUGGAUAUCGUGAAUGGCAUACUAAAAUAAUAUACGCUUAGUAUAUGGCGUGAAUCAGAUAAGAUCAAAAGGUAUUUACUGAUUAAAUGUAUCUGAAUAUAUCUAAAUAUAUCUGAAUGUAUCUGAAUUGUAUGUUCUCCAAAAUCCUAGCACCCAUAUUUAUAGGCCAUAGAAAAAUCCAUAACCAAUUAAAUAGGAUUUUUAAUAUAAAAUUGAGUAUAGAUAGAAACGAUAACUUUUCUAAAACAGAUUCUAGGUAAUACCUAAACCCAAAUCCAAUAAGGAUUCAUGUUAUACCCAACAAAUGUCCACCUUGACUUGAAUCCUCCGAAUAUUGCACAAACAGUAAACUUUUUCCUCUUCUCAAAAUGCACAACUCAAGUGCAUCGAACACUAACCACGUCCAAGCAAUGUUUGAACUUGGUAUGUGUUAACGGCUUCGUUAACAUGUCAUAUGGAUUUUCUGCUGUACCAAUCUUCAAGACCUUAUUGUCACCAUCUUCAACAAUGUCUCGAACAAAAUGAUACCUGACAUCAAUAUGUUUCCCCCGAGGACAAUACUCACAGAAGUCAAACUUUAUUAUUUUUUGUAUAGACAACUCGCUAGAUUUCUUCGUCUCCUAAUCCGUAUCAGACAUAUCUACAGGCUUCAUUGGCUUCCCUACAAUGGCUUUCUUCAAGCCUUGCUGAGUAAAAACAGCCUUCAUCCGAACCUGCCAAAGACUGAAACUAAUUUUCCCAUCGAAUUUGUCAAUAGAAAAUUUUGUUGAUGAAGUCGAACUCAACGUCAUAGUAUAUAUCGAUAAUAACCAAGCUCUGAUACCAAUUUAUUAUGACAAACUAUGACAAACACAAUAAAUCAAUGCAGAAAGAUAAAGACAAUAACACAAGGUUUUACAUGAAAACUCAAAUUGGAAAAAAACUACGGAGAAGGCAAAAGAAAUCCACUAAAUAAAUAUCUGAAGAGUACAAGAUAAAAAAAGAGAAUACUAAAUUGAGUAUAGGUAAAAAAGAUAACUUUUCUAAACCAAAACAGAUUCUAGGUAAUACCUAAAUCCAAAUUCAAUAAGGAUUCAUGUUAUACCCAACAAAUCUCCACCUUGACUUGAUCAUUCCUCCAAAUAUUGCACAAAUAUUGAACUUUCUCUUCUUCUCAAAAUGCACAACUCAAGUGCAUCGAACACUAACCACAUCCAAGCAAUGUUUGAACUUGGUAUGUGUUAAUGGCUUCGUUAACAUGUCAUCUGGAUUGUCUACAGUACCAAUCUUCAAGAUAUUAAUGUUACCAUCUUCAACAAUUUCUUGAAAAAAAUGAUACCUGACAUCAAUAUGUUUUCCCCGGGACAAUGCUCACAGAAGUACAACUUUCUUACUUUCUGUCCAGAUAACUCGCUAGUUUUCUUCGUCUCCCAAUCCGUAUCAGAGAUAUUUACAGGAUUUAUUAGUUUCCAUACAAUGGCUUUCUUCAAGCCUUACUGAGUAAAAACAGCCUUCAUCCGAACCUACCAAAGACUGAAACUAAUAUUCCCAUCGAAUUUGUCAAUAUCAAAUUUCGUUGAUGAACUCGAACUCAACGCCAUAGUUUGGAUCGAUAAUAACCAAGCUUUGAUGUGACGCCCCCAAAACAGGUAUACAUCACCCAUCUUGGGUCGUCAAAUACAUGGUACAUAAUACAACUACAAACUUCUUUUAUACAACUGUCGUGUAAAAUACGACAAAACAUAGCUGAGAGCUCUCAAUGGAGUCCUCAGUACAUUUAUUAUCACACUAUUUCACAGAAUAGUGAGGACUACUAAAACAACCAUCUGGACCGUCAAUCCGUUUCCCAAUCAGUCCCAGCUAUAUUCUCAUUUCCUGAAGAGAACAGUGAAAGAAAAUGAUGAGCUCAACUAGCCCAGUAAGAAAUAUUAUGACUAAGAUAAUGCAGAAUAAAUUAUCCUUAGCCUUCAACAGUAUAACAACUGAUAGAAUACAAUAGACAACAAGUUCUAGAUCAACAAAUACAGCGGAAUAAGCAAUCCAUUAGAAAAGUCAAGUAGAACAUAAUGUCUACAAUCUUCUAUGAUUAAAAAGUUUAUCAUCAAUUUUAUCGCUGUAAUACCCAUCAACAGUUCUUUAUACCAAAGACAAAGAGAACUUUCAUCACCUGUCUUCACCUGAACCACCAAAGAUUUUAUUUAAAUUCACAAUUCAUGUUUAUAAUAAUGUGAAUCAACAGUUCCUCCCUGCCACAAAGGCUUAAUAGAACGUUUACUCAAUAUCCUUACCCAAAGGAUAAAGAUAUUCAAAUGUAAUAACAAUGAUCAUACCAAUCAGUUGUCUAUCUUUGCACUACGGGCCAAAGAUAUUCAACUAUAAAACCAUUAGUCAUGAUCAUACCAAUCAAUUGCAUGUCGGUGCACUACGACCAAAGACAUUCAACUGUUAACUAAUGAUCAUGAUCCUGCCAAUCACAUCAUCGAAUUAUCCCUGCACUACGGCCAAGGAUAUUCUUUAGUAUCACCAGUGGUCAUGAUCAUGUCAUACAGCUGUCCAUCUUUGCACUACGGGCCAAAGCUAUCAAUCAAUAGUUCAUCUUUGGAUUACGACCAAAGAUAUCAAUCAACAGUUCUUCUUUGCACUACAGGCCAAAGUCAUACAACUGUAAAACCAAUAACCAACAGUCCAUCUAUGCACUACGGGCCAAAGAUGACUUUUAACGCAAUAUAAGCAUGAGGAUCAUGACAAUGAUAUAAAGAAUCAGUCAAAUGAGAUAAAGGAUAAAUAUUAAACAUUUAUAAUAUAAUUUAUCCAGAGUUCAAGAAUAUCCAAAUGUUAUCAAUCACUUAAUAAUCUCAUAAUCUAAUAUCAUUAAUAUUAUAACAAUAUUUUAAUCAUUUCUUAAACUUAAUUAUAAACAAUUUAUUUUAAUUGUUUACACUUUACUAAUUAAUGCAUUUAAUCAGCCUAAAAUGCCAAACUCAUAAGAUUUCAUCACCAAUAACCAAAACUCUCAUAAAAAAUCUGCAUAUACCUUAUAUAGGAUUUUCAAGCCAUAAAAUCCUAUUUAUCAAUUUUUUAACUUCACAUAACUUAUUUAAUUUAUAUGUUCGUAACUAAACUAUUUUCAUGAAAAAUAUCAAAUCAGUCUAAAAAAGUUUUCUUUUCUGAGAUUUAGCAGAAUAUAGUCCCAUAUUGAACAUAUAUUUUUCUCGAAAUUUUUAAAAUUCAUUUACUAUUUUUCAUAUGGCCAAAAUUACCGAAUAUUUAAACAUUUAUCAUAAACUAUACUUUUGUCCAAAAAUUCCAAAAUUUACAGGGUAUACUCCUUUGAUAUAUAUGUACGCCCAAUAAAUUUUUUAUCAAUUUUGGAGUUAACCACAAGGAUUUAUAAAGGUUUACUUUUAAAAUAGUCUUUUCCCAUAAAAUUCAUAACUUCUAAUCUAUACAUCCAAAAAUCACCAUUUUUGGACACAAUCUAGAAAACUCAUCAAAUUAUCAUUUCAAAUUUUUCCAGAAUUUUUGACGGUUAGAAAAAUUACGAAACUGCAAAUGGAUUUUCACCCACCAUGCGGUAAUCCACGUAGACAGAUCAUUUCCACAAUUUAAUAAAGAAUGAAUACGAAGGGUAAUUCACCAUGCAUGCGGUAGUCUGCGUAGACAGGUUAUUCCAACAGAAUAAUAAAGAAUGGAAUAACAGAAGAAUUCACCAUGCAUGCGGUAGUCCGCGUAAACAGGUUAUUAAUUCCAAUAGAAUAAUAAAAAAUGGAAUAACAGAAGAAUUCACCAUGCAUGCGGUAGUCCGCGUAGACAUGUUAUUCCAAUAGAAUUAUAAAGAAUGGAACAACAGAAGAAUUCACCAUGCAUACGGUACUCCGCGUAGACAGGUUAUUCCAACAGAAUAAUAAAGAAUGGAAUAGCAAAAGAAUUCACCAUGCAUGCGGCAGUACGCGUAGACAAUUUAUUCCAACAGAAUAAUAAAGAAUGGAAUAACAACCCUUACGAGUAUUAAAAGAAAAUAACUCUUUUCAUGAAUACGAAAGAAAUAAUACCCCUUACCUUAGAAGAAAACUGGAUAAUAGUAAGGUAGCAGACUUCUCUUCUUCUUUCUCUCUAUAAUUUCUCUAUAUAAUAAUUGCUCUUGUGAGACUUAGUGAAUUAGUGAGAAAUGAAGGAAGAAUGAGCUUCUAUUUAUAGGAAAAUAUAGUUUCAAUAAUUGCACAUUUUGUGGCUUGAAAUAUUACAGUAUAAUACCUUCCUUUUUUUCUUCAUUUUAAUUUAGUCCUACAAGUAUUAUCAAACUUGCACCACCUCCCUAAUAGUAAAUCAUGUGAAUUAAUAGUUCAUUCAUGUGACUCAAUAGUAUAAUCAUGUGAAAAAAAAACUAAUUAUAGUAUAGUACCUCCAUCUAUACCUCCAUUUUUAAUUUAGUCAUGCAAGUAUUAUCAAUCUUGCACCACCUCCCCUAAUAGUACUUGCAUGUGAAUCAAUAGUACACACAUGUGAACAAAUAGUUAUAAGCAUGUGAAUUAAUAGCAAUUAAUUGCUCAUUUAUCCGAUUAAUAAUCCGAUUGGUCAAUAUAACAUCCAGACAUCAAUUAUUAUCGAAAUAAUUGUCGAUUUCCACUAACACUAACAAUCCCAACACAAUGGAAAUAUUUUUAUCAACAAAUUUAUUUUUGAAAUUUUGAAGUUUGACUUUUUCUGCAAAAGUCAAAUGUUGACUUUUUGACCAAAAAGUCAACCCCAGUAAAUUUUGUGUUUAUAGUCUAUUUUUACUAAUUUUAUCGUUCUGGACUCAAAUAUCACGUUCGCGUCUCCAAAUUUAAUUCUGAACUCAAAUUCUAGUUUUUAAUAACAUUCAUAAUUAAUAUUAUAACUCACAAUAUUAACAACCAGAUCGUUCCCAAGAAAGAGGGGGCUUUCCGAUAAGGAUUUCUCCCUAUUAGCGCGCAAUUAUAUUACCUAUCCUCUCCUUGACAGAACUUCUAGACAUCGUCAAUAUUGCAAAUAAUAAUAUGAAUAACUUUGACGUCUCAAUUAUUGAUUUAAUAAUAUAAAAUAUUAUACAUAUGAUACUGUGACAAUAAUUGAAUCAAUAAUAUGAGAGAUAUGAUGCAGCAAUUACUGUAGCAAUAAUUGAGUUUAACUAAGUGACUUCUUACAUAAGCAUCAAUAAUCAAUACCAUAUGGUACUAUGCAACCACGCGUAUUACUGUAUUUUUACCACCAAUUAUUAUAUGACAACUUACUUACUUUGAAAAAUUUUCACAUAUCACCCUUAACUUUAACAUUUUAUCAAUUUAACUAUUUACUAAAUAGAAUAAUAAUUAUAAAAAUUGAAUACUUUCAUUUCGUAAAAUUCGGGGUCUUACAAUCUCAUCUCCUUAUGAAAUUUUGUCCUCGAAAUUUACGUACCUAGUAGUUCGAAGAGAUGAGAAUACCUUGCUUUCUUUUUCGUUUUGUACCUUCCCGGUUAUUUCCUCUCUAUCAUGAUUUUCCCAUUUCUCAUCUCCUGUAUUUCAGAUAUCAUUCUAGAAUAUAGAUUCAAAAUAAGGGUUAAUUAACAUGCCACAUAUUAUCUCUAUAUUCUGACCAACCAAUUAAAUAACAAAUAAACUUAGGUAGGUCAUACUAGCGAAUGAAUUACCCGUCUCUCCCCUCCUAGUUCUAGCCUCACAUCUUAGCCAGGGAUCAUAUCCCUAAGCUUUGAUACUAAUUGUGACGCCCCCAAAACAGGUAUACAUCACCUAUUUUGAGUCGCCAAAUAUAUGGUACAUAAUACAACUACAAACUUCUUUUAUACAAUUGUCGUGUAAAAUACGACAAAACAUAGCUGAGAGUUUAAACAAGAAUAUUGCCUUCUAGACAAUAUCCACUCUCAAUGGAGUUCUCAUUACAUUUAUUAUCACACAAUUUCACAGAAUAGUGAGGACUACUAAAACAACCAUCUGGACCGUCAAUCUGUUUCCCGACCAGUCCCAGCUAUAUUCUCAUUUCCUGAAGAGAACAGUGAAAGAAAAGGGUGAGCUCAACUAGCCCAGUAAGAAAUAUUAUGACUAAGAUAAUGCAGAAUAAAUUAUUCUUAGCCUUCAACAGUAUAACAACUGAUAGAAUACAAUAGACAACAAGUUUUAGAUCAACAACUGCAGCGGAAUAAGCAAUCCAUUAGAAGAGUCAAGUAGAACAUAAUGUCUACUAUCUUCUAUGAUUAAAAAGUUUAUCAUCAAUUUUAUCGCUGUAAUAUCCAUCAACAGUUCUUUAUUAUACCAAAGACAAAGAGAACUUUCAUCACCUGUCUUCACCUGAACCACCAAAGAUUUUAUUUAAAUUCACAAUUCAUGUUUAUAAUAAUGUGAAUCAACAGUUCGUCCUUGCCACAAAGGAUUAAUAGAACGUUUACUCAAUAUCCUUACCCAUAAGGAUAAAGAUAUUCAAAUGUAAUAACAAUGAUCAUACCAAUCAGUUGUCUAUCUUUGCACUACGGGCCAAAGAUAUUCAACUAUAAAACCAAUGGUCAUGAUCAUACCAAUCAAUUGUAUGUCAGUGCACUACGGCCAAAGACAUUCAAUUUUUACCUAAUGGUCAUGAUCCUGCCACUCACAUCAUCGAAUUAUCCCUGCACUACGGCCAAGGAUAUUCUUUAGUAUCACCAGUGGUCAUGAUCAUGUCAUACACCUGUCCAUCUUUGCACUACGGGCCAAAGCUAUCAAUCAACAGUUCAUCUUUGGAUUACGACCAAAGAUAUCAAUUAACAGUUCUUCUUUGCACUACAGGUCAAAGACAUACAACUUUAAAACCAAUAUCCAACAGUCCAUCUAUGCACUACGGACCAAAGAUGACUUUUAACGCAAUAUAAGCAUGAGGAUCAUGACAAUGAUAUAAAGAAUCAGUCAAAUGAGAUAAAGGAUAAUUAUUAAAUAUUUAUAAUAUAAUUUAUCCAGAGUUCAAGAAUAUCUAAAUGUUAUCAAUCACUUAAUAAUCUCAUAAUCUAAUAACGUCCAAGUUGUCAACAUGAUACUUCUUUGUAGAGUAAAAUUCAAGAAUGCUCAGAAGAAUAUUUUCAUGAAAACAUACUAGAUGAAGCGCAAAUAUUAAGGAUAUUCCACUAAUUUCAUGGAGUAUAGAAGUCAAAACUUUAACCAAUGGAGUAUAAUAAAGAAUGAAAUAACAAAAAAAAUCACCAUGCAUGCGGUACUUCGCAUAAACAGGUAAUUCCAACAGAAUAAUAAUAACGGAACCAGGUCAGGCAUAAUACGCACCGACAGGAUAUUCUAACAGAAUAAUAAAGAAUGGAAUAACAACAAAAAUCACCAUGCAUGCGGUACGUCGCAUAGACAGGUUAUUCCAACAGAAUAACAAAUAAUGGAACCAGGUCUGACGUAAAACGCACAGACAGGAUAUUCCAACAGAAUAAUAAAGACGAAACCAGGUUCGACGUAAAACGCACAGACAAGAUAUUCCAACAAAAUAAUAAAGACGGAACCAGGUCUGACAUAAAAUGCACAGACAAGAUAUUCAAACAGAAUAAUAAAGAAUGGAAUAAUAACAGAAUUUCACCAUGUAUGCGGUACUUCGCAUAGACAUGUUAUUCCAGCAGAAUAAUAAAUAAUGGAAUAACAAAAGAAUUUCACCAAGUAUAGGGUAGUCCGCGUAUACAGGUUAUUCCAACAGAAUAAUAAAGAAUGGAAUAAUAGAAGUUCUCUUCAUGAAUACAAAAGAAAUAAUACCCCUUACAGGUACAACAAAUAAUAUCCCUUACCGUAAAAGAAACUUGAUAUCGGAGUAGUGAAGUAGCAGAAUACUUUUCUUCUUUCUCUCUAUAGUUUCUNNNNNNNNNNNNNNNNNNNNNNNNNNNNNNNNNNNNNNNNNNNNNNNNNNNNNNNNNNNNNNNNNNNNNNNNNNNNNNNNNNNNNNNNNNNNNNNNNNNNUAACUUUAUAAAAGUAUUCUGUUUUAUAUAAAAAGAUUUUACUAUUAGCCUAAUAAAACGAAUAACUUUAUAAAAGUAUUCUGUUUUAUAUAAAAAAAAAUUCUAUUUUAUUACAUUAAUAAUACUAAUAAAACAAAACUUAUAUAUAUAUAAUAUAUAUAACAAUCAACAAUAAUUGAAUCAAAUAACGUGAGAUACUAUGCAGCAACUACUGUAGCAAUAAUUGAACAAAACUGAGUGACUUCUCACGUAAACAUCAAUAAUUAAUAUCGUGUGCUACUAUGCAACCACGCGUAUUACUGUACUUUUACUACCGAGUAGUUCAACAGGUUUAAUGGUAAAACUUCCGCUGUUAUUUUCAUAAAAAUAUUUUUGUCGUUUUCUCAAUCCGACAAUAAUUCUGUUGUGGGGUCCACCAAUGAUUGUGCCGUCGUACGAAUAUUCCCUGUUAAAACAAAUAUUUCCCGACCAAUCGAAUAUUAUAUAACAACUUGCAUACUUUGCAAAAUUUAUAAAUACUACCCACAACUAUAACAUUAUCUCAAAUUCACACCAUAAUAUUCAAAAAAAUAUUUCGAGAAAAUUAAAUCUUUAUUCGUAAAAUUUGGGAUUUUACAUUGUCGGCUCACAAUCUCCAGAAGACUAAAAGCCUCCUAUAAUUUUUCAUUAUAAUGUGUUUUUACCCGGAGAUAACUUAACGAAAGAGCCAGCCAUAGUUCAGAAUACAUGGAUCAAUGAUAUUGGAUGGGGGAAGAAGGAAAGAUGCCCUGACCAUCGAUCCACUAACAUUGUGAAAUGUACAUUAUAUACAUUCUCCUUGCUAGCUUUUGUUGGUAACCAAACCUUCACACCAAGGUAACCAAACUGUCAUACCAAGGUAACCAAUCCACACCUCCAUACCAAGGUAACCAAACCUUCAUACCAAGGUAACCAAUCCACACCUGUAGUUUUUUCAUAAUGCAGUUGGUAACCAAACUUUCAUCUCAAGGUUACCAAACCUGCAGUUUUUUUAUAGUGCAGUUGGUAACAAAACUUUCAUACCAAGGUUAUCAAUCCACCUCCACACCUUCAGUUUUUCAUAGUGCAGUUGGUAACUAAACCUCCAUACCAAGGUAACCAAUCCACACUUGCAGUUUUUUCAUAGUGCAGUUGGUGACCAAAUAAACUAUCAUACCAAGGUUACCAAACCUGCAUACCAAGGUUACCAAUCCACCUCCACACCUGCAGUUUUUUCAUAGUUCAGUUGGUAACCAAACUUUCAUACCAAAGUAACUAAACUGUCAUACCAAGGUAACCAAUCCACUUCCACACCUUCAGUUUUUUCAUAGUGCAGUUGGUAACCAAACCUUCACACCAAGGUAACCAAACCUUCAUACCAAGGUAACAAACCUUCAUACCAAGGUAAUCAAACCACAUCCACACCUGCAGUUUGUUCAUAGUGCAGUAAUUGGUAGCCAAACAUUCAUACUAAGGUAACCAAUUCAGUGUUAUUAGGUUACCAAUUUAUUUUGAAUGUGAUGCAGUUGGUAGCCAAACCUUUAUGCAGUGGGUAGCCAAACAUUCAUACCAAGGUAACCAAUUCAGUUUUAUUAAGUUACUAAUUUAUUUUGAAUGUGAUGCAGUUGGUAGCCAAACCUUCAUGCAGUUGGUUGCCAAACUUUCAGUCCAAGGUAACCAAUUCAUACUGUAGGCGUUGAUGUAGAUUGGUUACCUUAGUAUAAAGGUUUGGUUACCUUGGUAUAAAAGUUUGGUUACCUUGGUACGAAGGUUUGGUUAUCAACAUUACAUUACACAUCACUCUCUUAUCUCUCUCUUUUCUAUUCAGAAAAUAAUUUUUUUUUAUAAAACUAGAACUGAAGGUGUUCCAGUACUAUUAUUAAGUAGCUAGCUAGCUUAUUACAUGAUGACACCAAUUAUGCCUUUAUCUCCGUUCAUGUCAUGAACUCUAAUUGCUCUCUGGUGCCAUGACAUUACUAAUGAUCUUCUCCUCUGCAGUAUCUCGUGAAUUUUCUUUUCUUACCGGAAAACGGUUGCUCCCGCCACCACUGCCCCACCCUCCACCUCCACCGUCUCUGUAACCACCACCUGAGCCACCACCGCCAACUCCNNNNNNNNNNNNNNNNNNNNNNNNNNNNNNNNNNNNNNNNNNNNNNNNNNNNNNNNNNNNNNNNNNNNNNNNNNNNNNNNNNNNNNNNNNNNNNNNNNNNNNNNNNNNNNNNNNNNNNNNNNNNNNNNNNNNNNNNNNNNNNNNNNNNNNNNNNNNNNNNNNNNNNNNNNNNNNNNNNNNNNNNNNNNNNNNNNNNNNNNNNNNNNNNNNNNNNNNNNNNNNNNNNNNNNNNNNNNNNNNNNNNNNNNNNNNNNNNNNNNNNNNNNNNNNNNNNNNNNNNNNNNNNNNNNNNNNNNNNNNNNNNNNNNNNNNNNNNNNNNNNNNNNNNNNNNNNNNNNNNNNNNNNNNNNNNNNNNNNNNNNNNNNNNNNNNNNNNNNNNNNNNNNNNNNNNNNNNNNNNNNNNNNNNNNNNNNNNNNNNNNNNNNNNNNNNNNNNNNNNNNNNNNNNNNNNNNNNNNNNNNNNNNNNNNNNNNNNNNNNNNNNNNNNNNNNNNNNNNNNNNNNNNNNNNNNNNNNNNNNNNNNNNNNNNNNNNNNNNNNNNNNNNNNNNNNNNNNNNNNNNNNNNNNNNNNNNNNNNNNNNNNNNNNNNNNNAGAGUGUUGGGAGAUAGCAUUAGAUAUACAUAAUAUUUUUACAUAUUUACUAAUACACAAAAUCAUUUUCUAAUUUCUCUUUCAUCUUUCAUUCUAAACUAGCUAUCAAAGCAAAACAAAAAAGAGAGAGGGAGAGCAUAGAUUUGAUAGCCUUAAGGAGGUAAAGGGGAAGAAUUUUAAUCUUCAUGCACCCUAAGUUCAUCAAUUACUUUGGUAAAAGAAGAAGAACAUCCCAAAGAACAAGGUAAAGACCCUAAAAAAUUUCAAGUUUUGUUACUUUCUUUUGAUAAGUUUUGAUGAAAUAAAGAGCUUGUGUUCUUGAACUUUAAAACUCUUGAUCUACAUGUGUAUGCUUUUUUCACAUGUAGGUCUAGUUAUUUUUGAAGUUAAAAGUUUUUAAAAAAAAGAAAAAAGAAGAAGAAAUGAAAGUAUGUUCAAAAGGGGCUAAACACCCUAAAUUAACUAUUUUUUUUAUUUAGUUUUUUUUGAUGAAAUGUAAAGAUGAUGUUUCUAAGUUCUAAAAUUUUUUAUCUUUAUGUUUUCUAGUGUUUCAUAUAAAGAUCUAACCAUUUUUUAUGUUAAAGGUUUGAUCAAAGGUAAGGAAAGGAAACUAGUUUUUUUUUAACGAAUAAAAACCCUAAAACUUUUUAUUCACUUUGAAAUGCUAUCAUUUAAAAUCUACAUCUCCUAUUUAUGAUCCGUCAAAGAUGGGUGCUAGAUAUAGGAGUUAGCUUUCAAACCUAAGUGGUAUCACUCAAAUAUGUUGAAUUUACAAGCUUUGGUGACUGUUUUAACAAAGCUAUCCAGAUUUUUAAAAGAGAAAAAUGGAACAAUCUCAUUAUACUACAAAACAAUAUUAUUAAGGUUUAUUUACACUAUUUUAAGAGAAGCUAGAAAUGAGUUGCUGUUUGUCCAUAAGCAACAGCCACAAAGGUACUGUCUGAGAGCCUAGGAAGAGCUCCCAGACACUGUUUGUAUGCCUACUGCUACUGCCGAGGCAGUAGCCCUGCACCAAGUUCACUUUUAGCAACUUCUGAUAUUCUACUUUGCUUAGGCUAAAUUUUUAGAGAUGGUAAAGGUACUAUAUUAGUCUCUUUUAGAAACCUACGAGGCUUAAAUUUCACGUUUAUUUACUGUCCAAAAACAAUUGUCAAAGUGACUUAACAUAAUAGGUUUUAAUUUUUCACUUUGGCCUAAUAAUGUAGUUUAUUUCAUUUUAGUAAUGUUAAACUUAUUAAUUAUCUUUAUAUGUGUUGUCUCAACCACACUCAAGCUGCAAUUCCUUCUAAAAUCCCAUUUUUAGUUAAAACAGUUCACCUAGGACUUUUAACAAACAGGUGGUGUGCACAGUUCCAAUUUCUUCUUUUCAUAGCCAUUUAUUUGAGUUAUAAAUCCAUUUUUAUCCUCCUUAUUAUUCCUCAGCCCAACCUAGCUCCUUAUGCCUAAAUCCAGCUCAUAACAGUUAAAUACACGAUUUAAUAUGUGUAUAAUCAAGUAAUUGACAACUAUCUAGUUAUAACUUAGUUAGCUCACUAAUUUUCUUACUUUCAACCUUAUUAACAAUACAUUUCCAGCCCCAACAGUAGGCACAAUCCAUAACAGUUCUAGGCAUAGCAAUAUAUUGUACAAUCAUAAGCAUGUGCAAUCACUUAUUACAAUUAUAGGCAUAAGCAGUCACUUAUUACAACCUAACAAUUUCAAUUCUUGACAUACAAACUUAGUAAACAAUGGUUUUAUUACUCUACAUAAACAAGGUUCACAACUUAUAACUUUAAGCAUGAUAACUAGAAACAACCUCUAUCUUGAUUAAGGUGAAUAUUAAAGCACUUGGAAUAUGUAGUCUCUAAAAGAUAUUUGCAUACAUAGCUUCAAUUGGAUAAAUUCUUAGCUUACAUGUGAUUCUCACAACACAGUUUUUUUAUUAGUUAGUAAUAUAACCAAAUCAAGUCAUGACUUUGAAAUUAUAGGUAGCUAGGGGUUGUUUUGAAUCCUAAUCCAAAACAGGCCCAGAUUUGCCCUACUCUAGGCUCUUUUGAAAACUUCCAUAAACCUUCAUGGUUAGGUUCUUUAGACCCCAUGUUAUAAAGUAUAACCCACUUCAUUUUCAAGGACAGAUAAGUUCUUAUAUAAGUUUAUCAAUCUAGUUAAAAGUGGUUUCAUUUUGCUUAUGUAUAUGAUUGUCAUGGUAUGUAAGUUAUACCAAUACAUGUUAUACUUAGGCAUAGAGGGUACUUGAAGCAUAGCUACCCUUUAAAUGAGAACUUAAACAUAAUUUUGGACUCCAUUCCCAGCCAGCCUAUUUUGACACUAUAACAGUUUUAGAGUAGCAUUUUAGGCAUGGUUUAUUACACCAAAACAGUAGCAAGCACUAACGUAUAUGCCUUUCUAACACAUGAACCUUUUAUGUACCAUAUUUUCAUGAUUUAAAGCAUCUAAAGUCAAGGUCUUUAUGCUUUAGGCCAACACAACCCUCUUUAGUAUUUAAAUUCAAAAACAAACAUGGUUUACCAACAUGUUUACGAAGAUAGCAUAAGUGUGCAACAUAGAAGCUUAUACUAUCUUUUUAUAUAGUAUUUAACAUGCAUAAUAUAUGUUUGGAUGACAUGGAAUAUGUAAGACCCCAACUUAUUAUAAAUAAAAUUGAAUUUCUCUAUUUAUUAUCUUGAAAUAAUAAGGUGAUAAUUUGAUAUAAUACUUUAGUUAUGGGUGAAAUGUGCAAAUUUUGCAAAAUAAGCAAGUGGUUAUAAAAUAUUCAUUUUUGUCGAGGAAUAUUCGUUUGGUCAUGGAAUUUUCUUGUUGUCGGGGAAUAUUCGUAUGACGACGCAGCCAUUUGUUGGACCCAUAACAGAAUAAUUGUCGGAUGAAGAAAACAAUAAGCUUGAGUUUUUAUAAAUAACGGCGUAGUUGUUACCGUUAACACUGUUGGAAUACCCGGUGGUUAAAAUACAGUAAUACGCGUGAUUGCACAGUAGCACAUGGUAUUACACAGUAUUUUUGAAUUAUUAAUUCUUACAUAAGAAGACACUACUUAAUAAUUGUUACAGUAAUUACUGUUCAAUAUUUUAUUUUAUUUAUUCAAUAAUUGUUGCGUUGAUAUUUUAUAGUAUUGUUGUUUCAAUAAUUGUCAUUGCACAGUAUUUCCCAUUAUCAGAUCAAUAAUUCAUAAUAUUUGAAUAAUAUUAUUAGAUAGCAUUAUUGGCAAUGUCUAGAAAGUUUUGUCAAGGAGAGGUUUGGUCACUUAAUUGCGCGCUAGUAAGGAGAAAUUCUUAUCGAAAAGCCCCCUCUUUCCUGGGAACGGCCUGAUUGUCAUUAUUGUGAUUCUGUAAUAUUAUUUGUGAAUAAUUAUUUAUUGAUUUAUAUGAUAAGGAAAUAAUUAUUUUAUAUGGACAUAAAUGAUAUGAGACCCCAGAUUUUAUGAAUAAAUAUUUAUUUUUCUCGAAAUAAUUUUUUAAUAUUAUGGCGUGGAUUUGAUAUAAUGUUAUAGUUGUGGGUAGUAUUUAUAAAUUUUGCAAAGUAUGCAAGUUGUCAUAUUAUAUUCGAUUGGUCGGGAAAUAUUCUUUUUGUCGGAGAAUAUCCGUACGACGGCACAAUCAUUGAUGGACCCCACAACGGAAUAAUUGUUGGAUUGAGAAAACGAUAAAAAUAUUUUAUUAAAAAUAUCGGCGGAAGUUUUACCGUUAAUACUGUUGAACUACUCGGUAGUAAAAGUACAGUAAUACACGUGAUUGCAUAGUAGCACACGGUAUUGAUUAUUGAUGUUUACGUGAGAAGUCACUCAGUUUUGUUCAAUUAUUACUACAUUAGUUGCUGCAUAAUAUCUCACGUUAUUUGAUUCAAUUAUUGUUGAUUGUUAUAUAUAUAUAUAUAUAUAUAUAUAUAAGUUUUGUUUUAUUAGUAUUAUUAAUGUAAUAAAACAGAAAAACUUUUUAUAUAAAACAGAAUACUUUUAUAAAGUUAUUCGUUUUAUUAGGCUAAUAGUAAAAUCUUUUUAUAUAAAANNNNNNNNNNNNNNNNNNNNNNNNNNNNNNNNNNNNNNNNNNNNNNNNNNNNNNNNNNNNNNNNNNNNNNNNNNNNNNNNNNNNNNNNNNNNNNNNNNNNNNNNNNNNNNNNNNNNNNNNNNNNNNNNNNNNNNNNNNNNNNNNNNNNNNNNNNNNNNNNNNNNNNNNNNNNNNNNNNNNNNNNNNNNNNNNNNNNNNNNNNNNNNNNNNNNNNNNNNNNNNNNNNNNNNNNNNNNNNNNNNNNNNNNNNNNNNNNNNNNNNNNNNNNNNNNNNNNNNNNNNNNNNNNNNNNNNNNNNNNNNNNNNNNNNNNNNNNNNNNNNNNNNNNNNNNNNNNNNNNNNNNNNNNNNNNNNNNNNNNNNNNNNNNNNNNNNNNNNNNNNNNNNNNNNNNNNNNNNNNNNNNNNNNNNNNNNNNNNNNNNNNNNNNNNNNNNNNNNNNNNNNNNNNNNNNNNNNNNNNNNNNNNNNNNNNNNNNNNNNNNNNNNNNNNNNNNNNNNNNNNNNNNNNNNNNNNNNNNNNNNNNNNNNNNNNNNNNNNNNNNNNNNNNNNNNNNNNNNNNNNNNNNNNNNNNNNNNNNNNNNNNNNNNNNNNNNNNNNNNNNNNNNNNNNNNNNNNNNNNNNNNNNNNNNNNNNNNNNNNNNNNNNNNNNNNNNNNNNNNNNNNNNNNNNNNNNNNNNNNNNNNNNNNNNNNNNNNNNNNNNNNNNNNNNNNNNNNNNNNNNNNNNNNNNNNNNNNNNNNNNNNNNNNNNNNNNNNNNNNNNNNNNNNNNNNNNNNNNNNNNNNNNNNNNNNNNNNNNNNNNNNNNNNNNNNNNNNNNNNNNNNNNNNNNNNNNNNNNNNNNNNNNNNNNNNNNNNNNNNNNNNNNNNNNNNNNNNNNNNNNNNNNNNNNNNNNNNNNNNNNNNNNNNNNNNNNNNNNNNNNNNNNNNNNNNNNNNNNNNNNNNNNNNNNNNNNNNNNNNNNNNNNNNNNNNNNNNNNNNNNNNNNNNNNNNNNNNNNNNNNNNNNNNNNNNNNNNNNNNNNNNNNNNNNNNNNNNNNNNNNNNNNNNNNNNNNNNNNNNNNNNNNNNNNNNNNNNNNNNNNNNNNNNNNNNNNNNNNNNNNNNNNNNNNNNNNNNNNNNNNNNNNNNNNNNNNNNNNNNNNNNNNNNNNNNNNNNNNNNNNNNNNNNNNNNNNNNNNNNNNNNNNNNNNNNNNNNNNNNNNNNNNNNNNNNNNNNNNNNNNNNNNNNNNNNNNNNNNNNNNNNNNNNNNNNNNNNNNNNNNNNNNNNNNNNNNNNNNNNNNNNNNNNNNNNNNNNNNNNNNNNNNNNNNNNNNNNNNNNNNNNNNNNNNNNNNNNNNNNNNNNNNNNNNNNNNNNNNNNNNNNNNNNNNNNNNNNNNNNNNNNNNNNNNNNNNNNNNNNNNNNNNNNNNNNNNNNNNNNNNNNNNNNNNNNNNNNNNNNNNNNNNNNNNNNNNNNNNNNNNNNNNNNNNNNNNNNNNNNNNNNNNNNNNNNNNNNNNNNNNNNGAUAUUGUUUAGAAGACAAUAUUUGUAUUAAAACUCACAGCUCUCUUGUUGUAUAUUAAAGAUUGUAUUUGUAUUCUGUACCAUGUAUUUGGCGACUCAGAAUAGGUGAUGUAUACCUAUUUUGGGGGCGUCACAGUUGGUAUCAAAGCUUAGGGAUAUGAUCCCUGGCUGAGAUGUGAGAUAAGAACUAGGAGGGGAGAGACGGGGAAUUCCUUCGCUAGUAUGAACUACCUAAGUUUAUUUGGUAUUUAAUUGGUCGGUUAGAGUAUAGGGAUAAUAUGUGUUAUGUUAAUUAACCCUUAUUUUGUGGCAGUAUUUAAAAAUGGCAUCCGAUAAUGUUGAGAAUAGCAAUGGAGCACAGGAGACCGUUGAGUCUCCACAGAUUAAUAAUCAGGACAAUGUGCAACCGGAUGACGAUAAUCCUCCUGUAAACAACAACACUAAUCAAUUGACGAACGACGGUACGUUUAAGAGCUUUUUAGAAUUCAUGCAACACCAAACGAGAGAGACUCCUGUUCAUAAUGCUGGAGGAAACAAUGGCAACCCACGGUUGGUCACCGCUAAGUAGUUCAAGGAGCUGGGACCACCAGAGUUUUUGGAAAAGCCAGAACCACUUAAGGCAGAGACGUGGUUAAAGCAGAUCACCAAGAUAUUUGAUGUCUUGGGAUGCUUGAAAGAGCAAAAAGUUCCAUUCGCCACCUUUAUGUUUCGUGAAGAAGCAGAUCACUGGUGGGAAUCUAUAAAACGUACCCAGCCUGACGCACUCAAGAUAUCUUGGGAGAAGUUCCAAGAGCUGUUCAACGACAAGUACUUUCCUGAAAGUAUUCGUCACAUGAAGGAGGUGGAGUUCAUCAAGCUGGAGCAAAACAAUAUGACCGUGUCGCAGUACGAGGCUAAGUUUGCCGAGUUGUUCCGAUUUGCGUUCCAUUUGGUUGAUAAUGAGGAAAGAAUGACGCGAAUGUUUCUAAGAGGUUUGAAAUCCAAUAUACGUCAAUACCUCAUUUCUCACAAACUUUAUUUAUAGUCAGAUGUUGUGAAUAGGGCUCAGUUAUUGGAGCACGAUAAUGAGUUAGCACAACCAAAAGGCAAUGACCAACAACACGAUAAUAAUUAUAUCAGUGGCAACGGUCAUCGGAACAAUGAUAACCAUCGUGGGGGAAAUUAUCAUGCCAAGAAUGGUAACCACUUCGCUGGUAAUCAUGGACAAGAUAAUAGAAGUGGAAAUUUCAAGAAGAGAAGGUUCAAUAAUGAUGGAAAGACAGUAGCACCAGCACCCGUUUCAAAGGAAGAAGAACGACCACCGAUCGUAUGUUUCAAAUGCGGACAGGAGGGACACAUCCGUCCAAACUGUAUGCAGCAAUCCAAAACGUGUUUUAAUUGCGAAAGAGAAGGUCACCUAGCUCGAUUUUAUCGUAUGGUAAAGUCAAGUCCAGCUGGGAUAGUGAUGCCAAAGGAUGUCCCAGACAAGCCAAAGCUGAUAAUUUAAGAGAGAACGUUUUUUUUCUCGUGACGAGGAACCUGAAUAAAAUUAUCAUGGGUAAGUUAAUCAUAAACUCUUGCGAAGUCUAUACCAUGUUAGAUACCGGUUUUACUCACUCUUUUAUUUCACCUAGUUGUGUUCAAUGUUUGUACUUAACUCCGGAGAAGUUAGAAUCUGAUUUAUCUAUUAAAACUCCGUUGGGAGAAACCUUCGUUACAUCUAUUAUUUAUAAAUCUUGUUUGAUUCAAAUCGACACUUUCAUGUUACCUGUCGAUCUUAUCUCUUUGAAAAUACUUAUCUUUGAUGUGAUUUUAGAAAUCGAUUGGUUAACUACUCAUCAUGCUUUUCGUAAGGUUGUUAGAUUUCAUAUUCCUAACCAACCUGUUAUGCAAAUUCAAGCAACCAAACCACUAAAUUCAAUCAUUGUCAUAUCAAGCCAUAAGUAAAGAGCCCCGAUCCUUUUGUUGUUGACUUCCUUGUGUGGAAUGCACUGAAGCCAGACUUUCUGUAUGCGACAUCAUGAAUGACGAUGGCAAGUUGAUAGGUAUUAAUAUGACGUACUAUCCAAGUCUUGGAUGAGAGUAACAGUUUUGAAUGAUAUUUCUAUCGUUAAUAAAUUUCCUGACGUAUUCCUGAAGACUUCAUAGCCUACCCCUAGAGCAUGAAAUCGAAUUUUAUAUUGACCCCAGUACAAAACCCAUUUCUUACACCCUCGAAUAUUUCUUCAACUAAAAUGAACGUAACAUACGCCAAAGACGUUGAAUCGAGCUGUUGAAGAUUACGAACGUACCAUUCAAUACCAUCGUAGGAAAAGCUAACAUGGUUGCUAACGCGUUGAGUAGAAGAUCGUAUGCGGUUACAAGUGCGAAUAUAAGAACCCACGUGAAGAUAAUGAAUAUACGAGUAGAAUUGACUUUAAUCAAUAAAGUUAAAGCCGCUCAAGCUAAAUACUCAGAGCUGAUGAAUGUGAAAAAGAAGGUUUAAGAGGGUGUUAUUCUAGAAGCAAGAAUCGAUGAAGAGAGGAAAUCUCAACCCUCGAUUUAAUUGGCCCAUUUGAAAUCCUCGAUUGAGUAGGAACUGUGGCUUACAGACUCAUUUUACCGCCAAGUAUGUCGCGUGCUCAUAACGUUUUUAACGUAUCGAUGUUACGUAAAUAUGUGGACGACCCAAACCACAUUAUUAAUUUAGAACCAGAUGAGAUAGCAGAUGAUUUAACGUAUGAGGAGAUACGUGUUAAAAUCUUGGAUAAGAAGGAUUAUAUUCGACACUCAAAGGUUAUAUCUCAAGAGUUAGAAUCUGAAAUGAAGUCAAGGUAUCCUCACCUGUUCGGCAUACCAGGUACGUACGUAAAUUUUGAGGGCGAAAUUCCAUAAGGAGGGGAGAUUGUGAGACCCCAGAUUUUAUGAAUAAAUAUUUAAUUUUCUCAAAAUAAUUUUUUAAUAUUAUGGUGUGGAUUUGAUAUAAUGUUAUAGUUGUGGGUAGUAUUUAUAAAUUUUACAAAGUAUGCAAGUUGUCAUAUUAUAUUCGAUUGGUUGGGGAAUAUUCUUUUUGUUGAGGAAUAUCCGUACGACGGCACAAUCAUUGGUGGACCCCACAACGGAAUUAUUGUCGGAUUGAGAAAACGACAAAAAUAUUUUAUUAAAAAUAACGGCGGAAGUUUUACUGUUAAUACUGUUGAACUACUCGGUAGUAAAAGUACAGUAAUACGCGUGGUUGCAUAGUAGCACACGGUAUUGAUUAUUGAUGCUUACGUGAUAAGUCACUCAGUUUUGUUAUUGGUAUUAUUAAUGUAAUAAAACAUAAAAUCUUUUUAUAUAAAACAGAAUACUUUUAUAAAGUUAUUCUAUAAAUAGAAUAUAUUAUAUUCUAUUAUGCAUAGUGUUUUGCAUAGUAAAAUCUUUUUAUAUAAAACAGAAUACUUUUAUAAAGUUAUUCUAUAAAUAGAAUAUAUUAUAUUCUAUUAUGCAUAGUGUUUUGCAUAGUAAAAUCUUUUUAUAUAAAACAGAAUACUUUUAUAAAGUUAUUCUAUAAAUAGAAUAUAUUAUAUUCUAUUAUGCAUAGUGUUUUGCAUAGUAAAAUCUUUUUAUAUAAAACAGAAUACUUUUAUAAAGUUAUUCUAUAAAUAGAAUAUAUUAUAUUCUAUUAUGCAUAGUGUUUUGCAUAGUAAAAUCUUUUUAUAUAAAACAGAAUACUUUUAUAAAGUUAUUCUAUAAAUAGAAUAUAUUAUAUUCUAUUAUGCAUAGUGUUUUGCAUAGUAAAAUCUUUUUAUAUAAAACAGAAUACUUUUAUAAAGUUAUUCUAUAAAUAGAAUAUAUUAUAUUCUAUUAUGCAUAGUGUUGCAUAGUGUCUGCAUAGUGAUUUGCAUAGUAAAAUCUUUUUAUAUAAAACAGAAUAUUUUUAUAAAGUUAUUCGUUUUAUUAGAUUAUAAAUAGAAUAUAUUAUAUUUUAUUUAAAAGAUUUUGCUUUAAAUAUGGACCGUCCGAUUAAAGUAAAUCAAUCUGGACCGUUCAUGAGUUAGUUACUAUGUAGUCCAUUCUUCUAUAAAUAGAAGCUCAUUCCUUCAUUAUUUUCUUACGAAUUCACUGAAACCCUAGAGAGAGAAAUUAUAGAGAAAAAAAAGAAAAGUAUUCUGCUACUUUACUACUCCGAUAUCAAGUUUCUUUUACGGUAAGAGAUAUUAUUUGUUGUACUCGUAAGGGGUAUUAUUUCUUUUGUAAUCAUGAAGAGAACUUCUGUUAUUCCAUUCUUUAUUAUUCUGUUGGAAUAACCUGUAUACGUGGUCUACCCUAUACUUGGUGAAAUUCUUCUGUUAUUCAAUUCUUUAUUAUUCUAUUGGAAUAUCCUGUCUGUGCGUUUUAUGCCAGACCUGGUUCCGUCUUUAUUAUUCUGUUGGAAUAUCCUGUCUGUGCGUUUUACGCCGGACCUGGUUCCGUCUUUAUUAUUCUGUUGGAAUAUCCUGUCUGUGCGUUUUACGCCGGACCUGGUUCCGUUAUUUAUUAUUCUGUUGGAAUAACCUGUCUAUUCGAAGUACCGCAUGCAUGGUGAUUUUUGUUGUUAUUCCAUUCUUUAUUAUUCUAUUGGAAUAUCAUGUCUGUGCGUUUUACGCCAGACCUAGUUCUAUCUUUAUUAUUUUGUUGGAAUAACCUGUCUAUGUGAAGUAUCGCAUGCAUGGUAAUUUCUGUUGUUAUUCCAUUCUUUAUUAUUCUGUUGGAAUAUCCUGUCGGUGUGUAUUACGCCUGACCUGGUUCCGUUAUUUAUUAUUCUAUUAGAAUAACUUGUCUAUGCGAAGUACCGUAUGUAUGGUGAUUUCUUUUCUUAUUCCAUUCUUUAUUAUACUCAGUUAGUUAAAGUUUUGACUUCUAUACUCCAUGAAAUUAGUGGAAUAUCCUUGAUAUUUAUACUUCAUCCAGUAUCUUUUCAUGAAAAUAUUCUUCUGAGCAUUCUUGAAUUUUACUCUACAAAGAAGUAUCAUGUUGAAAAUUUGGACGUUAUUGAUUCCUGGAUAAAUUAAUUCGUGAACUUGUUUUAUUGAAUUAUUAUGUCAUUGUCAUCAUCCUCAUGUUUAUUUUUUUUGAAAGUCAUCUGUGGCCUGUAGUGCAUAGAUGGACUUGGUAUGAUUAUGACCAGGGAUUAUUCGGUAUAAUCAUGACCGUAAUAUUACAAAUGAUGUGGAAAAAGUCCUCAUUGGCCCGUAAUGCAUUAAUGGACAGUUUUCGGUAUGAUUAUGGCUAUGGAUUCUCUUCGGCCAAGGGUGCAAAAAUGAAUUGUUUUAUGUCAUGAUCAGGACCGUUGAUGAAAACACGAUUUUCUUUGGCCCGUAGUGCAUGGAUAAUUCGUGGUCGUGAUACUAAAGAAUAUCCUUGGCCUGUAGUGCAGGGAUGAUUUGAUGAUGUGGAUUAUUUAUUGGGCUGAGUCUCAGCAAUAAAAGUGAUGAAAAAACUUUUUAAAUCAUAAAACAUAGUAGAUUCUAUUCUCUACUUGACUCUUUUAAUGGAUUGCUUGUUCCGCUGCAGUUAAACUUGAUGUCUAUUGUAUUUUAUCAGUUUAACAUUGUUGAAGACUAAUGAUAAUUUAUUCUGCACUAUCUUAGUCAUAAUAUUUCUUACUGGGCUAGUUGAGCUCACCCUUUCUUUCACUGUUCUAUUCAGGAAAUGAGAAUAUAGCUGGGGCGAGUCGGGGAACGGAGUGAUGGACCAGAUGAUAGUAUUAGUAGUCCUCACUAUUCUGUUAAAUAGUGUGAUAAUAAAUGUAAUGAGGACAUAUUCUGAGAGUGGAUAUUGUUUAGAAGACAGUAUUUGUAUUAAAACUCACAGCUCUCUUGUUGUAUAUUAAAGAUUGUAUUUGUAUUAUGUACCAUGUAUUUGGCGACUCAGAAUAGGUGAUGUAUACCUAUUUUGGGGGCGUCAAAAAUGAUGGGUAGAAAAAUAUUUAUUUUGUGUGGUUAUAAAUGAAGAAAUUAAUUUUGAGGUAUUUUAUAAUUAUUUUGUCAGAAUGGAUGUAUUAAAAAUCAUCCGUAUGUGGAUUUCGGACAUUUUUUGUUUAGAAUUUGGAAAAACUUUCUUCUCUAAAGUUGUAGAGAAUUUGAUUUCCUAUGGAAUGGACAUAAAAUUCAUAUUUUUCUGAUAAAAGAGCUAUUUAUUGUGAAUUAAAUGGAGUAAAGAUAAUCAAAUUGAAUUAGUUUUCAAAUUGAAUUUGAAUUCUUUUAUUUAUUUAUUUUUCAAAAAUAUGUGAUAAAUUAUUGGGGUGGGUGAGCAAAGUUGGACAAUCUUGAUUCAAGUAAGGUGUGCGUAGAAGAGAAGGAAAUAAGAAUAUUAUUUUAUUAUUUUAGUCUCCUUUGGCGUUCUAGCAUUUUUCUAUAAAUAGGUGCUUAAGUUAGAAUUGAAAAUCACACCAGAAACAUAAGCUUUCUCUCUCUAGAUUAUCGAGCGUAUUAUUGUGAGUAUUUUUCUUGAGUAUAGGAAUACUUUGAGCGUAGUUUUCUGCAAGAUUUUCUCAGAAUAAUAUCCAAUAUUCCAGGCAAAUCCAGUUUCUACUAAGGUAAAGGAUAUUAUUUUAUUGCUUUUAUAAUUCCUGAAAUGAUUAGAAAUUUCACUUCAUCUAAUAUCCUUUUAUAGGAAUAUUGGUCUGAACUUUUUAUCAAAUUUAGAACUUUUCAUGACGGGUACUGUUCACCGGUACUGUUCACGGGUACUGUUCAAAAAAGAAAAAAAAAUUUCUCCUUCCCAGUUAUCUGUUGUGACCUUUAAUCCUGAAAUUGAAUCCAUGUUUUUGAUCUUUAUUCUUGAAUUUUACUCCAUUAUGGUUUAUUAUGGAGUAUUUUUAAACUUGAGUUAUCUAAAGUACAAAUCUCUAAACUUUAUCCUUUUAUCUCACUUGAUUCGUUCUCUAAAAUGUUUUUCAUCAUCCUCAGUCCUUAAUGGUGAUACUUGAUAAAUAUCUUUGGCCUGUAGUGCAAAGAUGUAUGAUUACCUGAUGAAUAUCUUUGGCCUGUAGUGCAAAGAUGAACAGGUGUUGAGAUGAACAUGACCAACUGGUGAUACAAAUGAAUAUCUUUGGCCCGUAGUGUAAAGAUGAAUAUUUGAUUCAAGAUGUAUAUUGAUUGAUGUUACAGGGAUAAAAUAUUGAUGAUGGACUUUUAAAUUCAUAGAUGAUAGUAGAUUUCAUUCUCUACUUAACUCUUCUAAUGAAUUGUUGUUUCCGCUGCAGUUGUUGAUCUAAAACUUGUUGUCUAUUGUAUUCUAUCAGAUUUUUCCCUGUUGAAGACUAAGGAUAAUUUGUUGUAUAUUAUCUUAGUCAUAAUAUUCUUUACUGGGCUAGUUGAGCUCACCCUUUUCCUUUUUGUUCCAUUUUUCUUCUCAGGAAGCGAGAACAUAGCAGGAACCAGUCGGGGUAUAGAGUGAUGGUCCUAGACAGUUGUUUUAGAAGUCCUCACUAUUUUUGUAAAAUAGUGCAUCAAUAAUUGUAAUGAAGACUUUAUUUGAGUGUGGAUAUUGUCUAGAAGACAAUAUUUGUAUUUAAACUCACAGUAUGUGUUGUCGUAUUUUGCACGACAAUUGUAAUAAUAAAGUUGUAGUUAUUUUCUGUACCAUAUAUUUGGCGACUCAGAAUGGGUGAUGUAUACCUAUUUUAGGGGCGUCGCAGAAUAGCUUAUACCAUAUCAGUCAUUAUCAAAUCCUCUAGUCUAGCAUACAAAAUCCUUAAAACGGUGGCUAAGUCUUAGUUAAAUGCUUAGCUCAUAUAUAGACCGGUAUACACCAAGUUAUAAUCAUCUUAUGCUCAUGCAAAACUAACCUUUUAAGCACAUUUGCAUCUUUAGAAUUUUAAUAUAGAAUAUUGGCAUAGGAUUAGACUUGGCUGUACUCAUUUUCAACACAGUUGACUCCAAUAGUCUAUUAACAGACAUUUUACCAAACAGUUGGGAUGCGGUUCAUAUCUAUCCAUACAAUACAUAUAUUCUUAGCUUAGUGAUCCCAGCCUUAUGGCUUAAACAAUAACAAGCAUAAGAUGAUACAUAACAACUCCAAUCACGGUAAUCCAAAUAGCAUUGAAACAGGCAUCCUAUUGUACCAAUUCCAAUAUAACAGCCAUACAUGUUACCUAAACUCUAACAGUCCAGUUGCUAUCAUUUAAAGAAACAGGAACGAAUGGAAAAGGAUUGGAAAGGUCAGAAUUGGCUUACCUUGUUGAUUUGAAGGUUACAAGUGGGUUGAGCUGCCCAGUUUCUCCUCCUUCUCUAGCCGAAGCUUUUCCUCUCUUACUCUAUAUGACUGAUACCGUUACUUCUUCCCUUUUUCUUUUAACUUUGCUAAGUGGUGAGCUAAUCGGUUCUAGGCCAUAAGCUUGGCCUUUUAUGGUUGAGUUUAUCUCCUCUUUUCUGGCAGUACUAUCACCUUUAGUUGGCCUCUACACAACCACCCUAUCAAGCUCCCAUCCAUCAUUCCUAUUCUAGUUCACUUGGCCCCUAUAGGGCCUGUCAGACCAUAGCUAUUCUGCUUCCUCUUAUCCACUGCAAGUUUAUCCCACCUGCUAGCUGACUGUUAACUGAACUAACAUGCUAACUAGAAACCAACUUAGAAUUCGUAUAACUUGCUACUUGACUUGGUGCUCAAGCCAUGUUAUUGUUUUUCUUAAUUGGUUUGAAGCAGUUAUCUUGCUAUACAUCACUGGGUUUACAGGAUUGGGCUGGGGGAACAAUGUGACAAUUUUAAUUUGGGUUUAAACUAACCCUCCCUCUUUAACCAUGUAGCUGCCAAAUUGCACUAAGAAAAUAGGUUAAAAUUGGCCCUUUUAAUUUUGUUAUAGACCUAAUACAACAACCCAUACCCUAAAAUAGUUGAAAGGGGCAUACAAGCAUACAUAGCAAAAUUUAAUAUGGCCCAAUGUUUUAGAAUGGACUCAUUUUAAACACAAAAUUUUUUCUAUCUUAUUAAAUUCCUUUUAGGCUAGCAACAAUAGUUGGUACAUAUAUCAUUAACUCUUUUUUUUUACCAUUCAUGAUCUAAGAUACUUAAUAAAAUAUUAAGUAACAAAUAAUUAUAAGGUCAGGAUACAAAAAUAAAAUAAAAUUUAUACACAAAAUUGACAUUAUAACAACUGAAUAUUUUAUAGAAUUUCUGAGUCAUUACAUUUACUUUGUUAAGGACUAAUGAUAAUUUAUUUUACAUUAUCUUAGUCAUAAUAUUCUUUACUAGGCUAGUUGAGCUCACCAUUUUCUUUCAUUGUUCUUUUCAGGAAAUGAGAAUAUAGUUGUGACUAGUCGGAGAAUGGAGUGAUGGUCCAAGAUGGUUGCUAUAGUAGUCCUCACUAUUCUAUAAAAUAGUGUGAUAAUAAUUGUAAUGAGAACUUCAUUUGAGUUUGGAUAUUGUCUACGAAAUAAUAUUUGUAUUAAAACUCACAACUUACGUUUUGUCGUAUUUUACACGACAAUUAAUAAUUGUAUAAAUGCAGUUUGUAUUUGAAUUUUGUACCAUGUAUUUGGUGACUCAGAAUGAGUUGUAUGGACCUAUUUUGGGGGAGUCACGAAUAGGACCCAAGAAGAUUUGGGUACGAAAAAGGUAGACUAUUUGUUCAUUUUGUCAAUGUCUUAAGUUCAAAAAGGAGACGAAUAGUACUUAUAAAUUAUUUGGCAAAAUCUGUAAGUACCUUAUAUUUUUUUCUAAAAUAGUGUUUUAAUUAGAUAUAUUAUGAAAAAUCUAUGGAUUUCGUAUUACAUGGGUUCAUAACAUCAUUUAUUAUAAAGUAUAUAUUGUGCUAAAUGCUCCAUAUUUAAUACAAAUGACAAUCUUGAUGAGGAAUAAGUGAAUAUUAUUUUUGAUUAACUUAACCAUGAUCUGCUAAAGGAAGAGAAUGAGGUUUCUGUUGGAAAUGACUAUUUGAAUUGUGGAACCCAAACAGUUCAAUCCGGACAGUCUAAGAUGUGAGACCCCGAAUUUUAUGAAAUAAAAGUAUUAAAUUUUUCUAUUUUGGUAAAUAGUUAAAUUGAUAAAAGUUUAAAGUUAAGGGUCAUAUUUGAAAAUUUUGCAAAGUAUGCAAGUUGUUAUAAAUAUUCGAUUGGUCGGAGAAUAUUCUUUUUGUCGGGGAAUAUUCGUACGACGGCACAAUCUUUGGUGAACCCACAACGGAAGUACUGUCGUAGUUAGAAAAAGACAAAAAUAUUUUAUGAAAAUAACGACGAAGGUUUUACCGUUAAAAUUGUUGAACUACCCGGUAGUAAAAGUACAAUAAUACUCGUGGUUGCAUAGUAGCACACGGUAUUGAUUAUUGAUACUUAUGUGAGAAGUCACUGAGUUAUACUCAAUUAUUGCUACAGUAAUUGUUGCAUCAUAUCUCUCAUAUUAUUGAUUCGAUUAUUGUCAGUAUCAUCUGCAUUAUAUGUUAUUUUAUUAAAUCAAUAAUUGAGACGACAAAGUUAUUCAUAUUAUUAAAUUGCAAUAUUUAUAAUGUCUAGAAGUUCUGUCAAGGAGAGGUUAGAUAAUCUAAUUACGCGCCAAUAGGGAGAAAUCUUUAUCGGAAAGCCCCCUCUUUCCUGGGAACAACCUGGUUGUUAAAUAUUGUGAGUUAUGAUAUUAAUGAUGGAUAAGUUCGUGUUGAUUAAAGAUGAAUUUUAUAGUUUUAUUGUGUUGGGAUUAUUUGUGUUAGUAGAAAUUGACAUCUAUUCCGAUGAUUAUUGAUGUCUGGAGGUUAUAUUGUUCAAUCGGGUAUUCGGGACACUUUUCAUGUCAGAGUUAUUAUUCAUGAGUUACUAUUCACGAGUUACUAUUCAUGAGUUACUAUUCACUAGUUACUAUUCACAAGUUACUAUUCACCUAAUUACUAUUCACUCUAGUAUUGUGCAUUCGGGUAUUUGGGUACAAUAUUAUUCCAUGAGGAGAUGUGUUAAUUUUUCUGACCGUUGGUUGAAAUUAUAAUAGUAAAUCAAUAUGGAUCGUUGAUUUAAAGUCUUAAUAGUAACUUGUCCCUUCAAUAUUACCAAGAGUUAAUUGCCCCUUCGUAAAUAGUAGUUGUCCCUUCAAUAUUACCAAGAGUUAUUUGCCUCUUCGGUGUUCCAAGAGUUAAUUACCCCUUCGCAAACAGUAGUUGUCUCUUCAAUAUUACCAAGAGUCAUUUUGACCCUUCGUUAAGACCAAGAGCCACUCUCAGUUUUUCUAUAAAUAGAAGCUCAUUCCUUCAUUAUUUCUUACGAAUUCACUGAAACUCUAGAGAGAGAAAUUAUAGAGAGAAAGAAGAAGAGUAUUCUGUUACUUCACUACUUCGAUAUCCAGUGUCUUUUACGGUAAGGGAUAUUAUUUGUUGUACCCGUAAGGGGUGUUAUUCUUUCUUAGUCAUGAAGAGAACUUCUGUUAUUCCAUUCUUUAUUAUUCUGUUGGAAUAACCUGUAUAAGCGGCAUACCCUAUACAUAACCUGUAUAUGCGGCAUACCCUAUACUUGGUGAAAUCCCUUUGUUAUUCCAUUCUAUAUUAUUAUGUUGGAAUAACCUGUUUAUGCCAAGUACCGUAUGCAUAGUGAAAUUCUUCUAUUAUUUCAUUCUAUAUUAUUAUGUUGGAAUAACCUGUUUAUGCGAAGUACCGCAUACAUGGUGAAAUUCUUCUAUUAUUCCAUUCUUUAAUAUUCUGUCAGAAUAUCCUGUCGGUGUGAAUUUCGGCUGACCUGGUUCCAUUUAUUAUUCUGUUGGAAUAACCUGUAUACGCGUAUUACCGUAUACUUGGUGAUGUCUGUUGUUCUUCCAUUCUUUACUAUUCUGCUGGAAUAUCCUGUCUGUGCGUUUUACGCCAGACCUGGUUCCGUCUUUAUUAUUCUGUUGGGAAUAACUUGUCUGUGUGGUCUCUAUCGCAUGCAUGAUGAAUCCUUCUGUUAUUCCAUUCUUUAUUAUUCUGUUAGAAUAACCUGUCUAUGUGGAUUACCACAUGCAUGGUGAAUGAUCCUUUAUAUUCAUUCCUUAUUAAAUUGUGGAAAUGAUCCGGUUACGUUGAUUAUGAUGAGAGUCAUAAUAAAAGUAUUGGACUAAUGAAAAUCAUGGGUAUAUGUGGUAUUAGUAAGUGUUAUGAUGAGUUAUGUUGGUUAUUAUGUGAAAACAUGAAAGUUUCUUAGAAAUCACAAAGGGUUGAAAAUCAGAUUUUGGUGAAAAUAGAACAUGAAAUUCAAUUGACCAUAUCUCCUAUUAUAUUUCAAAUUUUUGGGUGUGGUUAAGUUCUAGAGUUAGGUCUAUGAGUUAUGUAACUUAUCCAAGUGGAAUCACUGGAAAAGGUGUUGUAGAUUUUCGUGUGGACUGAUUUUAGCAAAGGAGUGCAAAGCUGCAAAAACCCAAAACUCUACUGCCCAGAAACUUUAAGGGGCUGUUUCGGCUACUUAAUUUGUGAGAACAAUUCUGGCCUUUUGGGACAUGAAAUUAUAUGAUAUAAAGUACCUCCUGUCCAAAAAUGAGCUCAUUCUGACUUAAAAUGAGCAAGUUAUGACCAUUUCAAUAUUUAGGUUUUUCCGACGAAAAACGCUAUAACCGGAGUUCUAUAACUCCGAUGACCAUGAAAUUUAAAUUGGAAGCUCAUGUUAACAUGUGUAAGAUUAUGCCAAGAUUUGGGAAUUUUUGGAGUUAACCUUGAGGUAGCUAACUUCUUAAGGAAUUAAUUAGAAAUUGAUUUUUGAAAAAUAGUAAAUGAAUUUUAAAAAUUCCGAGAAAAAUAUAUGUUCAUUAUGGGACUAUAUUCUGCUAAAUACCAGAAAAGAAAUAUUUUUGGGACUGAUUUGGUAUUUUUCAUGAAAAUAGUUUAGUUACGAACUUAUGAGUUAAAUAUGUUAUGUGAAGUAACAAAAUUGGAAAAAUAGGAUUUAUGGUUUGGAAGGUAUAUGCAGAUUUUUGAUAAAGAAUUUGAUUAUUGGUGAUGAGAUCUUAUGAGUAUGGCAUUUUGAAUGAUUAAAUACAUUAUAUGGUAAAGUGUAAGCAAUUGAAAUAAAUUAUUUAUAAGUUUGAGAAGCGAUUAAAAUAUUGUUAUAAUAUUAAUAAUAUUAGAUUAUGAGUUAUUGAUAAUAUUUGGAUAAGUUUAAAGUCUUUAGUAUUUAUCCUUGUUUUCGUAUGAUUAAUGCUUAUAUCAUUGUCAUCAUCCUCAUGCUUAUAUGGUGAUGAAAGUUAUCUUUGGCUUACGUGCAAAAAUGGACUUUUGAUUAUUGAAUUGUAUAUCUUUGGCUCACGUGCAGAGCUAGUUUGUUGAUUAUUGGUUUUAUUGUUGUAUAUCUUUGGCUUACGUGCAGAGAUGAAUUUGGUAUGAUUAUGACCAAGGAUUAUUCGGUAUAGUCAUGACUAUUGAUGAUUUAAUGAAUAUCCUUGGCCCGUAGUGUAGGGGUGAUUCGAUGAUGUGGUUUAUUUAUUAAGCUGAGUCUCAAUGAUAAAAAUGGAUGAAAACAUUUUUAAAUCAUAGAAGAUAGUAGAUUUUAUUCUCUACUUGACUCUUUUAAUGGAUUGCUUGUUCCGCUGCAGUUAAACUUGAUGUCUAUUGUAUUUUAUCAGUUUAACAUUGUUGAAGACUAUUGAUAAUUUAUUCUGCAUUAUCUAGUCAUAAUAUUUCUUACUGGGCUAGUUGAGCUCACCCUUUCUUCACUGUUCUCUUCAAGAAAUGAGAAUAUAGCUGGGACGAGUCGGGGAACAGAUUGACAGUCCAGAUGAUAGCAUUAGUAGUCCUCACCAUUCUGUUAAAUAAUGUGAUAAUAAAUGUAAUGAGGACUGAAUUUGAGUUUGUAUACUGUCUAUGAGGACUCCAUUGAGAAUUGAUAUUGUCUAGAAGGCAAUAUUCUUGUUUAAACUCUCAGUUUAUGUUUUACACGACAGUUGUAUAAUUAUGUUGUAUUUGAUUUAUGUACCAUGUAUUUGGCGACUCAAGAUGGGUGAUGUAUACCUAUUUUGGGGGCGUCACAUAAGACGUCUGCAUCAGAAGGAAAUAUAGAUGAAAUCAGACAGUUUGACCUGUCUGUUUUAGAAGAAAACUCAAAUUUACAAACACCUAAAUCUAGAAAAAUCGAGAGGUCUGCUUUAGAAUAAAAAACAUAUGAAUAUUCGGAUGCAGUAACUUAUAUUCCAGAGGAUGAAUCUGAAAAGCAAAUGACUUCUUCCAGGCUUCCUAAAUCUUCUAGAACUAUGGGAAAUCAUCCUCCAAGUCUGAUCAUCAGAAAUUUCAACAUUAGGAUGUCCACAAGAAGAGGUUUUGAAGAAAUUUGUUUGCUACACUAAAGGAGCUCAUCUAUCAAGCUUAUUGUUGGUAACAAAAUUGUGGAUAUAUAGGUAACAAAUCACAAAGGUAUGGUUAUUUUAUUUAAGUGCUAUAUGUGAUAUUGUUACAAGCUUGAUGUCGUGUCUUUAUUUUAUGAAUUAUUUUUUGUUAGUGACAAAUGGGGAGAGAUAUAGCUAAAUUGAUGAUUUAUUUCUUUUUGAUAAUGAUAAGGGGAGAAAUGUUUAAAAAUAUUGAUGAUUAUGAUAUUUGAUGGUUAUAUUGAUUAUAAUAUGUUUGGAUUUUUUGGAUAUCAUAUUGAUGAUAAUGGUUGGAUAUUUUGAUUCAUUAUCUGUUAUAUACAGCUUAUCAUUAUGCAUUAUUUAUCAUAACAGUUAUGUGAUCUUUAUAUCUCCUAUAGGCAAAAUUUAGGGGGAGCCAUAUAGUUAGGGAGAGCAUGAUUGUAAGGAAUAAUAUAUUGUCAUCAUCAAAAGGUGGAGAUUAUUAGUUUUAUUAUUUGUAAUUUUAAUAAUGACAAUAUAUUUGCAAAUAUAAGUUAUUUAAUGGUCUGAAUAUAUUUGCAAAUAUAAGUUUGGUUCAUGAUAAUUUAAUUUGGUUAUAAGUCAAAUUGAUAUUACGUGCAGGAUUGAAUUGGAAUAUUUUCUUUCAGGUCUAAUUUGGAGUCUCUAAAUUAACUGGUUUAGAUAUUUGUGUAGAGUAUGGACUCUAUCUAUAAUAUAUUGUUACUCCUUAAUUUUAGCCAUUGUUAGAUUACAUAUCUUUGACUUUCUAAUUUUGAGAAUAUUUUAUAGCUGUUAGCUAUAUCUAUGUGCUGAAAUCUCUAAUUCUCGAAAUCCAAGACCAAGUCAUUGACGAGCCUACUAAGUUUACACAGCAACCACGAUUUGUUUGUAGACUUGUAGUUAUUCAUUUUAUACCCGAAGUUAACAAAUUGUAUGAAAGGUUCAUCCUUUCAAUUAUCUACAUAAUUUAUUUUUUCCUACUCUAUGCAUUCCUAAGUAUCAGAUCGGAUCAGAUCAUAAACAUCACAAUAAACCAUCUAGUGGUAAUUGUUUUAUUUAUAAUACGGUAAUAACAACCACCUAGUGGUAGUUGAUUUAUUUAUUACAUGCUAAUAACAACCAUGAGCUGAUUGUUGAUUUAUUUAUUAAAUGCUAAUAACAGCUAUCAGCUAGUGGUUGAUUUAUUUAUUAUAUUCUAAUAACAGCCAUCAACUAGUAUAUAGUUUCUUGAUCAACUGUUCAUAGGAAGAUUACUGAUCGUUCAUUUAGGCGCUGGGGGGACUAAUUUGAACACCAUAGAUAACUAAACCCGUCUUCAUAGUCGCGCUUUCACUCCCGUCAAGAGCAAAUUUUAAAUCUCCAGAGUCAAAGCUAUUCAAGAAUUCCCCAGCUUUGAGCGAAAAUGGUGUGUUUCUCGGAUAAUUCAUCAAUCCAUAUCCGUUCACUUGCGAGGAUCCAUUCGGAAGAGUAAGUGUAAGACUCACCGGACUUGCUAUGUUAAAGUUGUCUUUCAGCAACACCACAAAAGAUACCUCAUAAGAUAAUUUUUCAAGCUUUUCUGUCAUAUAGUUUCCGUCAACAUGUAGGACUAAGCUACCAAUUAAUUCAGCACUGGCAUCACUGAAAAAAAAUGAUAGUAGAAUUAAAGUCAGAAACUUUUGAUAUAAGGAGCUUAAAUUCAUUAAGGUGAUUUUAUUGAUUUUUUUUUUCUGGAACAUUUUUAAUGUAAGUCCUUCUAUCUACCUAGAGUCUAGACUUCAAUAAAAUUUCUAUAGUCCUUCUAUCACUUUAAUUUAAUGACAUAGUUGCUUAUAUAUCCCUAUUUUUAACUGAAUAAAAUUCAGGUGUUUAAACACAAAUCUUAACCUUUGACGUCAAUUAAGUUAACUAAAUCUUAUUUCUACUUACGUAAACUUCCAGCCUGAAGGGUUGGCAUAAUUGAGUUCCUUUGCAUACACAAAAGCCCAACUGCUCUGAAUAAGUCAACAGAAAUUUACAUUAUUAUAAGGAUAGAUAAGGCAAACCAGCGGUGACCGAUCGAAUGAUAUGUCGAUGCCUUUAUAUAUAUAUAUAUAUAUAUAUAUAUAUAUAUAUAUAUAUAUAUAUAUAUAUAUAUAUAUAUAUAUAUAUAUAUAUAUAUAUAUAUAUAUAUAUAUAUAUAUAUAUAUAUAUAUAUAUAUAUAUUGACGGUUGACAUUUCAAAAUAACAAUUAUAAAAGUGUUGCCAAAUGUAUAUUUACUCUGAUAGCGAUGACAUUAUCAAUCACCUAUAUAUAAAUAGCAAAUGUUUCAUCGCAAAAGUUUAUUACGGAAUAUGUAUCACUCAAUCCAUCUUAUAUCAUCCAUACAUUACAACAUCAGAUAGAUGUGAUCUUAAAAUUUUUGAACACUCGGCGACAUUAUGUUGCAAAUGGUACCAAAUUUUAAAAAUCCCAAAGGUGUAAGAUGGUCUAAAUUUUGCAAAAAUGUAUCACUUGCAAAAUUUACAAAUAUUAAGGAUUAUUUUUGUUCUGUAGACAACUUUAGUGUGUAUAUAUAUUUGAUGUUUGUUUCCAAUUUCAGUGGACUUACCUUCUGGCCCGGGUCCUUUUUGAGCAACGCAUUUUCCUUAGCUUGAGACAACAAUGUCUUGAGGUCAACCUUGUGAUACCUCACUACUUGUGCCAUUUCGCCUUUAAUUCUGCUAUAUAUAUUUUUUGUUUUUGUUCUUG